Molecule: long non-coding RNA, 91749 nt
Filed under: Fragaria vesca (wild strawberry)
Lineage: Eukaryota; Viridiplantae; Streptophyta; Magnoliopsida; Rosales; Rosaceae
Description: long non-coding RNA (FVES_LNC000957)
Source: RNAcentral
CUGGAAUGGACUUAUAGUCCGACGAAAAACGCCUUAAUUCGUCGGCUUAAAGUUUUUUUUAAAAAAAAAAAAAAAAAGUUUUUAGCCGACGAAAUACGCUUUAAUUCGUCGGCUAAAUCCCUAUAAAGCCGACGAAAUAGACUAUAUUUCGUCGGCUUUAGUUAUUUUUUAUUUUUUAAUUACAAACUUUAGCCGACGAAUAUUUUAAAUUCUUCGUCGGCUAAAGUCGGAGAAAUAACCGACGACAUGUUUUUCGUCGGCUAAACUCUAGACUAUAGCCAACGAAUACCUUAAAUUUUUUUCGUCGGCUAAAGUUUGGACUAUAACCGACGACAUUUUUUCGUCGUCUAAAGUCUGGACUAUAGCCGACGACAUUUUUUUCGUCGGCUAAACUCUGGACUAUAGCCGACGACUUCUACAUGUGUCGUCGGCUAAAGUCACCACAGACGACAUUUUCCCGACGAAAUCUUAGCCGACGAAUUAAGCUGACAGGCGGCUAAAGUGCUUGUCCUGGUAGUGUAGUGUCUAACACUUACGUCACGCCAUAAUGACAUUUUACCUCAUUAUGACGGACCAAGCACGUAUGGCUAGCUAGCAUUUAUAUACAUACUAUACUCAUAAUAUCCAUAAACAUAUCCACCGAAAAUCUCAUUUUCGGGAUCUCUCCAAAGGAGGAAAAUUGCCAAAUAUCAGAGAAAGAAAUAAAUCUCAGGAAAAGAAAUAAAUGAUCAAUAGAUAAUUCAUCGCAUGCUUUUCAAUUAAAACAAAGGUCCACUCACAACUCUAGGCAUAAGCCCGACGAAAUCCAAAUCGCCACUCCAAUGAGGUUUCCUCGAACCCUGGCACAAAUAUAUAAUUAAAUUCCCAACUAAAAUCCAAUAUUUAAACAAAAUAGGCAAAAUUAAAUAUGAGCCGCAACCACGCUCAUCCUUGCCCAACUUCGCCUUUCCUAAAACGAAACGAUCCAACUUUAAUACCAUAAUCGGCAGCCGUAAUUACAACCUCCCCAGAACAACGACUUAAAUCCUACGGCCGGAUUCUACAUUAAUUAACCGUCAAAAAUAUCAAACUUCGGAAGAACACAAACCUAUUCAAAACUCAUUCGAAAAUUCCAUAAUUUACAUCAAUAUACUCCUCUUAAUAUUCCACAUUUAAAAACAUUAAAAUCUCCCAACCGGCGGCGCCAGCCCCACGGGCAGCGGCGGCCGGAGGCCGAUUCCGGCGACCUCCAAUGCCUACCAAAAUUUAACAGCAGCUUCCUCUCAACCUACUCAACAACUUUCCUAACUAGCACAAACACAAAUUCCAAGUCUAGCUAGGGUAAUCGAACACAAACAUCUAAUGAGCCCUAGAACUUCAACUCUGAAUUUCUCCUUACCUAGCUCAAGAGGGAGGGAGUCAUUUGGAGGGAUUGUUGCACGGGAGGAGGACUUUCCAACAAGCCAAGCCGCUCCGGCUAUGGUGGCCGGAGGAGGGAGCUCCGGCGAUGGAGGGCUACGACAGUCGGACUUUGUGGGCAAACUUCCUCUCGAUCGGCGGCACUAGGGGUGCGGUCACCUACCCAUAAAUGAAGAGGAGAGGGUGGUGGUUCGAUGGGGACCAACUUGGUGGCCAGAGUUGGCCGGACGGCGGCAAGCAGUGGAGAAGAAUACUGGCGAAGGAAGAAGAAUCGGGGGAGAGAGGAGAGACAGUCGGGGAAAGAGAGAGAAAUUUAAGGUUUGGGCUUUCCCAACCGGUUCCCCAACCCACCAAUAUAACCCAAUUCCAAAAUUAACACCCCCAAAAAUAAUAUCCCAAUAAAAGUUAUCUUUUACUAGCUAAAAGUUACCAUUUUUACCGCCGUCACAUUUUUCUCCUACGAAUAAUUCCUCCGAAAAUAUCGUCCCUCAAAACCCCUCUAGGGACCAAUUAAACCAUAACUCAUUGACGGAGACAGUAAAAUUCUUAUUAAAAUCAAGCUAGUAAAUAGGUAAAAAGUUAAGGGUCGGGAUGUGACAAUGUAUCUCGGCCAACACAUUCUUGGUCAACUCAGCCAAACUUAAUGUAUCUCGGUCGUUGCACUCUCAACUAAAUCGGCCGAACUCAACGAGUCUCGACCAUGAUAUUCUCAACCGAUUCGGCCAAACUCAAUGCAUCUCGGCUAACACAUUUUGAGUCAACUAUGCCAAAUGACAAACUAUUCUUAAUCUCGGCCAAAUGGCCGAACACCUUCAUUUUCGGCCAAAUGGCUGAAUGCUUUCACUCUCGACCAAAUGGCCGAAUGCCCUUACUCUCGGCCAAAUGACCGAAAUACUUCACUCUUUGCAAGAUGGCUGAAUGCCAUCACUCUUGGCCAAAUGGUCGAACGCCUUUACUCUUGGCCUUAUGAUCGAAUGCCUUCAUGUACUAUCGAUUGAAUGACUGACUGUUUCCACUUUAAGCUGAAAUCGCUAAACUAAUUUGAUCAUCACCAAGGAGUGCCAAAUGUAGGUGCAAAUAGAAUCAUAACAUAUUCACAUUGAUUCAUAUAUAUAAAAAGUAUUAGGAAAGCAAUCUCUUGUAUCUUAUUGUAUCUUGGUUAUCUUGUUGAUUAGGAAAGUAUCAGUCAUGUGAAUAUUAGUAUCAAUUGUAUUCUGGUUGUACUACGUGAUUGUAGUUGUUUCCUUGUAGGUAAGGAAACCCUCAUGUAUAUGUAUUCUGUCGAUUAUCAAUGAAUAUUAUUCUAGCCAAACUAUCUCUCUUUUAUGGUAUCAGAGCAGGAAUCAAUCUGAUCCUGUCUCUUUGUUUUGCACUCUAUUUUCUCGUGCAAUCAUCAUCCUAUUAUCAUUCAUCAUGAGCAACCGUAAUAUCCUUCGAAAAGACAAUCGGCCUAACAUCUCCCUAAAUCUCAAUAAUCAGCUUGGUAUCGUCAAUGGCACCAUCAGGUCCUUUUCUUCAAAUUCCAAGAACUAUCUUGGUAUGUCCAAAAUAUCAUCUCAGCGCUGGAUUCUCGAUAGUGGCGCAACAGAUCAUAUCAUCUCAUCAUCAAGUAUGUUAACUCAUAGCAAAAAAAAUCAUUCAUUGCCUCCUGUGUUGCUGCCGAGUGGAGAGAAAGCUCAAAUAUCUUCUACGGGAUCAGUACUGUUAAAUUCACAUUAUUAUCUUGAUAAUGUGUUAUAUAUUCCAAAUUUCAAAGUUGAUCUUAUGUCUAUUAGUCGGCUCACAAGGGGAUUGAAUUGUUCAGUGACUUUUUCUCCAUAUUGAUGUAUUUUGUAGGAUUUAGUUUCGAGAAAGACGAUUGGUUUGGGUAAAGAACACAACGGUCUCUACUAUCUAGUGGCGUUAACGACGGAGAAAACUAAGCCUAAACCACAUUAGUCAUCAACCAUUCAACCUUCUUGCCACCUUACAACAUCCUCUGCCAAUCUGUGGCAUCGUCUUCUCGGUCACGUUUCAUCUCGUCCUCUAGAUUAUAUUGCUAAGCAUUUUUUGGAUAUUUCUAUUCCUUCUUAUUCAAAUCAUGUUUGCGAUAUUUGUCCGUUGGCAAAACAAAGUCGUCUCUCUUUUGGUACCAGUUCUAUCUCAUCUGUUAAACCUUUUGAUCUCAUUCAUUGUGACAUUUGGGGUCCCUACAAACAUCAUUCUCUUAUUGGUGCACGUUAUUUUCUUACAAUCGUAGAUGAUUAUUCUCGUUUUACUUGGGUCUUUUUGAUGCAACAUAAAUAGGAAACUCAGUCUUUGAUUAAACAAUUUUUGCAUUUGCAUCUACUCAAUUUUCAUCUCAAAUAAAAACCUUUCGUAGUGAUAAUGGGGCUGAGUUCGUUUCUCUUCGAAAAUUUUUCAAAGAUAAUGGAGUUCUUUUUCAGCAUUCUUACGUUUAUACGCCCUAACAAAAUGGGGUAGUAGAACGCAAACAUCGUCAUAUCCUCCAAGUUGCACGCGCUUUUAAAUUUCAAGCCAAUCUUCCUCCAGAAUUUUGGGGAGAAUGUGUUCUCACAGCUGUCCAUGUUAUUAAUCGUUUACCCACACCACUUCUUUCUUUUCAAACACCUUUUGAGCGUCUUUAUUCUUGACCUCCUCCUUUCCAUCACCUUCGUGUUUUUGGUUGUCUGGCUUAUGCUACAAAUGUCAAGGUCACACAUAAGUUUACCCCGAGAGCAGUCAUGUGUAUCUUCAUCGGUUAUCCCGUUGGUCAGAAAGCCUAUAAACUUUACGAUCUCUCAAGUCAUAAAAUUUUUACAAGUCGUGAUGUAAUCUUUCAUGAGAAUAUCUUUCCACAUCAGUCUCUUGUAUCCAAGCCCAAUUCUGGUCCAAUUCUUCCUCUAGCCCACGUCACUGGCCCAACUAGCCCUCCCACUAUCUCACAGAAUCAGUCCAAUCAACUUCAUCCUUCAUCUCUUCGAUCGAGUCAACCAACACCUCCGUCUGCUCCGUCUCUUCCCGAGUCGGCACCGCCAGUUCAACCCCUGCUUUCCGAUCCUUCUCACCUUCCGCCGCCACAAGCGGCGUCACAGCCCAGUCUGCCUCCACCAUUUACCUCCGAUCCUCACUGAUCCAAUUCCGAACCUCCGCCGCCUCCUGCCUCAUCCAAUCCCGACUCACCACAGCGGGGUUCACCUAUUUCUGGCGCUGACUCGCCGUCUCUUUCCGGCACCUUCUCGCCUCCAUCUCAGUCCAUUUCCAACCCACCCAGUCAAGAUGUCACCUCAAAUACCGAUCCUCACCUUCUCUUUCCGACGUCCCAAUAACCAGCUAUUCCAGAGCCACCACCAUCAAUGCCAAACCAGCAACCUGAUAUCCCUGCCCCACCACCAUUUGAUCAAGCACCACAGCCUCUCCGUCGUUCAACCCGAUCCACUGUGCCAUCGGUUCGUUUACGCGACUAUGUGUGUUCCCAAAUCACUGGCCCAAACUCGUCGCUUUCUUCGUCUCUAGGUUCUGCCCAAAUCAAAGGUACCAGAUAUCCAUUGUGCAGUUAUUUGUCAUAUGAACACUGUACUCCAUUGCAUCGCUCUCUUAUAGCACAGAUUACUCAGGCCUGUGAACCAAACACUUAUGCCGAAGAUGCCCCUCAUCCAGAAUGGCAAGAAGCGAUGCGUUCUGAAUUGCAGGCAUUGGAGGAUAAUAAUAUCUGGACUCUCACCCCUUUACCGGCCGGAAAAACUCCUAUUGGUUGUCAGUGGGUCUACAAGAUCAAGCAUCGAUCAGAUGGUACAAUUGAAAGGUACAAAGCCCGUUUGGUUGCCAAGGGUUUCACUCAAAUGGAAGGUAUCGAUUAUCAUGACACUUUCUCACCUAUUGCCAAGAUUAUUUCUGUUCGUUGCUUAUUGCCUUUGGCUGCUGCUCAAAGUUGGUCUAUUCACCAGUUGGAUGUCAAUAAUGUUUUUUUACAUGGUGAUUUUGAUGAGGAAAUUUUUAUGUAUCCUCCUCUUGGUCUUCGGCGACAGGGGGAGAACAUGGUUUGUCGCCUUAACAAAUCCUUAUAUGGCUUGAAACAAGCCUCUCGGCAAUGGUUUGCAAAGUUUUCUGAUGCUAUUCGUUCAGCUGGUUAUGUUCAAUCUAAGACAUAUUAUUCGUUAUUUACCAGAAAAUAGGGGAAGUCAUUCACUGCUUUGUUGAUAUGUGUUGAUGAUAUAUUAAUCACUGGUAAUGAUCUAGUUGCUAUUUCUACUUUAAAGAAGUUUUUGAAUAGCCGGUUUCGUAUUAAGGAUCUUGGUGGUUUAAAGUAUUUUCUUAGCAUAGAGGUUUCUUGUUCCAAGAAUGAAAUCUAUAUCUCUCAGCGAAAGUAUGCAUUGGAAAUAAUCAGUGAUGCAGGUUUAUUAGGUGCAGCCCCUGCUGACACCCCUAUGGAGCGUGGCUUGAAAUUGUCAAACAAAGGUGAUCGAUUUGUUGAAGGAUGCUUCACGUUAUAGGCGAUUGGUUGGUAGAUUGAUCUAUCUCACCAUCUCAAGGCCUGAUAUAACAUACUCAGUACAUGUGUUGAGCAGGUUUAUGCAUGAGCCACGAAAACCUCACAUGGAAGUAGCUUUACGAGUUGUCCGUUAUCUCAAGAACACGCUUGGGCAAGGUUUGUUCUUUUCUGCACAAAGUGAUCUAAGACUUCGUGCUUAUUGCGAUUCAGAUUGGGCUGGUUGUCCCGUGACUCGGAGGUCCACUUCAGGUUAUUGUGUCUUUUUUGGUUCUUCAUUAAUUUCUUGCAGGUCAAAAAGACAAAAGACUGUUUCACUCUCUUCCGCUGAGGCAGAAUAUAGAGCAAUGAAAGGAACUUGUUACGAAUUGAUAUGGUUGAGGAACCUCCUCAAAGAUUUAAAUGUUCUCCAUUCAAAACCUGCUUUGUUGUAUUGUGACAAUAAAGCAACUUUGCAUAUUGCAGCUAAUCCUGUCUUUCAUGAAAGAACCAGACAUAUAGAGAUAGAUUGUCACUAUAUCAGAGACAAGAUUCAAGAUGGUUCAGUGGUUACAAAACAUGUGAGUUCUUCUUUUCAGUUGGCUGAUGUUUUCACUAAGGCUUUGGGAAAAGAUUUCUUUAUUCCUUUGAUUCGCAAGUUGGGAGUUCGAGAUAUCCACUUUCUAACUUGAGGGGGAGUAUUAGGAAAGUAAUCUCUUGUAUCUUAUUGUAUCUUGGUUAUCUUGUUGAUUAGGAAAGUAUCAGUCAUGUGAAUAUUAGUAUCAAUUGUAUUCUGGUUGUACUACGUGAUUGUAGUUGUUUCCUUGUAGGUAAGGAAACCCUCAUAUAUAUGUAUUCUGUCGAUUAUUAAUGAAUAUUAUUCUAGCCAAACUAUCUCUCUUUUAAAAAGAGAUCUGUGCAUCCUGACUCCGCCCCAAUACUCUUUCUUCUGUUCUAAACCUCUUAGUAAAUUUUAAUUUUCUUGUAAUUUUCAAUUUUUUUUAUUUUGUCAAAAUGGGUGGGGUUGCUGGUGACCUCUCUCCCUUUUUUGGGUAAUGAUGUCACCAAUUAGCCUAUUAUUCAUGUGCCUUUGAAUUCUCAUUGGAAGUGCGAUGACUAUUUAGGAUGAGCUUAAUAGCUGAAAAUGAUGCUUGUACUUAGGUAAUGGUUCUUUUGUCAAUUAUACUGGGACGAAUCUUUAUGUGUACUCUUCGUCUGAUCCUUAUAAGAGUUGACCUGUUAUUUUAAAAAAUGUAUUAAAUCUUUCCAAAGGAUCUUACAUAAGUUUUUUUUUGUCAUUAACCAAUUAAUACACGACUCUUCUCUUGGAAGUAGAUUUACUACUUACAUCUUAAGCUUAUUAGGUGUACACCAAUUGAGGUCUUAGACAGCUAAAUAUUAUGUUCCAGAGAUUUAGGUAGUAAGUUUUGAUUUCUCUUGCUGUAGACUCUCUUUGAGCCUAUAUGUAAUCAGUAAAGGUACUUGUCUUGGUGAUUGUAAGCCUCCCUUAACUUACUCUGUGGAGGACGGCAUUUUGAUGUACAUGCCUUUUGGCCAUUGAUUAAGGCAUUAAGCAAUAUAAGUUAUCCUUUUAAAAAAAAAAAAAACACGACUCUUCUCACCAGGCAGUAUGCAGUGAUGCUUGCAACUUACCUGGGAGAGGACUUCAUCAUGAAACAUCGAAAGACGUCUGUAUUCUCCCGUUCAAUCUUUUGGUGGGAGCGGAAGAGGCGUCUACCCUACCCUGGUAACCUUUUUUUUUUUGGUAAACUGUUUGAGUUUUUAAGAUGUUAAACAUAAGAAAGAAAAUAAUAAACAAACUGAAAAUGAAGGUUAAAUUCGAAAAUUUUGGACCCGUUAGGCCUUCAGAAAACCUUGCAAGAGUAUAUGGCAAAACUCAUUCGUAUCCCAUCAUCACAUUCAAGAAACUCCUGUGAUUUGCGGAAGGUGCAUUGCCAAAACAUGUGAAGCCUUCAAGGCCCAGUAACACAGAAAGCAAGGAUCUUGUGCAUUUCUCAAGUAGAUCACAGAGAAAGAGACUACUGUUACAGAAGGUGGAAGAAGCAAGGGUUGGGAUUUGGUAAGAAAAGGGGAAAAGAGCUUUGAAGAGUGUCAUGAUUUUCACAGUGGAGUGGGUUGGGGAAGAAGAAGUUGCAUUUACUUAAGGUUUGGCAUGCGCCUAACCUAAAUACGCCAUAAUAUUCAAUGACAUUGAAAGAAACAGAAGCUGAGCCUGAGGCUACCCACUACAAUGACACACAUCAUGAAAGAUGUGAUGGCAAUGUGUCCUUUGCCGCCCCUCCAAGCUAAGAAACCAUGCAAGCAUGCAUGCUUCCCAUUACUCACGCUGAGUAUACAUUUCUCAACUCAUUAAAGAAAGAUGGUUUAGUACUGACAAAGCUUAUCCCGGCCUGUAAAUGAUUUGUUGGUAUAUGUUUUCGAUUACAGAUAAAUACUCUCUCAUAUUAUAUUUGAACAAAUGAAACAAUGUCACAUUUGGUGAACAAAAGUUUAAAUAUAUAACAACACGUUAUAGAAUUGUUAUUAUAUGAAAACACUCCAUGAAACACUAUCAAUGCAAGUUUUCAAUAGAUCGUACUUGUAGUGCAUUGUAAUACAACUUUAAAUGAUGAUAAUAUGCUUGUUGAUAACCUAUGAUGAACAAUAGAAAAAUGAAGAAGAUAGAAAAUUGAAGAAGAAGAUGAUAGAUCAUAUUCCUUGUCCCCACUCAUGUCAGUCAUGUGUAAAACACUCAUGUAGAUGAAACAUGAUUUAGAGAAAAGUUUAGUGAACAUAAUAAGCUUGCAACAAAACUAAAUGAACACCAUACCCUGUAAAACAUUGGACGUCAUUACAAUUGGUCCAUAAUUAGUUAAUUACCAUCUAAAUGGACCAUUGAAUAGGAGAAAGUGGAACUGCCCUCCAGUAGCUAGCUUGCAAAUUAACCUCGCAAUCAAGAUUAUGAUCCUUAAACAAUUGAAGUUGCUAAGGGUAUUUGGUAGUGUUUACAGAUUCCCAUCAUUCUGUUCCCUCCUCCUGAACCUCUUUUUCAUUACCAAAAUUCUAGUCCAAGCAACAACCACUUCCCACAACCUUAUAAAAGCCAUACUAAUGCACCCAAAAGGUUCACAAGAAAACUACUACAACAUUAGCUUCAAAGACAUUCAAACGUUAGAAAGUGAGAAUGUCUUCCAUUCUUCCAUUCUUUCUCUUGUUCUCUUCUCUAACCCUUCUCUCCAUUGCUAGUGCUCAGGAAAGAGCUCCUCAUGGACUAGCCAGAGAGAACCCAAUUGCAUUUUCACCAACAGCAUACGAUUUUUUUCAUCCAAACGCAAAACAUCCGGUUGCUAAAGACCCGUGUGUUGCUUCCAAUUGCUCGCCAUUGCCUAUUGCAGCCCAUGUCGAAGCAACUGAAGGUCAUGAGAGUAGAUUUUCUGGAUCACAGAAUGGGAAGACAAAGGUUGGAGCUGGUGGCAUCGUCGGCAUUGUCUUCGGUUUAGGAUUUGUUGUGUUUCUGGCGAUGGGAGUUUACUAUGUGAUUGUCGCACGCAGAACAAAAAUGACUCGGGCUAAUACUGUGAAACCUGAUGUAUGAGGCUUCAUAGCUUGGAGAAGCCAUCUUCUACCUCCCUUUUGAUGUUUCUUUUACUGUAGUCGAACCAAAUUAUGUAGUGUAUCCAUAAUUCAUUAUGUAGUUGCAUGGUAUUUAUGAGUAUGCCUAAUGAUUUACGAUCAAAUACGCUCAGAUUUCAGCAUCAAAAUAUGAUUACUAACUAGAAAUUAGGCCCGCGCUUUGCUGCGGGUUUUUGAAUUCUAUAUACUUAGUUUAUAUACAAAAUGCAAUUCACAACAAAAGAUUAUUGUAUAUGGUAGCACACUUUAGAAUUGUUCAAGACACAGGUAACAUGUAGUUAGAGUUUGGGAAAGGACAAAGAAGUAGCUAAGAUGAUGGAACAGGUUGGGAAAGAUAUAUCGUCAUACUUGUUGCAGAGAAAUUUGCUUGGUUCACCUCAUGUUAUAUUGCAACCUAAAAAGAAAAGAAAAAAAUUGUGAACUGCAUAAGACAUAGAAAAAGAAAAAUAUGCAAGAAGAAUUUGAAAUUUGUAUCAUAAUAUGCAAGAAAAAUAUGAAAUUAAUAAAGACAAAUGAAAGCCAAAUAAGACUACAACUGACAAAAGAGAAACUGCUUAAAAUCUAAUCAACUAUAGGCAAUCAGUAAUUCACUUAGUAACGGAAUAAAAAGACUAAUAAUCCAUUAAUAAAGCAGAGUAAAAUCUUUCAAUUGAGCGUGUUGCUUAAACUCCUCGAAAUGAUGACAAAACUAAGAACCUACACACAUAAGUUAAUAAUCAAAAACACAGAAGUUAAUAAUCAUGAGAAAAUAAGAAUGUAGUGAUGAACAUAUGCAAGUUCUAUUGACUAUCAAAAAAGAAAUUUCUAGUCUAGUACCAUUGUUUUGCUUCAGCAUUUCAUUGUCCCCUUCAAGGGCACUUCACCUAAGCUUCCAAUUCCACCAUGUAUGCCUCCAAAUAACAGACUAAUAUAGAAAUGUCAUAUGAUAUGCAGAUUAAUUAGUACCAAUCAAGUGUGAUCAGCACCCUUAAAACAUCAACUACAUGCAUUUAGACAUCAAAUAUGAAAAUUCAAUAUUCAUGGAAACUUUCCUGACCUUCAAUUCCACUUUCCAAAACAAAAUGAAAUAGUCAUAUACCUGAAUCCAAACUGGUUACAGAAUACAACAGCUGACAGUUCUUGAUAUUUGCUCUACUUGCAGUUGAUAUUUCUUAUCACAAUCUGCAAAAUGCAAGAAACUAUAUUGUUAGGUGAUACCUGCCUGAUUACACCUACUCCAUUCAAUUGAAUACAUCAAGAUGCAAAUUUAUCAAUUUCAUUUAAGUGCUUUCUCUAAUCAUUUUCAGUUCAUCUGUUCAGCGUAACUACACAUGAUGAAAUUAACAAUAAGCUAUAACACAAAAAGUUAAAUCAAUCUGACAUUGUGUAGGAAUGAAUCAAUGAUGUAUGAUGAUUGGGCAAUAACAAAAUCAAUUAUGUAUCAAAAAACAAUUAAAAUAGAAUACAAACCUGAAUAAGAAGAGAAAACAAAGAGACUGCAGAACAUUAAAUAAUUUAAAGUCCAUCUGAAGUCUCAUCUGAAUUCUUGCUCCAUCUUUCUCCCUCAGAUAAUCUAAAAUCCUGAAAACCCAGAAAGCAAAGCAUUGAUUAACAACCUUGACCACCUAUCCUAACCAAAAGCCCCUAUUAAACCACACACACUGAACAAAACCCAAAGCCUCAACACAUAGUAGAAAUCAAAACUUUAGCACAUUCUAAAAAAAUCUUUAAUCUCGUACUGAAUACUACUAACAAAUUCUUAAAUAGGAUGCUAACACUGAAAAUUAAGUCACUUGCAGCAAGUGAUGGGGCCUCUGACGAUUGCAAAACAAAAAAGGCCAUCUUUGUCUGCCAAAUUAUGCAAAUUCUAUACCACCUUUGCAUAUGAGUCCUCAAUCACCAUUUUAUUUCAUAUACAUGCACAGACAGAGAUUCAAUAGUACUGAAAUUAAGCUUAUCAAGAACCAAACUUUAACCACACUUCAGUUUUUCUGUUUGCCAAACAGAAUCUCACCCCACAAACCAUCCUACUCUUCAACUUGAGAACCCCAACACCCUCCUGACUAUAUUACUCGAUUCUACCUUUCAAGAGAACAACCAAAAGCAACACACAAAUUUAACUGAAUUAGAAGAGAAUGAAUUAAGAGAUCACAAACACAUAACACCAUAUCGUAAACCCAGAACACCUACCUUCUCCUGCAACACUGAAACCCGAAAUCAGCGUUAGAGCGAGUCAGGAUCGGUCUGCUUGCAGAGCUCGGCCUGGGAUCGCUGCUCGUUGACGGAGGCCAUCAGGUGGGAGAUUAGGGUUUCGAAAGGGGCCGGGUCGGGAGCGAGAAUCGUCGCGAGUUGCGCCUGCUGGAGCUGAGUCGACUCGGCCAUUGAAACCGGCGCGUUUUUAGGGUUCCGGUGGUGGCGGUGGUGGCUGCUGCCUCUCUCUCUCUCUCUCUGUGGAUUUCGGCUUUUGAGUUUUUUGGAGGACUGCGUGAAGAGAUGGGUGGCGUUUAAAGUAGACGUGGGAGUAGAGGAGUCUGGGUUCUCUUCGCUCUCUCCCUCUUUCACUUGACGUUUUGCAAGGCUGAUCGAGAAGCAUCUGGAGCAAAACAGGCGAGGGAAGUACUCGAAUUGCACAGCCCAACAAUGAGGGCAAAACCUGGAAAACUGACGAAUUGCAGCCCGAGCCCAAAACUGUUUUUUUACUCUAGAUGAACAGUGAUCAACAAAUAGAUAUAUAGUAAUGUAAUCUUCAAGGGAAGUUCGUGAUACACAGAAAUAAAGGGUCACCAGUGAAAUGCUAAAUCACUUGAGUCAUCUAAAUAACUUCUCUUUUGAAGGAAUGAAAGAAUAACAAUCCAGAAAGGCAGAAACCAUAAGACCUAAUCCCAGAGUGGUUAUAAGUUAUAACUAUCAUAAGCCCUAAUCCCAGAGUGGUUAUAUAUACCAUAAGACCUAAUCCCAGAGUCGUUACAAAUACCAUAAGUCGUGUGACCCAAACUAUCACCAACUAAUUGUCUUUUUACAAACUACUGAUGAUAGAUAAUCCUGAGUUUGUAUAAACAUCUUGGUAUACAUCUUAGAAUCUUAUUAGAAACGAAUGAAGUUCAGAAUGAACCCAUAUUAAACCAAACUAUGACACCAGACACCAUUUGAAUAAAAAAAAAUUAAAAAAAAGUUUGAAGCAAACAAAAGGUAAUAUAUAACUGGCAUCUUUGAGAUUGAAUUCUCUUUUCUCAAAUGAAGUAAAUGAAAGGUGCCACACAGCGGAAAUGAUUGUGAGAAUCAAACUGCAGGUUAGCAGGUAUAGCAUAUAGCAGUAUAAAUAGGGCCAAAUCGAUGGUAGCAACUGGAAGUCUGGAAGAUGGACUGUGUUUGACAACCUGGGCAUUUAGGGAAGGACUGCAGAGGCUAAAUAAAGAACUCUUAUCGUGAAUGUCGAGUGUCUUGCGACUUGAGCUGGAAGCUCCAAACAGAUCUGUGUUUUUGAAAAGUACCCUGUGCCACUCUAUUAUGAAUGAUAGCAACCCUAUCCAAGACUGGUCAUAGCUGAGUUGCAACCAUGUCCCAUUUGAGGCAUUAAUUGCAGUAGGCAAACAAUUACAUCUUCAAUGGUGUGAUCAUCAAUGGAUGGUUAUGUUUGCCAAUUUGAGCUGAAACCAUUCCAGUCUGGGGUGUACUGUUUUUCAUAUUUGACCAAAGAUAAUUUAUCAUGUAAAAACAAGAAAGAUAAUUUAUCAUGUAAGAACAGGACGGGCAUAGUCAUUAACGUAAAAUUGAAAACAAGAAACAAAGAAGUUGGCAAUAUGAUUAUGUCUUUGCAUCAUGGUCAAGGUGCAAGCCGUUCUGAUUUCUCAAAUUUGUAAAAAGAUACAAUUUGUAGGCAAAUUCUAAAGGCCACAGAAUAAGACUUCCAUACAUUAUACAGGUAGAUUCACUCAAAUAAAUCUACCAUCCGGAUGAAGUAAGGGACUCAAUAACUGGUCGAAAUGUCUCAUCCACAGCUUUGUUCCAGAGGUGUGCAAGCUCUGAGCAAGAUUUCCUUCCAAAUAAGGGCUCAAUCCUCUGUAAAAUUUUGAAAGAAGGAUUUAUAUAUUAUUAAGCACUGAAUAACCAAGUGCAGAGUAACUUUUUUAAUCUUCAUCACACAUGCUUGAUUCAUAAGUUUGGAAAAGUUCACAGCUACUCGCUAAAUGUGAGAACAUCCAAUAAAAGAGCCAAAUAAGCAAAGUUCACAGAAGGGCAUAAAUCUCGAAUUCACAACGUCAGUAAAAAGUUUUUAAACAUAUAAGUUCCGCGAAUAUAUGAAAGUUCAAAUUUGCAUAAAUGUCGUCCCCUCAUGUAUUUAAGAUUUCACUGGAGGUUAGGACUUACAAGUAUCUACUAAUGUACUUCAAAUACCAAGCAACCAAUAUAUAUCUAGAUCAAGUUUUCUGUUCUGUUUAACCAAACAUAUUUCUUUAAUAAACAGAUUGGCUUCUUGGCAAAUCACCCUUGGGUUUCUUUUCUAGCCAUUAUUGUUAAACUAUGAAAUGUCUUAUGAAGACUGGAACAUCCCUAUCAACACCACUCCAGACCCUAAACUCUGUUGAAGUGGUGUAUGUAGAACAUUAGAGCACAGCGUAUGAAUGUGUACAGAACAACUGUUCCAAACUUCCAGCCAAAACGCAUUAGCUAUUCUACUCUUGUUAUGUCCUGUUGGGAUUAAGGCUCAAUAGAACUACCCUACCCUGAAACAAUACAUUUUUGAACCAGAAUAUAGUUUAUUAUGGUAUAGUGAUCAUGGUUGAGCUUUAUUCACAUCAGCAAAGAUUUGGUAAUCUUCAGAUAAGUUUCCGGACAAAUCAAUGAUAGAAAACUGAUCUAAUCACUACUCAAAAUGAAGAAUACCAAUCAUUUUCUUUUGCAUUUUCAUUCCUAAUGAACAUUUUGUCAAUUGUAAAAGAACCACCAACUCAGUGCCCUUUAACGGAAACCAGUGGGAAGAAUCAUGAGGCCCUCAUCUUACAUUGACAGUACAUUAGAAAACCAAAAGCUUUUUCGAAAUUCUGAUCAUACAUAAUUAUCGGGUCAAUUGGGUAAAACGUUCAAAUCUUGAUAACAAGGUUGGUUAUGAAACUUGACCAAAAAAAAAAAGGUUGGUUAUGAACAAUAUCAAUCCUAUUUCAAACACAACCCAGGAACGAAACCAGCCAAAACGGUGCCUAGCGCAUCAAAUUGAAUAAGAGUUACCCGAUAUUGGGCAACGGAUUCAGGUUUCGUGCCGGAAAUUGAGCUGUAGAUGCUUCGGCGUUGAUCAAAUACAACGAUUGCGGUGACUAUGCUUCCAGCUGCGGCGCCCAAUAGACGCUCCUGCAUCGUCAAAUUUAGUUCAAUAAAAUUUGGGUUUAGGGAUUUUCGAACAACAAAGUAGGAAUCAGAUUGAAGAAUGAGUUUGGGUUACCUGAGCAAGAACGCUUAUCAUGGCUGUAAGAUUUCUCCCAAAUCCUCUGCAAAAAUGGGUCUCUCCUAUUCUUGAACCUCGCAGCUAAGAAGAGGGACUUAACUUGGGGCUUCGUUUUGUUCAUUUUUUGAGAUCAAAUCUAAGGGAGGCCCAUCUUAACAGUGUAAUCUUCGUAUUAUAAGAAAGUUUAAAGGCCCAAUUGAUCGGUGGUUAACUGUAUAUAUAAAGCAGUAGUGUUCACUUAAUUAGUUACUGACUAAGAAAUCAUGGCCAAUUACCGUUGGAUGUAAAUCUAAUAGUAGAAAGUAUUAUUUUAAAAUUAAGUUGUUUUGUUUUCAACUCUUAGAUUUACAUCUAACCGUGGUAGAUCAUAGAUUCCCUGGUCAGUAGGUGAACAUGACUGAGAUACACAAAGUCCUCACUCUCCCUAUUAAAAACUGAAGUAGUUACAUGUACAUCUUGAAGAAUGGUAGAAUUUUCUUCAUAGUAGAAUUUUCUUAGAUCAUAUACGUCCAUUUCAUAAGUUGUAUCAGAUCAUAUACGUCUAUUUUUUAGGUUGUAUGAAAUCAAUGACACCUCCCAGAUGAUUUCUCAAGGACACUUCCAUUUCAUGCACUCUCUAUUUGGCCUCACCCUCACAAGGACACUUACUACCUUUCUCUUCUAUCUACAAUAAAACCUCUAUAAAUAAAUAAUGUUAGGAACAUGAAAAAAUAUACUUUAGAGAGAAUAGUAUAUUAUCGAUAAAUGAAAAUAUUCAUUUUUCAAUAGUUAUUCAUGCACUCCCUAUUUGGCCUCACCCUCACAAGGACACUUACAACAUUUCUCUUCUAUCUACAACAAAAUUUUUAUAAAUAAAUUGUCACAUCCCGAUCCUUAAAUUUUUACCUUAUUUACUAGCUUGUUUAUAAUAAGAAUUUUACCGUCUCCGUCAAUGAAGUUAUAGUUUAAUUGGUCCCUAGAGGGGUUUCGGGGGACGAUUAUUUCGGAGAGUUAUUCGUAGGAGAAAAAUAUGACGACGGUAAAAAUGGUAAAUUUUAGCUAGUAAAAGGUAAUUUUUUAUUAGGGUAUUAUUUUUGGGGUGUAAAUUUUGGUAAAGUUGGGUAUAAUUAUGGUUUGGAUCGGGUGUGAAGGCCCAAGUCCUUUCUCUCUUCCUCUCUCUUUUCUUCUCCUCUUCCUCCCGAUCCCUCUCCCGAGUUCUCUCUCCCCGGCUAACUUCCGGCCGUCCACCUACCGCCGUCCGGCCACCGUUCGCCGCCGCUCCGGUCCCGUUCGAUCGGUCUCCAACCCAGCAUCCUCCCUGGCCCGGUGACAGCUCCCCUAGCGCCGUCGUGAGUGAGGAACGACGCCCAAAGCCGUUGGAAGCCGUGGUGGUUCGCUCGCCGGAGCUCUCUCCUCCAGCCACCAAAACCGGCGAUCCUUAGCUCAUUUUGUAGCCCUCCUCCCGUGCAGCAACCCCUCCAAAGAGCUCAUUCUCUCUUGAGCUAGGUAAGGAGAAAUGUGGAGUUGAAAUUUCUAGGGCUUUUAGGAUGUUUUUAGUCGAUUACCCUAGUUAGGCUUGGAAUUGGUGUUUGUGCUAGUUAAGAGAGUUGUAGAGCAUGAUGAGAGGAUUAUUCUGUCAAAAUUUCAUAGGCAUUGGAGGUCGCCGGAAUCGGCCUCCGGCCGCUGCUGCCGGCGUUGUUUGGGAGAUUUUUAUGGUUUUAAAUGUGGAUUAUUAAUGGGUGUUUAUUGAAGUGAAUUAUGGAAUUUUUGGAUGAGUUUUGGAUAGGUUUGUGAUUUUCCGAAGUUUCGUAUUUUGGCGGUUAAAUAAUGUAGAAUCCGGCCGUAGGAUUUAAGUCAUAUUUUAGGGGAGGUUGUAUUUACGGCUGCCGGUAUGUUCGGUGAAGGUUGAGCCAUUUUGAGUUAAGAAUGGUGUAGAUGGGCAAUGAUGGGUGUGUGGGAGGCUCACGUUUAAUUUUGCCCAUUUUGUUUAAUUAUUGGAUCUUUAGUGGGAAAUUAAUAUUAUAUUUGGAACAGGACGUGAGGAGGCUCGAGCAGACGAGGCCCCAGAUCGACAUCAGGCUUAGGCCAAAUUUGUGAGUGGACGUUUAUUUUAAAUAAAUGCAUGCUAUAGUUCAUGGUUGAACAAUAAAUGUUGCAGAAUAUUUUGACGAUUGUUAUUUCUCUUGGAGAGUUACCGAAAAUGGGAUUUUCGGUGGAUAUAAAUAUGUAUUUAUGAGAGAGUAUGUAUAUAAAUGCUAGCUAGCCAUACACUACCAGAAGAAAGACUUUAGCCGACGAAAAUAAAAAAACCAGGCCGACGAAUUUUUUUUUCAUCGGCUAAAGUGGACUUUAGCCGACGAAAUUUUCCUUCGUCGGCUAAUUUUAAAAUUUUCGUCGGCUAUGGUCAACUUUAGCCGACGAAAUUAAUAUUUCGUCGGCUGAAUAAUUUUUUUCGUCGGCUAUAGUUUGUGAACUUUAACCGACGAAAUUUUUAAAAGUUUAGCCGACGAAAUUUUUAACUUUAGCCGACGAAAUUUUUAAAAGUUGAGCCGACGAAAAAUAUAAUUUCGUCGGCUAAAGUGCCUUAUAUUUGCAGAUCUAGACAACAACUCAUCUGGAAAAAAAAAACUAUACGUAGAACCUUCAAACGCAAAAAAGUCGUGAAAUAAGAUAUGACCAUAAUGGUGAAAUACGUCUACGGUUGAAAAAUCACGGUAUUCCAGUAAAGUCUCGGUGCCGAUAGUUGCGGUCAAUGCAAUUUACUCUUAUUAUUCACUAUGCUGCAGAUUUGGCAUUUGGUGUCUGAUUGACUAUUGUGAUACAUUUCCGGAAGCGUAACAGCGCUACAAGAUGUAUAGACCUUUUUGGCCAUCUGAGUCCGUUUAGGGCUUCAAAAUGCAGUUUUCUUAUUUUCGAUUAGAGUUGACCGUUUGGAUCGAGCCUUUAACGUUGUCGAAUCCAGUUGAAUUUUUUACCAUAGACAUCUUUCGUCAUAAUGAUCAUAUCUGACGGUCCAAUUUUGGUUUGUGAAUUUUAGUCAUCGGAAUCACAACGUGUCUACUAUUUACCGUUAUUAUUCCCUAUGGGGGAGCCCUAUCAUCAGAAGGUAAAUGUUUCAAAAUUUUUAUAUGGGCAGUUGCGUCUCAUCUACGUGAGAGUUUUUUGUGUGGAAGGUUUGACCAAACUACGUAAUAUAGAGGGAGAUAUGAGCGUUUUCGUGUGAUAAGUGACGAUGGAUUAUGGUUGACCGUUUCUAUCGAGCCCUUAACGUUGUCGGAUCCAAUUGAAUUUUUUACCAUAGACAUCUUUCGUCAUAAUGAUCAUAUCUGACGGUCCAAUUUUGGUUUGUGAAUUUUAGUCAUCGGAAUCAUAACGUGUCUACUAAUGUUGUAUAACUUGUUUAGUAGGUUAUACAACUUUGUGAACCAACUCUACAGAGGAAGCAAAAUUAUCAAAAAUCUCGUGAACUAAGAUGUGUUCAGAAUGGUGAAAUACAGCUAUGGUUCAAAAAUCACGUAAAUCGGGUAAAGUCUCGGUGCCGAUAGUAGCGGUCAACCCUAUUUACCGUUAUUAUUCCCUAUGGGGAGCCCUAUCAUCGGAAGGUAAAUGUCUCAAAAUUUUUAUAUAGGCGGUUGCGUCUCAUCUACGUGAGAUUUUUUCAUGUGGAAGGUUUGACCAAACUACGUAAUAUAGGGGGAGAUAUGAGCGUUUUCGUGAAUUUAUAGACUUUUGCCGACGAGAUAUUAAAAAAGUCGUCGGCUAAGGUAAAAAAAUUUCAAAAUUUUUUGGGCGGUAAACCAAAGUUGGAGGAAAAUUUUUAAAGGACUUUAGCCGACAAAAAUAUAUGAAAAGUCGUCGGCCAAAGUCGAAAAAUNNNNNNNNNNNNNNNNNNNNNNNNNNNNNNNNNNNNNNNNNNNNNNNNNNNNNNNNNNNNNNNNNNNNNNNNNNNNNNNNNNNNNNNNNNNNNNNNNNNNNNNNNNNNNNNNNNNNNNNNNNNNNNNNNNNNNNNNNNNNNNNNNNNNNNNNNNNNNNNNNNNNNNNNNNNNNNNNNNNNNNNNNNNNNNNNNNNNNNNNNNNNNNNNNNNNNNNNNNNNNNNNNNNNNNNNNNNNNNNNNNNNNNNNNNNNNNNNNNNNNNNNNNNNNNNNNNNNNNNNNNNNNNNNNNNNNNNNNNNNNNNNNNNNNNNNNNNNNNNNNNNNNNNNNNNNNNNNNNNNNNNNNNNNNNNNNNNNNNNNNNNNNNNNNNNNNNNNNNNNNNNNNNNNNNNNNNNNNNNNNNNNNNNNNNNNNNNNNNNNNNNNNNNNNNNNNNNNNNNNNNNNNNNNNNNNNNNNNNNNNNNNNNNNNNNNNNNNNNNNNNNNNNNNNNNNNNNNNNNNNNNNNNNNNNNNNNNNNNNNNNNNNNNNNNNNNNNNNNNNNNNNNNNNNNNNNNNNNNNNNNNNNNNNNNNNNNNNNNNNNNNNNNNNNNNNNNNNNNNNNNNNNNNNNNNNNNNNNNNNNNNNNNNNNNNNNNNNNNNNNNNNNNNNNNNNNNNNNNNNNNNNNNNNNNNNNNNNNNNNNNNNNNNNNNNNNNNNNNNNNNNNNNNNNNNNNNNNNNNNNNNNNNNNNNNNNNNNNNNNNNNNNNNNNNNNNNNNNNNNNNNNNNNNNNNNNNNNNNNNNNNNNNNNNNNNNNNNNNNNNNNNNNNNNNNNNNNNNNNNNNNNNNNNNNNNNNNNNNNNNNNNNNNNNNNNNNNNNNNNNNNNNNNNNNNNNNNNNNNNNNNNNNNNNNNNNNNNNNNNNNNNNNNNNNNNNNNNNNNNNNNNNNNNNNNNNNNNNNNNNNNNNNNNNNNNNNNNNNNNNNNNNNNNNNNNNNNNNNNNNNNNNNNNNNNNNNNNNNNNNNNNNNGCAUUAAGGCGUGACGUGAGCGUUGGACGCGAGCGUAGUAGCCCUAUAUAGACCCAUGAAUUUAUAUAAGGAGUAUGGACGUGUGUAAAUACAUACAUAUAUUAUAGAGUCUGAGAGGCUCGAUAUUUUAUGAGAUAAAAGUUUUAUCGCUUGCGGCAUGCAUUCGAUUUUUCCUUAGAAAUUGAUUUGGGGAAACAUAAAUAUUUUAUUUAUUAAUUUAUUUUUGUCUACUCACUCUAACGUUAUUAAAUGUUUUCCCCCUGGGCCCUUCAUUUUAAAAAAUGCCCAAUCUGCAAAGUUCGGGUUGGAACUAGUAGGAGGCGAGGCAUAGUCACCCGCAUUUCUGCCAGUUUUCAUCAGUAGGUUACAUGUUCAACCUACUCGUGUUUUCUUGCUUCUGCUAGAGUCUAGUAGCUCUGGAUACUUUGGGAUUAUUGUUUAUUAUUUCGGUGGUUUGCUCGGCUUGAUGAUUUGAUGUUUAGAAUUUCUGAAGGAUAAUGUUUGCUUUUAUUAGCUGGAUAUUUAUGUGAAGUUUGGACGUGUUGUAGUAAGAGUGUAAAUUUGAAAUUUUUGAGUUAGGGUUGUCCAUUUUCAAGGGAGGUUUUAACAAUCUUUUCGGUAAAUUUUCUUUGGAGGUGGUCCCCGCACGACUUACUCCGAGUUUCAGGGUGAAAUUUGGGGUGGGUCGUGUCAGUUAAAUAAUGUUAGGAACAUGAAAAAUUAUACUUUAGAGAGGUUAUUAUAUUCUCGAUAAAUGAAAAUGUUCAUUUUUUGAUAGUUUAUUACUUUAUAUAGGGCUUUGUUGUUAGGAGUUUCUUAUUUGUUAAGAGUUUCCUUAAUUUUUCAUAAUACAAGGAAAAAGCAAAAGACUUUAUAUAGAUAUUUUGAGAAAUUACUAAAUUGAGGAAUUAAAAUUGUUAAGAGUUUUCUUAAUUUGUAUUAUUAUGAACAUUAAUUACUUUUUCUUUUAUUUAUUUUAUUAAUUUUUAAUAUUUUUGGAUGAUUUUCUUUUUUGGUUAUUAUGUCGAGACGACCCUAUCCCGUUCUGAUCCGACCAGUCACCAAUCGGGACGGGACGGGACAUGAUCAAUUCUUAAAAACGAUAUUCCUAUAUCGUCCUGUCCUGCCCUUUUAUUUUCAGGACAGGACAAGAUUUACCAAACCCCGUCCCAUGCCUAACCUUAGCCAAAACGGUCCAACUUCUAAUCAACUACAUUACCUAUAACCUCUAACACUUCCCGAGAAACCGCCAUCAUUUUUUUUUCUUAAACAGAUACAGAAUGCUAAGAACAUCUUUAACAACGCUAGCCAUUUUAUAAUCAAAUUUUAGCCAAAAUAGCUAAAAAGUCAUUUUUUUGGCUCGCCACUUUAGAAAUCCCUCUACACCAGUACUCUAUAUUUCAACUAAAGUUUGAUUUAUGUCAUCAUUUAAAAUAUAAUUCAUUUAAAUGUGUUUUAUUAUUACAUAAAGGGUUACAUAAAAUGACUUAAAAAUGAACACUUUGAAUUAACAUAAAUUAUAGAAAGCCUCAUCUUGUUAGCUAAGAGCAUCUUUAGCAGACACUAUAUUGACUCUUUAGCCAUUUUGGAGAGCGAGUUUAGUUUUUUUAUCAGUUUUACUAGCUCUAGCAGACUAGUAAGUGGCUAGCUAUUUUAACUUUUAGUUAUCUCGCUAGUUAAAUAUAAUUUAUGUAACUUAAAGUAUUCAUUUUAAGUCAGUUUAUGUAAUAUCAAAACACUUUUAAAUUUACUUUUCUUUAUUUAAUCAAUAAUAUAAAUCAAGCUUUAGUUAAAAUAGAGAGUACCGCUAUAGAAGAAUUUCUAAAGUGACCAGCCAAAAUAACUUUAAUUACAAAAUGACUAGCAUUGCUAAAGAUGCUCUUACUAGUCUGCUGGAGUUGGUAAAAUCGAUAAAAAACUAUACUCGCUCUCAGAGAGUCUGCUAAAAAUGCUGUAAGCGAACAAUGAAUUAUAGUAAAUUAUAGUGAUGCUAGAAAGGAAAUUAUAGCAAAGUGCUCCCCUUUAUUUGAAUACCCACCUACGGCUUUGAUUGUUAUUACUUCUGCAAAAGCUACAACGUCAUUCCUUGCGGUAGUCAUUUUUUCCCACUUCAGUCAAUGAGCAGUUACUUUAUAUUUUACCCUAUUUUGAUAUGAAGGGAGACAAUCUAAUGACAAUCUUAUAAUGAGAAUCAAGUGAAGACUUUGGCUUAGUUUGGUAUUACUGUGAGAAUACUCAAUUUUUUUAAAAAAACUUAGUUUUAAAAAAGCAAUUCACAAUCUGCUUCUAAAAUCGUGGUUAUUUAAACUAAAACGUUUUAGAUAUACCUUGAUCCUCAUUAUAAAAUGAUGAAUAUAAGUCAUUUUAUUCCCCAAAACUUAAUACAAAACUGGCCCUUUGAAUGAAUUGGUUAGAUGAUAUGCAUCUUGAAAUUUGAAAAAUAUUGAAUGAACUUUAAAACACUCAUCUAAUCGUUAUUUCAGAACAAUCAAAAGUCCUCAUUUGAUCUGCUUUAGAAGCUAUCACUUGAUAUAAAUACUUUUCUUAUGCAUAUUAACAACUCAUGGGGACAUUUGGAAGUAAAACGAAUUUAACUACAUUCUAAGAUGAAUUUUGCUAAAAGGCACAAAUCUUCCGAGAUUUAGAUUGAGAAUGCGCUUGAGAGAAGUUUGAUUUUUACCUCCUUGGCCGGCAACGAGCACUUUCGCCUUUGUCGAACUUGCAUUUGUUGGUUAUGUUUGGGUCUGGAAUGUGUUGGGCUCCUAGCGACAUCUGAUGUGGGCAUGUGGAUCAACGAGAGCUUGGUGGCAAGUUGUGAGAUUAGGAAAAGGGAAAUUGUAGCGACUAGCGGGGUUUAGUGUAUCUCUCGAUGGCUUGGUUUGCUGAUCACCUUGGAGGCGCGAGUUCGGAUGAUGCGGGGUAUUAGGAUUUAUGUGGCAUGGAAGCGUGGUCAUCAGAUCAAACCGGUCCAUUAUGGAUUCUAUUUGGUAUGGGGAUGAGUCUGCUUGACAAGAGCGACAUGUUUCCAUGUAGUGGUAGGGAGAGCCAGAUGAUGACUACAACGAUCUAGCAACUAUUUUGGCGCCGUGCAGAUGGUGGUAUGGUGAUGGUGAUCAUGGUAGAGUUGGGCUUGUGUGGCGGCUUGGGUCUCCCUUGUUUCCUUGGUUGAGAUUUGGGCUUGGGCCAUCAUUUUGAGCCUGGUCUUAGUUGGUUUAUUUACCUUUACUUAUUUUAUUUGGUUAGUCUUUGUCACCUCUUUAGCGUGUGAUAAGUUCCUAUAAUUAUUGUGUGGGGCUAGUUGGGUUGUGUACCUGUGUGUGCACUUAAAGUGUCUUGUAUGCUCUAAGUAAGCAACGAGUUUCUUACUUCGGUAGUUUCCGAACUGCUGCUUAAUCCAUGGGUAAGCAAAAGACAACCUGGAGAACUGAAACAUCUUACUAAUCGCUUACUGGUGGGGUGAAGUUAAGUGUCGUCCGCUCUAUUUUUCGACAACAAGAUAAUUGGAAAGAUGAAUCAUGGGAUAUUAAGAUAUGUAAUCGUAUAUUCGUGUUAGAUAUUUAGUGAUCUUCACCGCUAUAUCAAAACAAAUGAAGUCGUUAGUAAAACAAUUUUCUUUACUAGUUAGUUGGUGCUUGUUACGAGAGCUGUAUUUUGUAGAAAUUUCUGAUAUUGCCUCAGGAUAUACUCUAGAUGCUUAUUGUAAUAAGAGAUUUAGGCUUAACAUCACCCCUUGUAUUCAUCAGUUUUAUUAAUUAAGGCUAGAUGGUACUCUGGUAGCCGCAUCAGCUCUCCCUUUGAAAAAUAUGAAGUUUUCUGGGAGAAACUUUGAGUACUUGACACAAACAGUUGAUCUUUUCAAUGCUCUAUUGUCUAAUUUACUCCCAAUAAUUAUUGGAAGUUGCUACAACAUUGAUCUUGAAUAAGGUUUUGUACUAUUUUGGUGUAGUUGACACAAACAUUGGUCUUUUAAGACAAGAAAAUACAAGGGUUCCUAGCAUAUAUUGUUGUCCACCACUUGAGACCAAAACACUUCAGUAUCCCAACUUGGCUUAAUAGCAAAGUUGUCUGCAUGUGACCCCCAGCCAAAGGUCAUAGCCAGUGUCAUGUGAGUAUUCCUAACAAGACUUUUGGACCAUCUUAGACAGUGACUUGGUACCCAAAAGUCCAACUCUCUAGUCCCGUACCCUCCCUCCUCAUUAGUACUUCAAUACCCAUUUGCUCCAUCAAUACAUAACAAUGGGGCAACCUUGACAGAACAUGAAGAAGAAGUAACAAAUAGAGGUGUUCAGAGAAAUAAAUACAUGAAGAAGAAAAGAAGGGAACAAUAGAGUUCAUUGAUUAAAUCUGAAAGAGAAAAAGAAGAAGAAAAAAAACACAAAAACGAAGAAGACUCGUUGUUUAUGAUUGUUUGUUUGUUGGUGGAAGGUUCAAAUCAUUGCCCAUAUAUAAUGUACUAGCUUCUGUUUUAAUAUUUUGCAUUAUGGUGUGCAAAGUCAUAACAAUGAUUAGGUAGUUUUAUUUGGCAAAACAAUUAUUAGGUAGUUGGAGCAUAUAAUUAACAACCAUAUAACUCAUAUUUACAGCCAUUAAUCCUCACAUUGUUCUUUUAUAUGUAAUUCGUUGUAAUCACUGGGAAGUUUGAGAUUUUGAUGGAACUGGCCCUGAGACAACAGUUCCUAACAAUACAGAAGUAAAAACUAAUGAUUGUUAUAAACUUAUAUUAGUCUCCUACCCUCAUUAUUGAAUAGGCCAAACCCCCAAUGUGAAGAGGCCAAAAAUCAAGGGCAUUUCAAGAACAACUGUUGUUUUUUUGAGUCAUAGGAACAUCUGGACCCAACUAGGAAGAUCUUAUGCGCCAUUAAUUAUGCGCUUGUCUUUGGCUGCUUUCUUCUGGGAACCAAGUCUUUGUUGCCAAUGCAAACAACCUGCAAAAGGGUCCUCCACAACUGCAACAACACAAGUCUCUUCGGUAAGCUGGAAAACCCAAAACAAGAGCUGCUUUUUUCAUAAUUCAAAAGCUCCAUUCUUGCAGGGCAUGGUCAGCAGUCGGCUUUUAUUUUUCUGUUUCUAUCUAGACUUGCAUAUAUAACAAGUUCAGACCUUGUCUAGCUCAGGACCAGUGAUUAGUAGCUGUGUUGAAUCAAUGUCUUAGGAUUUAAGAACUCUGACUUACUAAAUAAGUUAAUUGCAGCUGUAGCUAUCUGUUUUAACUUUUGUGUAUCUUUCUCUGUGGUUGUGCUGGUGUUCUGCUUUUCUUGAGAAAUAAUAAACCCAGAUAUGUUUCAAGAUUUGAAGGUGUUUUCUUUGAGAAUCCUAGAUCUUUUCUGAGCAAGAAAAGUAAAUAUCUUUGAGAAAAAAGUUACCUUUUUUCAAAGUAAAAGGAAAAACUAGUGGUUAAAGUAGAGGACUUGGGAUUCACAAUACGAGUGAUUGAGAAAAGUUACUGUAUCUGGGUUUUGAGACCUCACCAGUUUCAAACUCUUUCUUGUGGAUGUUCUGGCAUUCACUUUUCUGGGAUUCAAGCUCAGCUUUUUGAGAUUCCCAGGGAAUCUCUUGGGAUUUGGAAUUAAUUUGGAAUUGUGGGGAUUUUAGCCGUUAAACAAAGCCAAUGACGGUCAAGUCCAUUUCAACAAUGACAGCCUGUUGUGUCGGUUUUACAGGGUUUUUCCUUCUGUUCUUAUCCCCACUCUCUUUGCCCUUUCUGAAAUCCAAGUCUCAAGAAGAAUCUGAAUUGUCUGAUACAUACUUGAUUUAUAAUUUUUUAUUUUUUUUGGUUCAUAUCUUUUGUAGUUUGAAAUCAUCAAGGGUAUUUGAGAAGUGGGUCUAAUGCCAAAUUGGUUCUGGGUUGCUUCAAUGGGUUGAUGCUUAUUGACAAUGCGCUUGUUCUGGUGGCAACAGUUGCCUCUGCUUAUACUCAUUCAGAUUUUACAACCCAGCAGAACAAGUUACAAAAUAUAUGGUACUCUCUCUCUACUCUCUAGUCUUACUUGUUACAAUGCAAUUCACAAUAAGUAGCAAACUCAUCCUCCAUACUGUUGUUGCUUUGAAUAUGCACAUGGUGAUUGGAAUUGUCUUGUAUUUAGGCUUUGUAGAGCCAAAAAUUUGGAGUUUCCCAGAUUCAAAGGUUCAAAAUAUAUGAGUCUGGUUAGAACACUUGCCAGGUUUUCCUUUUUGAACAUUGUUGGUACAAGAAAAUGUGGGGAUGGAGAUUAAGAGGAUUGUAAGCUGAUCGCUUGUAAAUACGUUCAGCUGUAUAGAAAUUUACUUUUCAAGACCAUAACAGCAGCUCAUAUCAAGCUUAUUUUGUUGCCACAAAUUAUAUGUUUUUGUACAUGUUCAUGAAUGGUAUAGUAAAUGUUCUUACUUAUUAUUCGUUUGGGUUAGUAAAUUUUCUUUCCUUAAUUGUGCUUCUUGUAGCUUGUAGUUUUUUUUUUUUGGAUACAUUAAUAGUGAUUGUAGUUGCUAGAGAAGAAUACUGAUGUUUUAUUCCUUUUACUUUUCCUAUAGCUGAAGCUUUACUGACUUUCAAUAGCAGAGUUGAAAGUCCUGAACUCUCCAGUGGUCAGACUGGAAAAUAUCCAUGUCUAAAACAAUGGACAUUACUGAAAUAUUAUAAACUGCAAGACCCUUGUGUUGUUUCUCUGUAAGAUCUCUCUCUCUCUCUCUCUCUCUCCCUCUCUCUCAUGGUGUUGUAUGUACAUUAAAUAUCAACAUUAUUGGAAUUAAAAACAUAUUACCGACUUCACCUGAUUAGAUGCUAGUGUUAUGAACUGGUUUGAGUUCUUGUGACCUGUAUAUUUUGGUGGUAAUGAUCAAUCAUGUAAUUCUAGGUCUUACUUCAAGAAUCCAUUUUAUGUUUCCUGUUUAACUAGUUACCUCAAACAAGUUUUACGUAGGCUCUAGUGGUCCCAAGUCUGGUGGCUACAUUGUAACAUCGUUUUAGUACAUAUCAAGUUUCUGAUAUCUGCAAAUGAUUACCAAAGAACGAUAUUCAUAUUGGUACAUUUUACUAGGUGUUGAAGUGAAAUACAAGUAGCUUAUAUUCAUAGCAAUGUUUUAAUCAAUUUUGGUUUUAUUUUUUAUUUUGACUUGGUUCAUCUUUUUCAUCACUCAGCAGCAAAUUUCCUGGUAUCUCUUCAAUUCCCCUGCGGCCUAGCAGAGUCAGCUUAGCACCAUUUGCUCCAAGACAUUUCGUGACACAGUCUUCAAUCAAUGUACAAAAAGAGAUCCAUAAACCCAGAAACAGAAGGAUAGCACACAUAGUUGAUGGGGACAGAAGUGUUCCAACACUCACACCUGUACAAGCAGCUGGUGACAAGAAACCAAAAAAGAAAGUUGCAGCCAUCAUUGGUGGAGUUGCUGCUGCUUUGCUUGUGGUUAUUGUAGUGAUACUUGUUUACAUCUAUUUAAUGCGUGUCAAAAGAGUGGUGAGGAGAACAUCUGAUACAUCAUCUUCUACACCAUCCCCCCAUGGUAAGUUAGCUAUGGGGACACUUUUCUUCUGCAUUCGUUUCUAAGUUGUACAUUCCAAACUGUUAAGGCUGUGAUAUGGCUAGCUGUGUAGUUAAGUAAAUAAGUUUCUUCUAUCUUUUCACUUCUUUCAGUUGAAUGGACAAGAGGGGACACAUCCCCCUACGCGGUUGCUCUAUCUCCAUAUGACACACACAACUUGAGGCAACUGACAAUAUUGGAACUGGAGCAAGCUACUAGCAAUUUCAAUGAAAACAAUAUCAUAGGCCAAGGCAGAUUUGGUUUGGUCUACAAGGGAUUACUCCAAGAUGGAACUAUUGUGGCUAUCAAGAGACGCCUACAUGCUCCAACUCAGUAUUUCUUUCAAGAGGUAAACAAGUUAGCAAUCAUUUCUUCUCCACUCAACCUUGACUUUCUUUGUGAGGUAGUGUCUAGACCCUCUUUUGAUGGAACUUCUUAGUAUCUUGAUUUGUCUUGAUCAAAUAUAGGUGAAGCACAUAGCUCGUGUGAACCACGUGCAUAUUCUCAGGCUCAUUGGUUAUUGUCAGGAUUCAAGUCAACAGUUACUUGUCUAUGACUAUCUUCCAAAUGGAAAUGUCGGGAAUCAUCUAUAUGGUACUCUCUCACUCACUAACUUACUCAUUCACUUAGCACAUGAUUCUCUAUCUCUAUCAUUCCAUCUAACCACAUUGUUAUGCAGAUGCUGAAGGUUUACCUAUUGGAAAGUUGAAUUUACGGCAAAGGUUAUCGGUUGCUUUGGGAGCAGCCAAAGGUACAUCAGCUAGUUCAACUUCUAGUGCAAGCCUUAAUUUAUGUUCUUCAUAAAUAUAUUACUUUUAUUUUGGACCAGGACUUGCACAUCUUCAUAGUUUGGUACCUCCCCUCCUGCACAUGAAUUUCAGGACAAGCAAUGUUCUUUUGGAUGAUAACUUUACAGCCAAGGUGUCCGAUUAUGGACUAACCAGACUGCUCAAUAAGGCUCCCUAUACCGGAUCAUCUUCAGCCAUAGACUGCUUUCUUGACCCAGAGUAUGUAAUCUCUCUUCAGUCCACUAAAUUAUUAUGUGAGCUACAAGAUAGAAUGCAGAUAGCAUCUCUUGGUCUCUGUCAGGCUAAAUUAUAUUACCAGAUCACAUAAUGUGUCAGAAUGACAUAUGCAAGGAAAACAAGAGUAAGAGUCCUCCACUAGUUAACUCACCGAAGAUUCUUGCAGGUCAUUUUUGCAUGCCAAGUGAUUUGUUUAGUGAAAUUAGCACCUAAUAUUGAUGUUGAUCACUUUACUGGAAGUCACCUAAUGCAUACCUCUAAUACUGAUACUACAGAAAGUCAUUUCGCGUAGGUUUUACCUUUUUCUUUUUGUAAAUUUAAACAUCUGUAACAGAGCAUAGAUGGAGUUCAACAAUGUAACUUGAUUGCCACUCUGUUGAUCUCAUGCUGUCAGCCCUUGAUUUUAUUUUGCUAUUAUAUAAGGCUAAGUUUCAGUCCAACAUUGAAUAGCUGUGACAUUCUUAGUGCCUUGUAACCAAAGUUGCUUUGAGUUUUGUUGAAUAUCCAUCUGUGAAAAGAAAUCUGCAGGGUUUAAGCAACAGCUUAAUUUGGUACUGAUGUCUAAUCUAAUCCUUUUUCCUAAAGGUUAGAUUCAUUGAACAAAUUUUCAGAAAGAGGUGAUGUGUACAGUUUUGGUGUCUUCUUACUGGAAUUGAUCAGUGGAUGUGAAGCAAAUGGCAGAUACCAGUUGAAUUCGGGGGAUAAUCUCGUAUUGCAGGUACGCAAGUCUUUUCAUAAAAGCCAUUAUUAGUGGCAACUUUAUAUCUCAGACUCUCAGUUUAUGCAUAUACUACUGGUUGCAACCUUUGUUCAGUUGUGAAAUUCGCAUAUGUACUAUUAAUGUGAAAAAGAGUAACUAGGUGAAGUACAUCUAUACUUGUACUUGUUUCAAAGCUUUCGGUUCUUACAAGAUUGUGUAUUAAUUUGAAGGCAAAGGAUUGUGAGGAUUUGGAGAGAUUUGUUGAUAAAACAUUAGGAGAAUAUUCAAUGCAAGCUGCAACAAAACAGAUGAUGGAGUUAGCAUUGAUGUGUAUAGAUGCUAGUGAACAAAGACCACACAUGAAGAUUGUUGUUCAAGAGCUCGAACGGAUUCAAGCAAGAGAAACUAGCCAUUUUCAAAUUGAAGUUGAUGAAGAAAUAGGUGCUGUAACUCUUGGCAGUGAACUUUUCAAAUGAUGCCUUCUGCUGUAACAGUCAUCUUUGCAUUUGCAUUCCAUUACAGAUUUGAUUGGUUUGUGAUUAGUACAGAAGAGAAAUAGAAUAUAUCAAAGCAUUCUUGAAGUAUAUAAAUCUAAUGAAAAUGGUACAGAUUGAUGGGACUAUCUGCCUCUGCUAUUUAACAAAGUCUCUUUCUGGGUUAAUGGUUAAUGUACAUGUUUAGCCCAAUUUCUGAAAGCUGUAAAUAUGCAGAGAAAGAAAGAAAAAACCAAGAAGUUUUUGGUUCUUACAAGCUGUAGUUGUAUAUUUCAAAUUAAAAAGAAAAAAAAAAGAAAAAAAAAAAGCUGUAAUUGUAGUAGUGUGAUACCUCUUAGCACUGUGCCGGGACCAGCUAAUAAUUCCUCUAGUACGAUGAGUUCGAUGAUAAGAUGCGUCAACAAGGCAAAAAACAAAAUACAAAAACUGCAUCAAAAAGAUACAUGCAUGAAAAUUAUUUUAUAGUAAAACUUGUAAUGAAAUAGUGUGAUAAAUGCAAUCUAAUCGUCUAUUCAUGUUGGUUUAAAUGCACUUUGCUGUGAACAUCUCUAGUCGGUCUUCCUCCAAUCUAAAUGCGCCUCCAUCAUUUUCUCUUCCUCUUUCUCGUACUCUUAAUUUCAUCUUUUGUUCUAAUUUCGUGAUCAAAUUUUAGAAAGCACGCCCUCCCACUUACAAAGGAGAGUCUACCUUGUGAUUCUUUUUCUGUGCAUGCAUACAGAAAAAAAAAUAUAUACAUUAAUGAAUAUAUUUUGGUGGAGAUAGUUUUUAUCCUUAACUGGAUUUUCUUCUCAUCAGCCAGUUCAUUAUUAAUGAACCGUGUCGCUUUCAUAUGUUCUGAGUUAGAAAAACAAGGCUGCAUUUUCUGCAUUUGCAAAAUACAUCUCCCACCUCAUUACUCAUUAGUUAUUCAAUAAUAUAGAACAAUGACAUUGUUUAUGAAAACAUAUAUAGUUCAACAUAUAGCUGGUCCAACAGCUACUGCUCAGCAAUUAUUCGUUCUCCCAAAGUUCAAGUUCUUCAACCAUAACAAUAUCAUUCUUCGAGGUAUUCUUCCAAGAUCAAUGACGAAGCAGCUUCGCUCCAAGAGCGGCAAACACUUCCACAGCGAAUGACAUCCUUGACACUUAAGUGAACAAAUAUCUGUGAAAUGAAAUCUUUCUCUAGCUUUACCCAAUUUCGGAACUUGGAGUUGUUAUUCGUCAUCGUAACAAAGGUACUUUUCCCUGCAACCAUCAUAGAUCAAAACCAGGUACUGUAUAAUAGUAUCAGAUUAAAUUAAGCAUUGAAUCGAAAACUCUAGUAAGUGACCAUUUUCUUCCAUAAUAUUAUACAAAUUAAGAGAACAAAUAGCAAAUAGUGAACCUCAUUUUGUUAGAUACUCUAGUAGUGAACUGACUGAACUCGAUCUUAAAACAGAAAAUUGACAAGAUUAGACGAUUUGAGUCAUGUCUAUCACUUCACGCAUGCCUUAGGUGAUAAACAAAUUCCAGACAACUUAACAGAUGUCCACUAUUUGAGUAUGUAGGAUACAGACUCACACACAACAUUUCAGAUGAAUGCUGAAACCUAUGAAUAACCUUCACUACAUGAUAAAUGAUAUAUAUGCAACAAAAUCUCAUGAGCAAUAAGGUAAGUCAAACUACUUGACUGUUUCAUCUAGUACCGCUUAUAAUUUACAUCUGCUAAACCACAAACAAUUUAAAGUCAAGGAGGCAAACUUAACAAGGGAGACUGCAUUUGCAUACACAAAAGGGUGAUCAAAACAAUAAAAGAAGAAGGCAGUAGUGGUUCUUUCUAGGUAAUUAUGUUAACUAUUUUUUCUGAAAGAAGAAACGAAUAAUAUAAAUAGGGUCACAGUAGUACUGAUGUUACAUAGCGCUUCCAAGCGUAAAUCUUUACUUUCAAGAACUCCAAAAUAGAAAACUUUUCUUGCUUCUAAUUUCAAUGACAAAAAGAUAGAUCAUGGUUCCCCUUCAAGCAAAGAGAUCACCGCCUAGUAGGAAACAAGAUUAACAUAAGAAGUGAAGUACAUAAGAAGGUAAUUUGCAGAACAAAACCAUAAAAGUACUCAAUCCAUAAUGGAUACAUUAUUCACUUUUACAGAAACAUAUAAGCUUCGAGAAUAUACUACAUCUGUUCCCUACGCAGUAUUGAUGCAUCAAGUAUAUAAGCUUUUCUGCAUCAAGUAUGAACUCACAAAAGUCCAUAACGGAAAGUUUAUUCAGUUAAACAACAGUGAAGCAUUGAAAGCGAAAUCGAAAUAUUAAUGAUGGUUCAUGAACAUAAUUUAUUAUGAUUUGAGAACAUUCUAAGAAAUUCGACAAAUAACUGGAAUUAAAUAUAUAAAAAAAAGAACAUUUGCGCUGUAUUAAAUGUUAGAAUCUUUUAGAAAAUUCCUGCUAUUUCUUCACAGAAGAAUAUAAUGGUUAUAUUUAAGUUGAUCCUGUCCUGACAUGAUAACAGCAUGUUGUUCUUCAUCACGAGUCAAAUAUAAUCAGAUGAUGGUACGAGAAUUAGAAACCAGAAUAAUCUCACUGAAAUCACUCAUGUCGAAAGCAGUUUAUUGGAAUAUGAGGAUCCUUGAUUAAUUUCCAAUUAAUCCACUUCAUGUUCAAAACAUGAUUGUGGGUAUAUUGGCUAUUCCUAUUCAACACAAGAUUUCCAAAAUACAAUAGGACUAAAGUGACAAGGUGACAUGAUUCGGAUUGAAUGUAAUUGAAGUUUUGCAUGAUCAGAGGUAUCAAACUUGAAAUCAGAAAUGCCUCUACAAGGUAACAGAUUUAAGCAUCUUGUUUAUGGUAAGUUGAUCCUUUCUCUGACCAAAUUAAGUAAGUAUCUUAAUGCUUGAUUUCUAAAUCAGAAUAGAAGAUAUUUUGGUUGAUAGGCAUUAAUUGAUCUCGCAAGAUUACAUGCAAGUCUAUGGUCUCAACAUGCGAGUCUUUAUUACAGUUAAAAUGAUGGAAGAUAACUGUGUGAAUGCUUGAUAAUAGCUGGUUGUAAUUGGAAUGUAAAUGUCAAUUAUCUGAUUGCAGGUUUCAAGCAAGCAUUAAUUUGUGCAAAGAUAUAAAUGUGAAAAUGUCUAAUUGCAGGUUUAAAAGCAAGAAUCAAUUUGAUAUUUUUGGAAAGUGCAAGGUGAUGGUUGGCAGAUUGCAUGAUUUCCAAAAUACAAAUUAAUUCUGUCAUUGAGUGCAUUAGUUGAGGGGGAGAAUUUCAUUCUCCAUAAAUAGCUACCGCUGAAGAUUGAAAGUUUCAAGCUUUUUGAACAUUAGGAAAAGGCCUUCAUAGUAUUGCCUCUGAGUCAAAAUAUUUCAUGAUAAUGUUCAUAGCGUGUUGAGAGAUUGAUAACUGAUUGACUGCUUCUCUUAUUUGCAUUGUCAGAUUGCACUUGAGAUUGGUGAUGCAUUAGUGAUCAAGGGAGAUAGAAGCAAAGAGUCACAACUAGUUAUGUUGAAGAACCAGCUCACAGUCUGAUAGUGAUAUAGUAUCAGCAAGCAUGAUUCAGUCUCUCGUGUGUGGAGAUCAUUUGAAGUGUGUGGAUCUGAAGAGAAGAAUUCUUGGUUGUGUUUAAGAACCAAGUGAUCUGGUUGUGUUGUAGAACCAGAAAAGAAAUCUGAUAGUGUUGAAGUAUCAGUUACUGGAUCUCAGUUUCUCUUGUGUAGAGUUACAUGAAUCUAUUCUCUUGUGUAGAGUGAGUGGUUGUGUUGAAGAACCAAGUAACCUGGUUGUGUUGAAGAACCAAGGAAUACUGAUUGUGUUAAGAAUCAGUAAACAAGAACUAAGAGUGUUUAAGUCUUAGUGUGGAACUAGUUGUGUUUAAGAACUAGUUGAACUGAAAGUGAUGUAGUCUCAAUACUCUAGAUUCAUUUUCUCUUUGUAGAGUUACAUAAAUUAGAGUCAUUUGUGUUGAGAUAGAGAAUUGUAACCAGAAGUGAGACUUGUGGUGUUAUAGUUGUGUGAGAACUAUACCUCUUGUAAACUUUGAUUUGAAGAUUGAAGUAAUAAUCUUGCUUAGUGCUUUUUCCCACAUUGAGGUUUUGCACCAAACCAUUUGAAAUAUAUUGUGUUGAUUAUCUUUGCCUACUUAAUCCAUUUUAGUUUCUACAAUGAUUUUUGAGAAAAUAGUAAGAACUACGGUAAACAUGCAUUUCACAGCAAUAUGUGAAUGAUCAAUGAUGUGAUACUUGUAUGAAGCAUUUUAAAAUACUUUUUAGAGCAUAUGCUUUUUCAAUGUCUAGUCGAAGAGUACCUCAUGCAUUACUGAAUUUAUUAAAUUUGAGUCAAGUUGUUGGAAAAAAAUUGUCAUAUAUCUGUGAGAUUCUAUUAUAAUCCUGAUAAUCUGAUAUGAAACCUUAAAUCUAGAAAAGUUUUUUUUUUUCUCAAAAAGAAUCUCAUGUAUUUGACAAUUAAUAAGAGUUGCGUGUUGAUUGUUUGCUUACCAAAGUUUCAGAACCUAAUAUGUCAGUGAAGCUUUUUAAAGAGAAGAACCACCCAUCAACAACAUCAUUCUUAUUAAAACAUCCAUCCUCUUCAAGAAAUCAAGGCCAAACCAACCCAAAUAAAUUUGUAUGGUAUAAAAAAGAAAUAUAAAACAAAAGAAAGCACACCAUUAACAGUUUACUCAGAUCUCACAUAAGAAACCAGCAAAUCAAGUAUAAUCAACAAAAAUAUAUCUGUAUCAAAUUCCACUUUUUUGAGCUUGAAUCCCAAAGUAAGGUAAAAGAAAGGUUACCUUCUCUUAGAUGUGUUUGGUGCUUUUAGUCUCUUAGGAGGUGUUUGGUAACACGGACAAGAUAGGAUUUCAAAUCCUAUCCUGAUAACACUUGACUAGAUUAGAUUUAAGAUAUCCAUCUCCUUUUCCUUUAUCAUGUUUGUUAAAUAAGAUUGAAAAUUAGAUAAGUAAAGGUUUUUAAAAAAGAAAAAAAUGAAUUGAGCUCGUGGCUCUAUAGAAAAUGUCCACCUCCGAAACGACGCCGUAUUGCCUCCGACGACGACGCCGCCGUUCUCCGCUGUCCGGCCACGCCUGUGCGCUAGAUCGGUCGCGUUUUGAUCGUCUCCUCCAACCCGUCAUGCCUGUGGUGGUAAAUCGGAAUGCAUCAGUGAAAGUAAAGGUUUCUAUUUUCUGGGCAGUUAUGCUCCGGCGAGCUAGGGUUUCCGGCGACGCUUCGGGCUGCUUUAGGACAACUCUUUAGAGGUAUCUGGGUUGAGAACGACUCCAUUGUUCAUCCGAAAUCGACUGGGUAAGCUACUCCUGCGUCGAUCGAUCCGAAGAACUCUAGAAGAAGAAACCCAGAUCCAUCUACAGUUCCUUAGAAAUAGAUCCAAAUCAUCCAAUCUCACCCUGCCCUUUUGUUUUUCUUCUUCGGCAGCAUGUUCUUGAGGAUGAGGGCGGCAGAGGUAGACGAGGGAGCCGCCGACGCGCUGGGCGUAGCGUUCUUGAGGACGCAGACGACUCGGCCGGUCUAAGAGGUUGUGAGUUGUGACGGCUGCGGUGGUGAGGGUGAUGAAAAAAUGGAGAUUUGAUGAGAAGCGUCGUUCGUUUGUUUCCGUCAUAUCCAUAUGGAUAAGAAUAAUAACACCUUCCCAGCAGGAUUUUAAAUCAAGGUUUGACAAGAUUAAAAAUUUCUGCUUACUUAAUAUCUGAAUGUCUAAACACAACUCCUAAUCAGAUUGGCAAGAAUAAAUCUUGUCAGGGGACCAUAUCCUGGUAAACAAACACCCCCUUACAGUUUGAGAUAACUCAGAAAUGAACCAGCUGAUCUGUAUAUAGGGGGCAGUCAGCUAAUGAAUUUACAGGAAGAACCUCAUCCAUCUGUAACAGCACACCAACCAUGCUAUAAAACCUUGAGAAAGAACCAACAGGAAUAUGCCAAUUCAACAUCUAAGGUUGUUUCAGUAACCUCUAACUGGAAAAAUAAAAAAAUUGGUUUCAAAGUGUCAUUCAACCCUGGAUGAUAUUUAACAGGAUUAAAAGAAAAAGGAAACUCCAUAAAUGUAAUCUCACAAACAUGCACGAAAACAAUUUAAAAGAGAGCGCAAUUUAAUCAACAUGCAUGUGUCUAUGAGCAUUGAGUGUACGAAUUCUGCAGUAGAUUUUCAUCGGAUUGGAUAUGUUUUCUUUCCAGUUCAGCAACAAUUGUCAUUUUUGUUAAUCAAAUUCAAAUUCAUUUCCUUUUAAUAUGAGCUAAUAACAGAUACGAUAUUGGGUCAAAUUAGUUAUUUUCCUAAAAUGGAUUCUCAUUCUCAUCUCUUGCUGCUGUAUUGUCUUUAAAAUGUUUUCUCUGUACGUGGAUAUAGCUGUUCUUCGCACUACAUUCCUCUUCUUAAUCAAGCGUGUUAGUGGUUUUUCUACUUAAAUUUUCUACGUCAAGUAAUGAUCAUCUAUGACCUACUUCUAUGGAACUAUGGAAGGUUUAAUUCAUAGAACAUAUCAGUUUUCUGCAAAUCCCAGAUUGUCUAUGAGGUCAAAGAACAAUAACUACGAAGAGAUUGUCGGUCUAGCUAGUCAAGGAAUUAAUUCUUAAUAUCCUAGAAUAAGAAAAGAAGCCUUUACAGAAAAUAUUUAACUUCACUUUAUAAAUCGGAAUCUGCAACAUGAAAGGAAAUUGUCUAUUAAAGAAAAUUUACAUCAUAGCAUGCACAACACCUACAGCUGAGAAAUUAUACUAACAAGGUCAGCAAUAACGACAAUGUGCCCCGUGACAUGUUAUCUCCUUAUCUAACUGGAUCAAUGGGCAAGGGUACUCACCUCAUCCUUAAAAAUGCCUUUAUCAUAUCGAGAACAGAGCCAAAUAUCCAUCUGAAUUAAUCUGAAAGGGCAAACUUGGGAGUAGCCCGUCUGACAAAAUAGAAACUUCUUUAGCCGUGAAGCCUCUUGAAGGAAUCACUCAUCAAGUUGGGAGAGCGCAGACAAAUAUCCGGGGAUCGGAGAUUAGUCCAAUAUGAGGUAGUGACAUGUAACUCUUCUAACUGCCGUGUUUCUCUGAGCAAGUGAUGUAUAACAUCCUUGUGCACCAUGUUGCACUCAAUACUUAAGACCUUCAAACUUGUAGCAUAUGCAAGAAUAUUCUCAACACAAUCCAUACCAAACGGGCACAGCAUAUUCAGCUCGCUGAGGUUCUUGCAGUGCUGACUAAUUGCCUUCAUGAAUUUAAUAGAAAAACUACCUAUAAUUGUCACAUCCCGACCCUUAUAUUUUUACCUUAUUUACUAGCUUAAUUAUAAUAAGAAUUUUACCGUCCCCAUCAUUAAGUUAAUAGUUUAAUUGGUCUCUAGAGGUAUUUUAAGGGACGAUUAAUUUCGGGGAAUUGUUCGUGGGAGAAAAUAUGACGACGGUAAAAAUGGUAAAUUUUUAUUCGGGUAUUAUUUUUCGGGGUGUUUUAUUUCGGAUUUGGGUGGUAUAAGAAGGUUGGACCGGGCCAAAGGGUGGUCAAGCCUAGCCCUCUUUUCUCUCUCUCUCCCUCCCGGUUUUCCCGCACCCGAACUCCCUCCCGCAGCCGAUCUUUCUGUCGCCGGCCAGCCGCCGUCCGGCCACCAACCGCCGCCGCACCGGUCCCGUUCGGUUGGCCAUCAACCCAGCAACCUUCUUGGACCGGUGACAGCUCCCCUAGCGUCGCCGUGAGGAAGAUAUCGGGCCCGAGAGGUCCGACUGUGUUAGGUUUCACGUCGCCGGAACUCCCUCCUCCGGCCACCAAUCCGGGCAAGCUUGGUACGGUUUUGUAGCCCUCCAACCCAGCAGCCUUGCCCUAAAAGGACUCACUCCCUCUUGAGCUAGGUAAGGAGAAAUUUGAGGUGGAAGUUUUAUGGCGUUUUUGAUGUUUUUAGUCGAUUACCCUAGUUAGGCUUGGAAUUAGUGUUUGUGCUAGUUAGGAAAGUUGUAGAGCAUGAUGAGAGGAUUAUUCUGUCAAAAUUUCAUAGGUUUUUGAGGUCGCCGGAAUUGGCCUCCGGCCGCCGCUGCCGGCGGAGCCGCCGCGGUUUGGGAGAUUUUUAGGGUUUUAAAUGUGGAAUAUUAAGGGGAUUAUAUUGAUGUGAUUUAUGGAAUUUUUGGAUGAGAUUUGAAUAGGUUUGUGAAUUUCCGAAGUUUGGUAUUUUUGGCGGUUAAUUAAUGUAGAAUCUGGCCGUAGGAUUUAAGUCGUAUUUUGGGGAGGUUGUAGUUACGACUGUCGAGUAUGAUAUUUUAGUUCGGAUCGUUUCGAUUUAAGAAUAUCGAAGUUAGGUAAUGAUGAGCGUAUUUAUGGCUCUCGGGUAAUUUUGCCUAUUUUGAUUAAAUAUUGGAUUAUUAGUUGGGAAAUUAAUAUUAUAUUUGGAACAGGACGUGAGGAGGCUCGAGCAGACGAGGCCCCAGAUCGACAUCAGGCUUAGGCCUAAUUUGUGAGUGGACUUUUGUUUUAAAUAAAAUGCAUGCUAGAGUUCUUGAUUGAACAAUAUUUGUUGCGGAAUAUUUUGACGUCAUUUUAAUUUGACGAAUUUUAUUUCUCUUGGAGAGUGACCGAAAAUGGGUUUUCGGUGGAUAUAAAUAUGUAUUUAUGAGAGAGUAUGUAUAUAAAAUGUUAGCUAGCCAUAUGUGUCUGUCCACCUUAAUGGCGUAGCAUAUAGCCGCAUUAUGGUGUGACGUGAGCGUUGGACGUGAGCGUAGUAGCCCUAUUUGAGUGUUUAAUUCAUAUAGGGGGUAUGGACACAUAUUUAUACACCCGUCUGUCCACCUUAAUGGCGUAGUGUAGCACCGCAUUAAGGCGUGACGUGAGCGUUGGACGCGAGCGUAGUAGCCCUAUAUAGACCCAUGAAUUUAUAUAGGGAGUAUGGACGAGUGUAAAUACAUACAUAUAUUAUAGAGUCUGAGAGGCUCGAUAUUUUAUGAGAUAAAAGUUUUAUCGCUUGCGGCAUGCAUUCGAUUUUUCCUUAGAAAUUAAUUUGGGGAAACAUAAAUAUUUUAUUUUAUUAUUUUAUUUUUGUCCACUCACUUUAACGUUAUUAAAUGUUUUCCCCUGGGCCCUUCGUUUUAAAUUGCCCAGUCUGCAGAGUUCGGGUUGGAUCUAGUAGGAGGCGUGGCAUAGUCACCCACAUUUCCGCCAGUUUUCAUCAGUAGGUUACAUGUUUAACCUACUCGUGUUUUCUUACUUCCGUUAGUGUCUAGUAGCUCUGAAUACUUUGGGAUUAUUGUAUAUUACGUUUAGAAUUUCUGAAGGAUAAUUAUGUGAUGUUUGGACGUGUUGUAUUAAGAGUGUAAUUUGGAAUUUUCGAGUUAAGGUUGUCCAUUUUCAAGGGAGAUUUUCUCAAUCUUUUCAGUAAAUUUUCCUUGGAGGUGGUCCCCGCACGACUUACUCCGGGUUUCAGGGUGAAAUUCGGGGUGGGUCGUGUCAAUAAUAGUCAAUGACUCAAGCUUUGGCCAUUUCUUUGUAGACUUGUAAAUAGACCGGAUCUUAAUUCGGGGACCCGCUCCGGAUAAAUGGUUUUUAAACGGGUUUGAAUCGAAAAUUUGAUUCGUGGAUCCGUUAACCCGUUUACUGAACGGAUUGAAUACGGAUCGAGGUUGAUCCGAUCCGUUAAGAACCUGGAUCCGUUUUAAAAUAAUUAAAUAAUAUUUUUAUAAAUAUAAUAUUACUGAUAAAUAUUAAAUAAUAUAAUAUUUAUUUAGAUAACCUAAACGUCUAAAUUGCGUCUAAAGUAUGAUUUGAUAAAGUUGAAGAUUACUGAUGCCUAUAUUUUUUUUUAUGCAUUUUGCUAAAAACAUUGGAGGUUUAGUAUUUUGGUUAUAUUAUAGUUUAUUGUUAAGGAGUAUUUUGGCCAUGUAAUUUAACUUUUGAUGUAAACCUUUAUUUUGUUAUAAUAUUUCAUUAGUGUUUUAUGAAAACUUAUGAUAAAAUUAAGAUUAUAAAUGGAUCGGAUUAACGGGUCGGAUAUCCGUUAACCCGCCGGAUCCAGAUUUGGAUCGAGCUAUCAAUAUUCUGACGGGUAACGGGUCGGAUCCAGAUCUAGGUCGAUCCGCUCCAGAUCCGGCCCAUUUACAGAUCUAGUUCUUUGCAGCUUCUUCAGAAUCAUUAACUAGUAUAAAUUUGUCCUGCACUGAUAGAACAAGGAUCUUUUGAGAUUUGGGGUUCUGUAAAAGAGAGAACUAGUCAAUUUACGUUUCAUCAAAUAACCUCUAUAGAACAUUUUGGGAAGUAUGAACAUUGACCUUUUAGAAAUAAGAAACAAGUGCGGACUUGUUAUCCGAGAGUAGGCGUGGAAGAUCAAGCAAGAUAUAGAUCCACCACAUAAUCUGGAACCGCUAUUGACAAUAUUCAUAAUCAUCUGGCUAGACUGCUCGCAUUGUCGAUUGAAUCGAAGAUCUUGAUUUCCAGCUUACUCAAGUCAACUACCUCCCAGAGGCAGGGUUCGGAAGCUGCUUCCCGCCAAGAUUUGCAAACAAAUGCCCCACGUAUUAAUUCCACAACAUUAAAUGUCAUGAAUAUACGUAUGAGUAUAUCCUUAUCCAUGUCUGCCCAUCUUUCAAAUCCUGAGUUUUUGUUUGUCGUCAUACUAGAAAAGAAGUGGCUGAAACCAUCAAUCAGAAGAAGAUACUGUGUAUAAGUGUAAAGAAUCAAUGAUUAAACUCAACCAUUGUUAAAGGAAGAAAAUAUGUUGCUGAUAUAUUGCUGAUUCGUUGCUGACGUGAUUGAUAGAUAGAUAGUCACUAUUGUGAUUAUAGGAGUGAAUGUAGGAUCUGGUUUAUUUGUAUUUAUUCCUUACCUAGAAUAACUUCUGGAACUUGUAUAUUAUAGCAUAGCUUUGUACGAUUGAGACUAUCUAAUAUACACUCAUUCACAUAUCAAUUUGUUUAUGGUAUCAGAGCACCGAUUCUGGUGUCUCUAACCCACUACUUCCGCUACAAACAACCCACUACUUUUGCCACAAACAAACACAAACAUCAUGGCUGAGGUCAUUGAAACCCCAGAACCACAAAACACCGAACUCAUUCCUUCAUCUAAAGACAAAGAUGUGAAUGAUUUUGACACACCCAACCCUUUGACCUUACACCCAUCUGAUACCACUACCAGGACAAGUACUUUAGCCGACGAAAUAUUUUCGUCGGCCUGUUAUCCUAAUUCGUCGGCUAAGACCUUAGCCGACGAAGGCUCGUCGGCUAUAGUGUCGUCGGGAAAGGGUCGUCGGUGAUGGCUUUAGCCGACGAAUCUAAAGACCAUCGUCGGCUAUUGUUCCAGACUUUAGCCGACGAACUAUUUUUCGUCGGCUAUUGUUCCAGCCUUUAGCCGACGAACAGUAUAUUCGUCGGCUUUACUGACAAACUUUAGCCGACGAAUAUCUCUGUUUCGUCGGUUAAAGUAUAUAAUUAAAAUAUUUAAAAAUAACUAUAGCCGACGACAUAGAGUCUGUUUCGUCGGCUUUAGUGGUGUUUAGCCGACGAAACAUACCAUAAUUCCGUCGGCUAAACCCUUUGGAAAAAAAAAAUUACUAUAGCCGACGAAUUGUGGCAUGUUUCGUUCGGCUAUNNNNNNNNNNNNNNNNNNNNNNNNNNNNNNNNNNNNNNNNNNNNNNNNNNNNNNNNNNNNNNNNNNNNNNNNNNNNNNNNNNNNNNNNNNNNNNNNNNNNAGGUUUUUGACGAGGCAACAGAUCAGCACCAUCGGCAUAUCAGCGCGCGGCACAAGGGGGAGUGUUCUAGGAUAUCUCUACUGUGUGCCUUGGCCUUAUGCCAAUAGGAUAUGUAGUUAGACUAGAUCUAUGUAUUCAUAUCCUUACCAUAUUGGUAUUGUGUAAUUCCCUAUAUAAAGGGCUCCUAUCAAUGAAUAAGAUGACUCUCUUGCUAUCUCUUUGUCUCUACACUUUAUUCUUCAUCACGAUCGUUAUUAUUCUUAUAUAUGUAAGUGAGAAUUGAACAUAUGAACUCAAAUUUGUCAAUUAAACUACCUAACUAAACAGCACACGGCUCACUGACCGUAGACAACAACUCGGUGUGACAUUUAUAAUUCAACAAGAAAUUUUGACUAUUUAUCUAUGUAUGUUAGAUCAAAUAUAGGGAAUGAGGUACAUUUUUUCAUGUCACUGUGAUGCAUUCUUUUUAGCUUCUACAUGAUGUUACCUUUCUUCCAUGUAAAUUUAUCUUUCUCAGAUGUAAGUCAUAAAUAUCUCAUUUUGUGACGACUUUGUUGAACGCCUUUAUCUUUGAGUCAGUUUUUUCAACCCGUCACAAAUUAAAGUCUGAUAAAAUUAUAAAUCACCACUGACUACCUAUCCACAAUGGAGCUUGAAUUCCAUGAAUUGGUGGGGGAAGAAUAGUUACCUUAUGGGUUAUGCACAAACAACUCCACAGGAAUCGAUGUGAAAUGAAGGAAAAAUUUCAAUUGUACCAAGGAUUCAUGUCAUUCAUCUUUAGCUAGCUAGUCGCAUUUAGAUUUAGAGUAACCAAAACUGAGCAUGAUCCUCAGUUUGAGUUUUCCAAGCAGUGGUAAGGAUUCCUUUUUUAUGUAGCAUGUCUAGAGAAGCACUCUAGAAUUUGGAAGUAACAAACUAUCAACAGAUUGGUAUUAAACCAAUAGUUUGUUUCAAACUAUUAUACAAGUGAAGACUAGAGAUGAACAAAAAUGCAAGAUUGCAAGUAAAUUCUCUCACACUUGGUUAAGUAUUACAUUUUACAUGGUUUCUAGUGCUAGAUUACUGAUCAUUUUAACAAAGGGCACAGGACACUUGGAAACAAUAUCGAACCUAGACGGAAAUGAGGCAUGGCCAAACAGAGAUAAACUCAACAAGGCAAGCUCUCUAAGAGACAACCUUGAGGAGAGGAAUCCUUGCCAGUAAUAAGGAUCCAAGUCAAAGAAAGCAUCAAAAAACCUUCUACUUCCAUUAAGAUCAAGCUUCAACAAAGUUUCCAUCCCAAAAGAGUAAUAUUGCCUUACACAUCUCCUCUCAGUUGUCCACAAACCAUUCCACGCUCGUUCAUGAAGCGAUUUCCCUCGGAUCAUUCGAGUUGAACCAAGGCACUCUGCAAUGGCCUCAGCUAGUACCGGUGCUAGAGCCAUUGUCCGAGCCACCAUGUAACCAGUUGAAGGGUGGACAAUCCCAGAAGUCCCUCCAAUUGCCAUAACGCUUUGAGGUAUCCGAGGGAGCGGGCCUCCCAUUGGAACCACACACUUCUCAACCUCCAAUAUCCUCUUCACUCGAAUCCCCAAAUGCCUUAGCCUUGCCACCAUUCUUUUCUUGAUCUCCAUGUAAGAUAAAACCGGCCUACUAACCAGUGAAGUCUCUUCCAAAAAUACCAAGUUGGAAUCAAAUGGCAUUGCAUACAGAAAAGCAGGGAACCUAGAAUUACCAGUACGCAAGUAAGGUUCAUUCCCUAGAUGAGAAUCCCUCCAAUCCAUAAGAACCAUCUUAUCCAAGUCAAAGGGGUGACCUUCCACUUCAGCCAAAAUACCAUGAGCAAUCUGAUACCCAUGAUUCCUUGGCUUAUCAUACUCUAUGAAACUACUUGCAAAACCACUAGCAUCAACAACUAAGCUUGCCUUCAACUCAUUCCCAUCAUCACACACAAUCAAAGACUCAAACUCUUUGUGCUCAAUUUUCCAAACCUUGGCCUUGUGAAAUUUGACUCCAUUGGAGAGACACCUCUCCAUCAACAAUUUCUUGAGCUUCUUUCUACUGACCCGACCAUAAGGACGGUCUAAAUACUUGGUCUUAUUAUCAUCAAUAUGAACACAAGCCAUAGGCCAUGUUUUGUCUAAACAACUUUCAAGCUCCAAGCUCUCAAACUCAUCAACCCAUACACCAUAGUUAUUUGGCCACAUAGAAAGAGGUGAAGGAUCAACACAACAUACCUUGAUGCCAUACUGUGACACUUGCUCAGCUAAACGAAGACCAGCAGGCCCUGUGCCGAUGAUGAUCACAUCCACUCGAGACCGGCUACUCGGGUCCAACCGGGGCAGAUCAAAAUCCAACACUUCAGGUGUUGACUCUGGUUUCAAGUCCAGGAAAUUCCCAUACUUGCUGCUUUGGACUCUGGAAAAUCUCUUUCCUGUGUAAUGGGGUUUGGGGAAAGAGCAUGGAGGGCUGGAUGCAUGGAAGAGUUGACUGAUCUUGGUUGGUAGUAGCAGUGGUGGUGGUGGUGGAAACAAUCUGACGAGGGUGUCCAUCAUAGAGUGGGAUGAAGAUGACAGAGAAGAGGGACAGAGGUUAUAUAAUAGAAGAAGAAUGGGAGAUAGAGACAGAAUGGGAAUCUAAAGCAGUAGUAUGAAAGUGAUGCUUUUCUAAAACUUGGGUAGAGCAGCAUUUGUGUGGGGUAAACGUGCUGCAGGCCAUUUGUCGGGCAUUUAGACAUGCAUGAAACUCCACCCACAUGCGUUACUGAAACAAUUGAAGCCGCCUUGAUUUGGUAAUUGCCUAAUUGAAGCCGCCUCAUUUUCAGGUCUAGUUUGAUGUAUCCGGCGGGGGUAUUUGUUUGACUGGAAUCUAAACUACAAGAACAGAGAGCAUUUAUAUUGUCAAAAAAUAAAGAUGUGAUCAUCCUAUGAUCUUGAAGCAAAUAUUGUCCAAAUUCCUGAGACUCGAGCUGAUUAAGCGAGGGGAGAAUGUCAAUUUCACAUCAACUGAGUUCAUUCAAAUCAGGUGCUGCAUGAAUUGGGUUCCUCAUAAAGAUGAUGUGCAAUGUGUGAAAAGGAAGGUUUCCAAAACGGGUAAAAUAGAAGAGAAUAUGGGAUUGAUGAACUUGAAAACUUGAAUCAUCAAAUACAACUAGCGGUGUUUUAUGAUUUUCCAUUCGUAACAAGUGAAGUCAUUCAUCCAUGUCCCGGUGUUCAUAAAAUACCGAGAUGAUAUUAUAAUGCGACACUGGAAAAACAACGUCACAGACUUUUUGAGGAACCCGACAUUCCAAGUUAAGUUGCAAAGAAAAUAUUACAAGCUACAAAUAAAUUACUUUCAUAUACAACUAAAACAAAAAACAAAAAAAAGUGAACCCGUUAAGCACUGAUUUCCUUUUGAAUAUAGAAUGAUGGAGAUUGUCUUAACAGUUUUUGUUACAUACACAAAUACGGGAAUUAAUCAAGAUCUGCAGGACGGUAACGUGAUUCCUCCACAACAAGCAGCAAUGAUAAUGUACAGGAACACAACAAUCAAACAUGUCAACAGGGCCCUGUGCAAAUUAAACAAUUUUCAAUGUCCUGAAACAAUCAUAGAAUUACUUUCCAUCUAGAAACUUUUGUUUGACAAGCAGGAGAAUUCAGCAAGAAAAAACGCAUGGGUUAUAUUUAUUUCAUUUUCUAAUAAACAUAAUAUCAUCAGUAACAUAAAACAUGAUGACCACUACAAGAAAAGAAGGGCACCAUGAAACAGAAUAGAGAUCUGCAUUCGAAAAUAACAAUAGUCCACAGAUUUAUUCUCUUCAGAGGUUGAUAUCUUAGAUGAGUUCUUAGCACUAUUAGAAAAGCAUGAUCAAGUAUUCUUUCACAAAAGAUCUGAGAACGAACUGAUAUAUUCAAAACAAUGGCAACAAAUCAGUGAAUCUACUAGGUAAAUUUGAAAGAAGAAAAAGAAUGGGAAGCUUGCAAAUGACAAACAAGAAGAUUUACAGGUAUGAUUUGACUUCUCAAACUGCAACCCAUGUCAGGGAUGCUGGAAUUAGAGAGUGACUACAAUAGAGAUUGGCUGUUCUAGUGAGAGUUUUACUUUAGACUAAAAUACAAGAAAUGACAUUUCCUUCCAACUCUCCUUAAGUUGAAAAAGCCGCCAAUCUUUCCUACAGGUGUGAUAUAUUCAUUCCAUUUCUUUUGAAAUUAUUAAAAGCAAAGUAGAACAAUGAAAACAAAACAGAAGGUUUACUAAACUAGUAAACUCCAACUUCAAACAACCCUCUUCUCUCACCCCAUCUCUCGCAUCUCUUUCUGUGAAUCACUCAACCAUUUUGCUGUUGCUACUGCAAUGCUUCCCAUUCAAAUUCAUUUGGUUCCACUCAUCCUAUCUCUAGAGCAAGUCCUAACCUCAUUCAAAUUCCUAACACUCACUUGAUUAAAAAAGCAGGAUUCCGAUUUUGCUGGCUAUUCAUGAUUACACUAGUCACUUCCCAGCAUGCAUAUCUUAAGGAUAAUUACUUCUUUCUUCCCCACUAAAAAUUUCAGUCUUUUGGCAUCCGCAAUUUUUUAUUUUAACAAUGGAACAGUUUUAGCUUUUCUUUGUUCUUGUAGCCCAAGUUGGUUAGAAGAGAAGCACCCUCUAUGGAAGCUAGAGAUCAAAGCUAUUGGUACAAAAGAAUGCCCUUUUAGUUAUUGCAAGCUUGAACUAAGGCCCCUAGAAAGGGUCACUCGUUAGUUUCACUCUUUUGGUUUUUCUACAAGCGCAAAGGAGCUGUAAUUGAAACCUAUACAGGAGGCUAUGGGCAGCCAACCAAGGCAAAAAUUGGUAAUCAAGUAAAAGAGCUAUUGGAGGAAUGGUGCCUCAGUAUCUUCCUGUCUACCUUGUUCUCUUUUUCCUCCCACCAUUGUCUAUAUUCUCUAGCUUUGCUGAGACUACAGCAGCUAUAAUAAUACGUAUCCGUUUAGAUAGGAAUUUUAGCUUUUUCUAUACCACACAACCCCCCCCUCUAAAUCUGAAUCUGAAGAUGCACCCGCCAAGCUUCAGUUCACUACUGGCACUAGCUCCUCAUUGAGUGGCAUUGAUAAAAUACAAAUUUCAAAAUGCGAUAUACACCCAUUGAUGUGUGCCAUAUUCUUCUGAGACCUCGGUUAUUUGAUAAUAAAACUUAAGAAUUUUGGCUUCUGCCUAUAAAUUUUUGCCCCCACCUCCCAAAAAGCUCCAGAAGGGAACAGGUACAUUUCUCCUAAAACAGAUGGAGGCUGAUUAUGAUUCUAUCCUUGGCGCAGCUCUAUAAUUCACCUGGUCGAGUUCCGGUUGUAGGCCUAAAAGAAAGAAGACUAGAGAAAAUUUGGACUCACUUCAGUAAAGUUUUUUAAAAUUACACCAAACAAUUCCCAUGAAUCAGUUGACACACAUUGUUUUGAUAUAAACCACCUGCGAUCUCAUUACCGGGAUUAACAGCAGACAAUGAGAUUUGUGCAGAGCUACAGAUGCCAAAAAUAGUGCAAACAUUAUACAAUAUUGAUUAAUGACUUCUACGAAUGCCAAAAAUCUUGUUAUUUAUGACUGACAGAAGAUCCCUUGGAAAAAGUACAAGCUUGAUCCAACAAAAACAACAUGUGUCUUGAAAACUGUACAGAAAAUUCCAUACCAACUGAUUAACUGGUCUCUUUGGUUAUUUCUCUUCUAACACUUUUCACUUUUUUAAAGACUUGUCUUUCCAGGUCUCUAAAGCACAUAAUUUCAUAUUUAGUGUAUGACUUAAUCCUCCUAAGAUUAGAUUAGAUCUAUGGUAUAUUAGCAAAUAAAAAGUACUUACAAGAGUUUGGCAUUUUUCAUCCACAGAGCUUGACGAAGGCGCUUUGACUGUUUCUUGAAGUGAAAUGCACUGUCUUGCAUAGUUGCAGUUUUGUCAACAAGGAGUUCAAUUCGGUCGCCUCUCUCCAAAAUCUUUUCUAUGUUGUCGACCAUUAUAGUUCGUAUCUGGAUAUCAGAUAACUCAUUGUGAGAACAAACAGAGAUUUUCAAGAGCAAUCAACAACCAAACAUAAGGAAAUAAUAGAAAAACGCAGGCCAUAGCAGACCCAAAAAGUUAAUGAAAACAGUUUUGAAGUCCCUGUAUCAUGCAAAAAUCGUGUCCAACGAAACUAGCUCCUGAACUUAAAAACAAUAGCUACAUGAACUUUUCAAAUAUAAUUUCCAUCAUUUUCAUUAUUUGCAGCUUGCAGUGUAACUUUUUGCUUGUCAUUUCAAGUCUUUCAAUAAAACCUCAACAUGUCAUAUCAUCAAUUUCAUCUCUAGCUUACACUAUUAGUUAAGGAAACCAAUUAUUAGAGUGGGGGAACAAAUCUCCACAGUCAUAUAUCAACUUCGCCACUAGCUCAAACUAACACUUCCAAAAAACACAAAAUCUUUGGCCAAAUUUUUUACAAUAUUUCCAUCAUUUGUUCAUUGUCAACACAAACAUUUCCAAGACUCGUAACGGAAAAUCAAAGACGAGCACAAUAAUACUUGCCUCACCAACUUCGCCUCUCACACGGUUGAGAGUAUCAGCACUGGGAUUGCUGGAGAAAAACUCCAUUUGCUGGUGCAGCACUCUCGAAAACUCGUCGUUCAUCGCAUAAGCAGGAGCAUAAGGCGCAACUCUGCCGUAAUUCUUCAUGAAUCUCAUGUGCACAUCCUCCAAAUACGCAAACGGUAUCCUCCCUGCAUCAAAACAACCACAACUAAACCAAUCAAACACCAAAACACAGCGAAAUUCGAAAAACGACAUGAAUCGAAGCUAGAACUCACUGCCGAAAGUGUCGUUGGCCAUGCAGAGAAAGAUGAGGCCAUCCAAGGUGAGUAUGUGGAAGAUGUACCGAUCCUGGGAGAAGCAAACCCUGGAAUCGGCGUCCGGCGGGAGCUUCUCUAAGAUCCGGCGAGCCACGGCGCCUGUGUUUCCGGUGACGGCGCUAAACUCGGCCAGCACGACGGUGCCACGAGCGACGACGGCGUAGAGUAUCGCCAUGUCCGUCCCCGAUUAGGGCCCUGCGCGCUCUCUACUCCGAUCUCGAUCGAAUCCAAGUCUCACGGGCCAGUUUUGAACCUGAUUGACUCAGUCUAUUUAUAUAUUUUUUUAAAUUUUUUUUCCUUCAAAAUUGUAAUAUUACAACAAAGAAGUGAUAAUUCGAAUUUAAAGUUUGAAGUUUGAAAGUAAGCGCAACGUGAGCAAGUUUGUUGUUACCGGUGAGUCCACGACUUGUUUCGUUCGGGUGUAUGAUAAUUAAAGAUUAAAAUAUCUGUAAUAUAUCCGAUAUUUUUUUUUUUUAAGGUACCGAUAUAUCUAUAAGGGAUCAAUAUCUUAUCUUUCAUCGUAUCUAUGAUAUUUUCCCGAUAUUUCUCUGAUAUCGUCUCUGAUAUUUAGGAAAUAUCUCUGAUAUUUAUGAUAUUUCUGAUAUAUUAAAAAAUAUUUGUAAAAAAAAACUGAAAUGAUAUUCGGAAGAGAAGUAAUUCUCUCAAGGUAUAUCUCAAUGAAGAGUGUGGGUCUCGAGUGAUAUUUAGGAUAGAAGUAAUUUCCUCGAGGUAUAUCUCAAUGAAGAGUGUGGGUCUCGAGUAAUUCCCUCAAGGUAUAUCCCAAUGAAGAGUGAGGGUCUUGACUCUUGAGUGAUUUCCGGAAGAGAAAUUCCCUCGAGGUAUAUCUAGAAUAAAAGUAAUUCCUUCAAGGUAUAUCUCAAUAAAGAGUGUGGGUCUGGAGUGAUAUCUAGGAUAGAAGUAAUUUCCUCGAGGUAUAUCCCAAUGAAGCGUGAGGGUCUUGAGUGAUUUCCAGAAGAGAAGUAAUUCUCUCGAGGUGUAUCCUAAUGAAGAGUGGUGGUCUCGAGAAGAUGAUGAUGAAGACGGUGGAAGCGGAAAAAGUGGUGGAAAUACCGGGUUUGUAUAUGGACAAUCUUCUACAGUUAGUGGAUUGAACAAUUUUUCAUCUGAAGAAAAUUAUAAUCAUGCCUCCCAUGAUCAUGGCUAUUGAAGUACUAGGUAUGGCCGUAUGGAGCGCAAGAGGAUACUAUGUAUGGGAGGAGGACUAAAGGUUCGAAUGAUGAUCAAGAUGUUGCUUCAGUUGUGCUAAGUUUUGAGUCUAUCAGUUUAGGUAGUGGGAUUGGAACCUCAAAUGAAUCCCAAGAAGGCAAUAAUCAAUAUGGCUAUAAUGUUUACGGCUAUAAUCAAUGUACGGAAGUCAGUGAUCAGUCAUCUAGUUGGAUUCAUCCUUACUAUCUAUUUAUAGGGGAAACAGUCGGUUGCUCCAAAGACAUAUAUGAUUAUCAUAUUCAACACUACAAUUCGUACUAUUUGAGUCAUAUGUCUUUGUCUGAUUAUUAUACUUUUAUGGAUCAGCGUGCGUUUUAUCAACAACCUAGAUUCUCAUUUUGGAUGUAGAUGAAGUUGACGUUUGUAAUAUUUAUAUGUAAAUCCAAUAAAUUAAAUAUUUCAGAAAAAAAAAAUUCUUCCCAAAAUCCUGAUAUUUUUUCCUGGAUUUCCCCGAUAUAUCCAAUAUCUGUUUUUUUUUCUUCAAAUGACCAAUAGAUACACCGAUACCGAUAUUUUAAUCCUUGAUGAUAACAAAGUUACGAUGUUCACAAUUAGGAGCUUAUGGUUUACGAUUCCGGUGAGUCCAAGACUUUCAGAAUUUUGUGUAGUGUGUUUCGGGCAACAAUCUUCAUUUAUAUGGCUUGUAGAUAUAAGAUAUUAUGUGGAUGGUCUAAGAUCAGAUGACGUUAAGACAUAUGUAUGGUGAUCUUCACAUAUAAGAUAAGAUUACACUAUAUGUGCACAUUAUGUAUUAAUAAUUAUAAAAUAGAGCUGAAAUUUGCACUCUUUAAUUUACAAACCACACUCCCUGUAAGUUAUUUUUACCAAAUGACCCCUAAAAUUUUGCAAAAUCACAUCUCUACUAAUCCCCACCUUUUCUCUUUAACUGAAAAUGAACCUCUAUCUGGGUUGAAAUACUAUCAUCACCAACAGUUUUCUUAACUCAUCAUAUAUAUAUAUGAUGUUGGUUUGCAUUUCUCUUCUUGAGUAUAGUGUCUUAUCGAUUAAGAAAGAAUUCAUAACAAGAUUGUGUUCCUUUGAUUGAUUCUCUAUGAUGAUGAAGUUAAUUAAGAAAUAUAAAAGAUUGCAACGCAAACCCUUUGCCCAGUUUGCAUUGUUAUGGACUAGGUACUUCUUUCAACAAGAAAUCAAAAGCUUACGUUUUUAGAUAAGAGUACACAUUCAUGUAAUCUCAAUUAAACCAAUCCCUUCAUCAUUGCUAAAGCCAUUCUGAUUUAAAUGCAAAUAGGAGGACAAAAAACCAAUUACAGAGUGCAUCAACCUUUACCAUGAGCUCCCUCGCCAUGAACCCUAUUAAAUUGAGUCUUAACAAUUAAAUCAAAAGAUCCUUAGAUAUUAAAACAACUCUCAAGCAAAGUAAGAACCAUAAAGAAAUAAGCAACAAGAGUUUGAGGAGAGAGAAGACGACGAGGUAUGCACUGUGUAAGUGAUUGAGGGUAUUUUUGGCAAAUGGAAAGACAACUUAAAGAAAAUAUAAUAAAAUAAGAGUUGUGAAAUCCACACACCCUAAAUUGAAAUCCACACACCCUUUUUCUUUUUUUGGUAAUUUAAAUUUUAUCUUUUAGUGACUUAAACUUUGUCUUUUUGUGAAUGUGUUAACCAAAAAAGGAAAAAGGGUGUGUGGAUUUCAAUUUGGGGUGUGUGGAUUUCACAUCCCUAAAAUAAUCAAAAUGAGUGUGGUCUGUAUUUAGGGAAUGUAAAUUUCAGCUCCCUUAGAAAAUCACUUCAACCCCUCUUGUUUUGGAAAUAGAUGCAUUGAUAGUUGUUCAAGAGAUAAAUAACUUAGGACCAAACUGGUCUAUUGAAUAUGCAUUAGGGUGAGUUUGUUUCCGCUUUUAGGCUGCUUUACUUUGUAGUAAAGUUGCAUAAAGUGUUUGGUAACUUUGAAAAUGUCCUGCUUUGCUUUGAAGCAUUGGCCUUUUCAAGCCAAAAGCCAAAGCAACUCCUACCUUGAGUUUGGAAGCAGAAGCAGCGCGCUACUGUAGCGAUGAAUUAAUGAAUCUUUUAAAAUACCAAUGGGUACCCCUCAUGGCUCACAUGAAUUACGACCCAAUAUCAUUUGUGAAAACGCUGCUGCUACUUCAUUUGCGUCUUCUCUUUCAGUUCUUCAACUCUGCCACUCUCCUUCACAAUUCACAAACGUCAAUCACAACCUUGGGAUAAAAGAGAAGAAGGAGAUCGUUUGAUUUUCUGGUGAUUUCUCUUCUUCCCCUUUUCGCACCUGAUAUAUGAAGUCAGGAAAUUGUUUACUUGAUUUCCAUGGUAGUUCCACACUUCCACCGCUGAAUGGUUGUACUUGGAUAGAAGGUAGAACUCAUUCUUGUUUAUUGUUUAUUUGUAUUACAAAUUCAGUUGAUGAGUAAUUGGUAGGUUUAAAGAGAUUUUGAGUAAUUUUUAUUUAAGGUAAAUUCUUAUAUUGAUUGUAGUUGAAUAUUUGUUUGAUUGUUGUGGUUUGAAGAAAUUGAUAGGUAUGUAGUUUUGGGUUUUUUGAUCAUUGUACCUUUGCUCUGAUCAAUGUGAAAAAUGUGAUCGUUACAACAAUCACAUAAAAAAAGUUUACACUUUCUUUAUUGAGCCUAACCUUCAUAAUUAGGAAUUGUAGAUUUAUGUAAAAGCUAGGUAAGAUUACAACCAAGUCUUGAUAAAGUCCACAACACAGUGAUGGAAACCAUCUUUGUUGCAGUUUUUAUGUGGUUUUGUAAUUCAUCUUUGUUGUUCCUAUUGUUAAAUUUUGAUUGUUUUGCAAUUGAUCUUUGUUGGAUGUACUGAUUAGGCAUCUCAAUUUCUUUGAUAUCAAGAGGAGUUAGAAACAAUUGGAUCAUACCUUUUGGACUGGGCAUCCUGAGAUUAUUUGUAAUUGACAAAAAAUUUUAUGCAGGGUCACAAUUUUACAGUUGAAGCUGAUGGGUACUAUGUGGAGCCAUUUGUGAUCAAAAACAUAUUCUUUUACUCUGGUGAGACAUACUCAGCUUGAAACAUGAAGUAGUAAUUGUUAGUGGUAAAAUCAAAGGACAUGCUAAAUGUGCUAGUGCUUUAUAUAAUUGGAGCAUUCAUUCCAGCAACACAGAGAUCACAGUGUAACUUCUCAACUGGCUCAACAAAAAGAAUUUAAUUUGAGAAAACCACCUUCUUUUCCAUUGUAAUCUACUUCCUUUAGAGUGCAUGGUACGCAAAUGUCUUUCUUAAUAUUCGUGUUUGCUAGAACUUAUGUGGAUGCAAAACAAAUUGCACUUCUUAUCCAUUUGGUCUGAGAUAUUUUUGCUACAUGACAGGUCAUGAUAUGUGGUCUGAUAGGAAUACAGAGAUUAUAACUUAACUGGUCUUGUGUUGUAAUCAAAGAUAAUAAGUUCAAUACCAUCUCAAUUUCUUUUCAACCACGACACUCUAAAAUAAUUUUCUAAGUGUUCAGAAUACGGAGAUGCACGUAUCGAUACAUUUCAACUCAGUUGGAACAUGUCAGAUGGUCAAGGAACUAGAGAGGUUAAGAAAGAGGCUCAAGGUGAAGUGAAGUUAAGUUAUUGUUUUUUGUUGUUGAUGUAACUUAUAGCCAAUGUAUGGCUAGUUGUACAAGUUUGGAGGCUUUGUAAUCAGAUGAUGUCUUGUGUAAUCUAUAUAUGUUGCCUAUUAAUUUGAUCCCAUAGUUAUGAACUUGUGAUUAUUCUAUUUGGUUCCUAGUUAUCACUUAAUCAAUUCUCUUAACCUUUCAUCUUAUCGUUGUGAACCUGGGAAAAGUGUGAGGUCACAUACAUAUUAGAAAAUUACGGUAUACACAAGAAAGAGUAAAAUAACUGGAGAAAUUACGAGUACUUGAGAAAUGCUACUUAUAUGGAUUGAAUUCCAUAGGCCAUGACUGAGAAGUAAAUAAAGAGAAAAGAUUUCUCAUGUCCAAAUGGGUCAUUGCACAUUCUCAAAACACUUUUAGUUUUUACUUACCAAACACUUUACCACUACUUGUAACACUUGCAACACUUAUGAAAAGCCAGUUUACCAAACACGCAGUUAUUUUGCUUUCCAGCUACUUAUUCUUAGAAUAAGUAAAAGUCAGCUGUUUUUGGAAGCCACAACUGUACCAAACACACCCUUAGUAGAAGAGAUGAAAUCUUUAUUAAACUUAUUCUCUUUCAAAGUUUUUUAAUUUGUGUGGAAGUGUUUUCAGCUGUAAUCAUCUAGUGUGGUGUGUUUUUAUUGCAAAUAAGUGUUUGUACUUGUAAUUAUGAAUACCUAACCCGAGAAUGAGGCUCUGGGUUUUGUAUUUGUAGUUAUGUUGAAAUAAAUAAAUUCUAUCUUGUACCCAUUAUUUGGUCACAAAAAAAUUUAAUAAAUAUAUGCAUAUUUGAGUCUGCUUUGUGUUUCUAUUUUACAAAUACUUUGCUUUUAAGAAUUAAGAAUUUUCCAUACUAAAACAACAGUGAUUCCGUCAUAUUAAGUAACUAUUUAGACAAUAAGUCGUUAGGUGAAAUAGUGGCAUGUUGAAGGCUAAUUCUUAUGGUGGUGAGUCUUAGUCUUAUUAAAUAAAGUAAUAAGAAAACUUAAAAAGAAAUAUCUACCCUUUUUUGUUUACUACACUAUAACGGAAUAGUUGCCAAAUUUAACGGAAGUAUGUCAUUGAUAGCAAAGUAGGAGUUUAGGUACUACAUUGACAGCUUUGUAAGUCUGGGUAUCAAACUGACUGAGACACAAGAGUUGAGACACUGUUGGUGAAGUUUUCUUUUUGUACAUAUAUAGCCCUAGGAAAUGUAAUCAGAUAUUGCACAGUUAAAUCAGAAUGGCUAACCGAUAUGCUUAAACAGUGAUGCAAACUUAUCUACUACUUUAUAUAUGCAAUUAGUUCUUCUAAUAUAAAUCACUUAGGGUACCAUUUAUAUAUGUAAAUUAAGAAUUGAAAUUUGUUUAGUCCUUAUGGUUUGAAGUCGACAUCUGUUUAGUCUUUCUAGUUUUAUUUUAAUCUGAAUAGUCCUUAAAGUCACAAUUUUUCAUUUAAAUAGUCCUUAUGGUUUUAUUUUAAUAUGAAUAGUCCUUAAAGUCAUGAUUUUUCAUCCAAAAGCCUUUCCGACAAUUUUCUCAGUUAAAGGCCAUAAGGACUAUUUGGAUGAAAAAUCAUGACUUUAAGAACUAUUUAGAUUAAAAUAAAAUUAUAAAGACUAUUUAGAUGAAAUAUAGUAACUUUAAGGACUAUUCAGAUUAAAAUAAUACCAUAAGGACUAAACAGAUGUCGACUUUAAACCACAACGACUAUACAAUAUUUUACCCUUAAAUUAAUAAAACAUAUUUUAACACUGGUUUAGUAGAUAGUAAUCAGAAGACUAGGAACUCGAAUAUGAUUAUGACGGUGAAGUUAGAAGCCCUAGCGUUUGUCCCUCGUUGUGUUCAAAACCCUUUUCAACAUUCUAUCAAUCAUCUAGUUUGUUUUACUCUUUUCUCAUUGUUUACAAAAAUCACAAAAAAAUCUUCUUAUUUUCUUGUUAGUCAUUAGCAUAUUUUGGUCAAUUAGUUAGAGUUGAAAGUUAGUUAUCCAUCCCUAGUUGGAACGACCUCGUAUUUGCAUAAGCUAUACUACAAACGAUUCGUGCACUUGCAAAGUUAUUAAAAUUUGACAACAUAACCGAUUUCAACAAUCCAAGAAUCCGACCUGUUUGCAACUUUUCAUAGACUCCAUAUAUAUUUCUAAUUUUAAUGAGACAAAGGCUUGCAAGUAAUCUGUUCCACUACAACAAUGUGGAGCAAAGGUCACACACCUGGUGUGGCCUUUGGGGGUGUUGUAUUUUUUGUUAAGUGUGGCAAAUGAGGGUAUUAAUGUAGGUAUUGGUGAGGUAUGAGGGAAAAUGCCACACAUGAUGAUUUGCAACACCUCUAAAGACCACACAUCUUGUGUGGCCUUUGCUCCAUCUUGUUGUAGUGUCCCAAGGAAACAUGCAAAACCAAUUACCAAGCAAAGCCAGGUUGCUUUGCAAUACCUAAUAUGGUUCACAGCUUCACAUAAGCCGUACACUUCUGCAAGCACAUGACAGGUACAACACAUGAUAUAAUCUUGAAACCUUAACAAGACCCUAUUACGAAUUUAUUUAUGGAAUUACAAAAAGUAAUCUUCUUAGUUUACUUAAACUUCUACUGUCAAGAUCAGUAAGUUAUCGGUGAUAAGCUCGAAAUAUACGCAACAUGCCUCACAUUAUACCUUAUUGAUUAGUUCAAAGACACAUCACUUAUUUUGCAAAGCUUGUUCUUUAGCAAAAAUAGGAUCGAGACCUUCCUAUGCUAAAGAUAACCAAAAUAUUUCAAAGAAUACAAUGUGAUUAUUGUGGACUUAUCCAUCCAGAAAUGACGGACCAUUAAAGUACUUUAUGGUUUUAGAGGAUGUUUCGAUACGCUAGUCACAUGUCGAAUAAUUAUCCACAAGAAAUGCUGCAUUUGAAAACUCUUAGCACAUCUUAUACAUCUAAGGGUUCACCACCCUAAUCACCAAGUCUAUAGGACUUGACAAUGCUAAGAGUUCACAUCAAAAGUAUUUGAUGAUUAUUGCUUGUUUAUCAGAAUCGAUGUAAAGCAUCUUGUACCCCAUUUGCAUACACAAAAUGGUCUAGCAGAAGCCACCAUCGAUGGUGGCUAGAGCACUGGUUACGCAAACAAACCUGCCUAUAUCUGUUUGGGGUUACGCAAUAUUGCACACAUACUUACUUAUUCAUUUUUAGACUCACUACUAGUCAACCAAUUAAUGUGUACCAGUUGGUAACUGGACAUGAGCCUGAGAUUUACACAUAUUUGGUUGCACAACAUAUGUGUCUAUUGUGCCCCCACAAUGUAUCAAAAAUGGGUCCUUAGAAACGAAUAUGUAUUUAUGUUGGAUACGAACCUCCAAUAAUUACAACCGAUCUCACAACUCGAUUUGCAGAUUGUCACUUUUAUAAGACAAUAUUAUCGUCGGUAGGGGGAGAUAAGAAAAAGAAUAAUCUAUGGGAACGACAUGAAUUUUCGUGUUUGUCCCACUCUGUUUCAUCCUGAUCCCCACAUAAUCAAUAUUUAGAACGUAACAGUUUCGAUGCCUGAUGCGUUUAAAGAUAUUGCUCAAGUGACGAGAUCACACAUACCAACUGCAAAUGCCUGCAAGGUCAAAAGUCCCCAAUAAGGUGCACGUCACCGCAAAUAGAGGCGAUGUAACUACACUUAGUGGAGGUGUAGUUGAGGUCGUGGCUCCCUAAAGGAAGAGGGGGAGGGCACUUACUCGCCCAAAGGAAAAAGGUGGGUAAGGCACAACCUAAUAAUCAUCAAUGUAGUGAAUCUCUGUCAUAAGAUUGUCUCUGAUUACAAUUAUGUUCAUGAAUCAAUACUGGAGGACACUCCGAUGUUUAAAUGAUUCGUGAGACAAAAUCUCAAUGAAUUACAAGAGUAUACACAUUGAUGAUAUAUUCGCACUGUUGCUCAAGAAACUAUAGAGCACGAUGAUAUUGAACCAGGUUAUGUUGAAGAAUGUCAACAAAGAGCAUAUUGACCUAAAUAAAAGUGCAAUAUCCAAGAAGAGCUAUUCUCUGACAAAGAGACAGAUAUUUGGUUUUUGGUAGUGCUAACCUUAUCAAGUGUAAUGCCCGUAGGACAUAAAUAAGUCUUUGUCAAAAAAUGUAAUGAGAAGAAUGAAGCCUUGAAGAACAAAGCUCGCCAAGUGGCGCUAAGGUUUCUCGCAACGCUUUAGAUUGACUACGAGGAGACAUAAUCUCUCAUAAUGAAUGCAACUCAUCGAUGUGGUUACUAGUUAUCUCCAUGGGGAUCUUAAUUGAGAGAUAUUUAUUAAAGGGCCUAAUGGCCUUACACUAUCCAACUCAAGUAACUUUAAACCACGGAGUGCGUUUGCAAUUAGAAUUGAAACACUCACUAUAUUAAAAGUGACUACUUUGUUGGGAAGGGAUAUAAAUGAUGAACUAUGGCCUCAUAAAGGAAACAGGUUCGGAUUUGCAAUUAUAGUCAUCUAUAUGUUGAUGCUAUGAAUAUAGUAGGUAUUCUUGAUGAAAUAAAAGAAACCGCGAGCUACAUAAAAUCCGAAUUGAAAUGAAUAAUCUUGGGAAACUCAAUUAACAAUGAGUUUAUGUCAGUACCCACCCUGAAUUUCACCCUGAAAUCCGAAGUAAAUCCUGCGGGGUCCAUCUAUCUUCAAGGAAAAUUUACUAAAAAUUCAGCAUAAUCUAUCUUGAAAAUGAACAACCCUUACCUGAAAAAUUCCAAAUAAACAAUUCUAUUAAAAAUCAUCCAUCCUCAACUCCUGGUGCCUUCAUGCUCCCCAAGUUCAUCACAUCUCCCAAUAUAUCAAUUAAUCAUCUAAAAGCAUCCCACAACCAACAACAAAGACAUUUAAUAAUUUACUACUGGUCUUUCAGAGCAUAUCUAAAGAUGAAUGAAAAACAAUGAAAACGAAUAAGCGAAAGCAGCCCCUGACUGUGCCUCGACUCCAUGUACGCUCGACCUCAUUUAAACUUAUCCUGCAUACUGGGCAUUUAAAACCAAAAGGCCCAGGGGAAAGUAAUUUAAAAACGUUAGAGUGAGUGGACAAAAAUAAAUUAAACAAUUUAACAAAAUACGUAAUUUAAAUACUUUCCCACAUUUCAGUUUUAAAAACUUAGCUGCACGCAACUUUCGUAAAUCAUAUAACUUAAAUUCCAGAAACCCAAUAGAAUGGACAAACCAAUCCCGCUGGUUAAUCAAAUAAAGAAAUCUCGUAAGAAGAGAUAAACCAACCCCGCUGGUUAAUCAAAUACAUAACAGAGAAAAAUAAAAUAACAGGAAAAGUUAUCACCAUGUAAGAGGAGCCUCCAAGGCUCGGGUCGGUGCCUCCCAGACCAUAGUAGCGUCCCACGCUAAGUGCUAAACUCACCUAUGGUGAGGACAGCUAAUAAGGCUAGCUAACAAUAAAUAAAAAUAUCUGAUCGGUGCCUCCCAGGCUAUAGUAGUGUCCCAUGCUAAGCGCUCGACUCACCUAUGGUGAAGACCGCUAAUAAAGCUAGCUAGUAAUGAAAUAUAAGCGACCCUAUAUUUUGGUGACUAAAAACAUACGACAUCACUUAAAUCCAUUAAACUUCCCCAAGAUCAUAUGAAUGGUACGGUUACGGUUCCCAACCGUACUUGAAAAUCAUCAUAAGAAAUUAUAUUAAAACUCAAUGACGUGUCUCACACGUCAAAAUAUUCUCAAAGCCAUAAUAUAAGCGAGGUUUAAUUAACAAGUAAAAAUCGUAAUUAAUAUCUCAAACCAAAAUACUCGCUAAAAUAUUCUCAAGGUCAAGAUCGAUAUUCCACAAAUAAAUGCGAAAAUUAUAAAUAGCGAACUACCGAUAAUCCCAUUUUCGGAAAUCUUUUAUAUAAAUCUCAAGUCCACAACUAAAGCAAUCAUAAUGAAAUCCAGAAUUUAUAAAGAAUAUCCAAACUCAAAUACCAAAUUAGUAAUCCGAGCUCAAAUUCAUAAAUCAUGACCCAUAAUUAAUCAAUGCUUCAAACUUAAAUACUUUCCAAGAUCAUUUCGUAAGCCGAAAUUAUAAUAUAAGUUCGGAAAAUAAAAUAAUAAAUUAUAAAAUCUUGCAUGCAUAUUUAUUUAAAACCAAAAUGUCCACUCACAAAUUUAAGCAUAAGCCCGACGAUAUCCACAUCACCACUCAAGCGAGGUUCCCUUCGUAUCCUGGCACAAUAAAUAUGCUUAGGACCAAACUUCAAUUCCGGAAAAUAAAUACUUGAAUAUAAACACCCAAAUCUCUUCCGCUUAACCCACUACUCUUACUAGGGUUAAGCUUACCGGAUUCACACCAAACUCCACCACAACCUUAAUUCAUCAAUUCUAACAUUCUAGAAUAAAUACCAAGGAAAUCCAACGGCCAGAUUUUCACUAUAACAACCGCCAAAAUUCUCAAUUUUUGAAAAAUCCCAAACCUAACCAAAACUCCUCCAAAAAUUCCAAACAUUACAUCAUUAAACUCCUCUCAUUAAAACAAACUCAAAAACAUGAAAAACUACCCCUAAGCGGCAGCGGCGCCGUCUGUUCCGCGGGCAGCGGCGGCUGGCCAGCCCAAUUUCAGGCGACCUCCAAUGGCUACCAAAUUUUGACACAAUUUUCCUCUCAACAUUCCAAACAACUUUCAUAACUACCACAAAGUCCAAUUUCAAGCCUAACUAGGGUAAUCGAAGACAAACAUAAAAAAAAAUCUCAAUUUCAAACCUUAGAAUUUCAAACCUUUGAUUCUCCUUACCUAGCUCGAGUUAGGUCGAAUCCUUUUAGGGGUUUGCUGCUGGAAGGGAGAGCUUCAAGACGAGACCGGUAGCUCUGAUUUUUUUGGCCGGAAAAAGGAGUUCCGGCGAGAACACCUCCGCGGCACAGCCGUGACUUCCAGGCGAUCAUGCUCCUUCACGGUGGCGCAACAUGGGCUUCCACCUACCUAGACUUGUUGUCACAUCCCGACCCUUAUAUUUUUACCUUAUUUACUAGCGUGAUUAUAAUAUGAAUUUUACCGUCUCCGUCUUUGAGUUAAUAGUUUAAGUGGUCCCUAGAGGGGUUCGGGGACGAUUAUGUGCGGAGGAUUAUUCGUAUGAGGAAAAAUACGACGACGGUAAAAAUGGUAAAUUUAGCUAGUAAAAGGUAAUUUUUAUUCGGGUAUUAUUUUUCGGGGUGUUUUUAUUUUUGAGUUGGGUUGAUAAGGGUGGACCGGUUGGGAGGCCCAACCCAUUUCUUUUUUUUCUCUUCUUCUCUCUUUUCUCUUCCUCCUCUCUCCCGUGCCCUUUCCCCCCUGCCGGAUCGUCCAGCCGCCGUCCGGCCAGCCACCGGCCGCCGCUCCACCCCAGUUCGGACCCCCAUCUCCUCCUCUCCCACCCCGGCCUAGCCCCCGAGCCUCUAACCCGCCGGAAACACCGGGAAGCAUUUCGCCGGAACUCCCUCCUCCGGCCACCAAUCCGGGCAAGCUUGGUAUGGUUUUGUAGCCCUCCAACCCAGCAGUCUUGCCCUAAAAGGACUCACUCCCUCUUGAGCUAGGUAAGGAGAAAUUUGAGGUGGAAGUUUUAUGGUGUUUUUGAUGUUUUUAGUCGAUUGCCCUAGUUAGGCUUGGAAUUGGUGUUUGUGCUAGUUAUGAAAGUUGUAGAGCUUGAUGAGAGGAUUAUUCUGUCAAAAUUUCAUAGGUUUUGGAGGUCGCCGGAAUUGACUUCCGGCCGCCGCUGCCGGCGGAGCCACCGGCGGCGCCGCCGCCGGUUAGGAGAUUUUUAGGGUUUUAAGUGUGGAAUAUUAAGAGGAGUAUAUUGAUGUGAUUUAUGGAAUUUUUGGAUGAGAUUUGGAUAGGUUUGUGAAUUUCCGAAGUUUGGUAUUUUUGGCGGUUAAUUAAUGUAGAAUCCGGCCGUAGGAUUUAAGUCGUAUUUUGGAGAGGUUGUAUUUACGACUGUUGAGUAUGAUAUUUAAGUUCGGAUUGUUCCGAUUUAAGAAUAUCGAAGUUAGGCAAUGAUGAGCGUAUUUAUGGUUCUCGGGUAAUUUUGCCUAUUUUGAUUAAAUAUUGGAUUAUUGGUUGGGAAAUUAAUAUUAUAUUUGGAACAGGACGUGAGGAGGCUCGAGCAGACGAGGCCCCAGAUCGACAUCAGGCUUAGGCCAAAUUUGUGAGUGGACGUUUAUUUUAAAUAAAUGCAUGCUAUAGUUCAUGGUUGAACAAUUAAAUGUCGUGGAGUAUUNNNNNNNNNNNNNNNNNNNNAGUUUUCAUCAGUAGGUUACCUGUUCAACCUACUCGUGUUUUCUUACUUCCGCUUGUGUUUAGUAGCUCUGAAUACCUUGGGAUUAUUGUAUAUUACGUGUAGAAUUUCGGAAGGAUAAUUAUGUGAUGUUUGGAAGUGUUGAUUUAAGAGUGUAAUUUGGAAUUUUCGAGUUAGGGUUGUCCAUCUGCAAGGGAGAUUUUCUUAAUCUUUUCAGUAAAUUUUCCUUGGAGGUGGUCCCCGCACGACUUACUCCGGGUUUCCUUGGAGGUGGUCCCCGCACGACUUACUCCGGGUUUCAGUGUGAAAUUCAGGGUGGGUCGUGUCACUUGUAGAGGAUGCUCCAAGCUUCAAUUUGAUACCAAGCUUGCCGCCUAUCUUGGCCGGAUGGCGGCGGACGGGGGCGUUGAAGUCCGGCGGUCGAAACUGGCGCGGGAGAGGAGAGAGAGAGAGAGAAAGUAACUUUCUGAUUUCUACCUUACCUCUUCUGGUAAGUUUCCCUUUUUAUACUCCCAACUGAAAUAAUAACUAUUGUUUUUAGACCAUAACUUCUUCAUACGAACUCCGUUUUAAGCGUACCACGUGUCCACGAACUCUGUUUAACGUCCUAUACGACUUUCAUGAAGAAAGUUUUCCCAAAUUUUAGACGAAGGAAAAGUCAACUUUUGAAGCCUUAAAUAGUAAAUGGUUACUCAAAACAGUAAAAGGUCAAAGUAACCUAAAAAUCAAUAACCGCAAAUUAAUUGAAGAACCGGGAUGUGACAGUUUAUGGAAUACUAAUCCACCAGUUUACAUGUGUCUAAAUGAUUCUCAAGCAUUUACAUGGACAAAAUGUACACUGUUAGCACUCCCAAUGAUCAGUCGAUGUUUGGAUGUAAAGAAAAAUCCAUUUCGUCUAUAGAAAGAUCACGAAGAAGGUUUCAUAAUUGAAACUCAUUCUCUAAAGUGCAAUAGGCGCGACCCGAUAAACUCAAUCGGAUAUGACAUUCUCAAAGAAUUUGUAGCUAAACUUAGCUCAACCCUAACGCAAUGUCAUUUGGAAGAUAUAAAGAAUGUAUCUUAAAUGAACUAUUGACUUGAUUUUGUUUGUGAGCUGUACUUGGUUGGUUAAGGUGUUUAACUGACAACUUUGAGGUCAUGAGUUUAAACUUCACGACAUAUGUAGGGUAUAUAUCUUAUUAUUAAAAAGGUUUUUUAUGUAGGGUGUAUACCCUAUUAUUAAAAAGUUUUUUUUAAAAAAAAAAAAAAAAAAAACCUAAAAUUGACUUGAUUUUAAAUUUUUCUAUGGGCAAAUGAUUUGUAAACUACUAGUUAUGUAAUCUUCCAUCUGACUGACUUCCUAUGCUUUUUCCUUUUCUCGUUGGACUGACUGCGUCAAAAAUACAGUUCUUAAUAGCAGAUGACCAUCCUUGUUGAACUUUUCAGUUUAACAAACAGACCAUCAAAGUGGGGACACGAGUGAAUUUGCAUAAUGUACAGAAUGUUUUCAAUAGAUUAUAAUGGCUGGGAAUUGCACACGUCUUAGAUUCUGUCAACACAUAUUUUCUUACAUAACCAAACUUUUAGGAAUCGGUUUUACUUGCUUCAUGAUACAAAAGUACUUUUAUUUUUACCCAUCACUCACUUUUACAAUAGCAAGUGUCAAAAAAUAUUAGAAUUUAACUACACUGAAAUUCUACCAAAAUAUAAUCGAUAAGUGCUACACUUAGAUUAAGUUAUGCCUAUCAUUACUUGUUCCUUCCAAAUUGAUAAUUAGCUGAACUUUAGAACUCGAUGAUCAGAUCAUACCGUAAGUGUAGGUCUGAACUUUUUUUGCAUCGAAGUUCUCAUACUUAAACUUUAAACAUGUAUGGCUCAUUACGCACACCUAAGCGUUAUCUUUUUCUAAAUACGUAUCGGUUUAGAGUAAGUUUAGCUGCUCCCAUUCCCAUAGAGGUUGUUCAAGAUCAUCAUUCAUUUCCCAAUCAGUAGUCUCUGAUGCUUGAAGAUCAGCUAGGUCUCCUGAAUUUGAACCAUGAGUAUCAGACGAUGAACUUGUUUUUUCUGCCACCAUUGUUGCUUGGUGAGAUGAAGAAGUACUUGCUCCCAGUAAAUUGUCACUUUGUCGAUGUGAUGUGUCGCCGCUUGCUUCCAGCGGGCGUCUAUCAAAAGCUCGAGAACUCCCCGAUACUAUGUACACUCGACACAGUCGGAACUCAUUCCUCAACUAUAUAUAGUAAAACACAAGAAAAUGUCACCAAAUAUGUACGAAAUGGGUAACUAUUCGAAUUUGGGCAAGUAAAAAGCUGGAAGAUAAAAACUCACCUUGGGAUUGGUAGUAGUAGUAGUAGCAGGGCUAUUUCUAGUGGUAGCAGCUGAGGGAGCUGCUGCUGCUCCUUCAAUGGCUCUGUACUCGUUCAUCUUCCACUUGGUCUUUCUUCCCGUCGGAGCUUUCCCUUUGUAGAAAACCAUCGUCUUCUUCACUCCAAUGACUCGAUUAUCCGACGAGUAAACAUACCCCGGGGAGCCAGUGGCCUUCCAGUAGCCGGAAGCCGUAGUCCGGUUAGGUCUCCCUCCUUGCGCUUCUCGUUGCUGCCUCGGCGUAAAGAAGAACCACUGCUCGGUGUCUCCACGGCACAACUCCGCAGCAUACCCUGCAAUAAACUGGUUAAUUUUUCAUACAAAUGUACUAAAUUUGUAGUAGCUACAACUCAUUGCAAAGCUUCGGUGGGAUUAAUUGAAGUGCAGGAAGUACUUGGGAGAUCCCAUGGCUCUGUGCUGUAAAUGUCGAGGUCGGGAAUGACGCGGCGAAUGCUGCCUUGGCGCUUGGAUUCGAGCUUGUUGAGGAGGUAGAAGGAGACGAGUUCUUCUUCAGUUGGGUAGAAACGAAAGCCUGUUGUGGGUUCUUGAUGAUCCAUCUUUGUAUGUAAAUAUGGGUGAUAGAUAAUUUUAUGUUUAAGUUUGUGUUUUGGUGAAAGAGGCAUUUAUAGGGAGAGUGAAAGUUGGGAAAAGUUUGGGGGAUUUUGGGUUUUGGUGGAAACUUCCACGCGCUUGUUGGAAAAUGAGGUACUUGUUUUGUCCUAGAAAUGAUGAUUGUGCUGAGGUCAUCCAAUAACUAUACCUGAAAACCUCGUUUGAACAAGUCCUAUGCUCCCUGUCUUGCCGUAAUUUCACUCUUUUCAGGUUUAUUAUCUCUCGCUAAAAUCAAGCCAGCCAUAUUUAUGAGAGCGAGUGUGAGAUACAAUGGUCAUGAUAUUAGUAUAUAUGCAUGUAAUGUGACGUAGAUGACCGGAGUUUAUAUCCAUUGUGUAAAGAUUAAUUUUGUGUAGAAUGUGUUCCACAAACUCAUAUCUUUUAUCCGGCUUAAUAUUGAGUUCAAACUCAGCUCAUGUUUUUUGUCUGACUUAAUACGAGCUGAACACAAGUCGAACACAAACUGUUUGAGACAAAUCUUGUUGCAUGACUACAUCAACAAGCAGAGCAGUGCCAUCAAACCUUCACCAAUAAGUGGACACUCCAGUAAGAGAUGGUGACACAAUUCUGUACAAGAACUAAUAUGUGUGGCUCAACUGAUUUUGGGGCCGGGGCAUAAAAAAAAAUCCAAAACAUGUUUCUUACCGCAACACUUUUGACAUCCCUUUUCUAACCUAAAGCCAAGCUAAAAGAAAGCUUCAUCAAAUUGUGAAUUGCUUAAAUUACCUUUCAUGUUGAUAAAAAAUCACUUAAAAAGAAUUAUCCUAGCUAUUGUGUUAUAAGAAAAAAAAAACAUAAUACAAAAUGAAACAAGGUGGUGACAAAAAACCUUACACGUUUUCUCUAUUCAUCAAUAACACGUCCAUCAAUAUCACACGGGUAAGAGUAUAGUUUCCAAUAAAACAAACCCGAGUAUAUAAUCAGCCCUGAGCUGAGACUUGGUAGUAAUUUUCAACUUUGGUAUUAAAAAAAAUUAAGAAUAUAAGAUAGUCGCAUGUUCUUGUUGAAGAGAACUCUCGAAGUACUUAAACAUAUAUAAUAACUCUUUGUUUUGUCGGAUGAGAUACUCUCUUCAUCUAGUAAAAAUCUUUAAAAAGAAAAUGGUCUUGCAAAUGUAGUAUCAAAAUGUGACAGGUAAGCAAACGUGAGCUGGAGUACUAAGCACCAAAACCAUGAGCAUUGACCCAAAGAGAAAUAAAAGGCAGCAAAAAUCAAAUUGAAAGGGACAUAAAAGAAAGAAAUGUAUAUAUUUUGGUGAUAGACUGAUUCUUUUCCAAUAGAAAAUACAGAGAGUAAUCAAAGACCUAGUCCUAAUGGAAGGGGACAUGAUCGAGUACACAUAAAGAUGGAUAAAGUGUGUCGAUGGCACAAUCACAAUCCAAACCCAAUCUUUGGACGCGGGUUUGGGAAAUUUAUUCGUUUACCUCUUCAGACCCGCGUUAAGCUUAUUUGUCACUCCCAACUUUUAUGGCAAGGUAAGGUAAAGGGCAGGGGCGGAUCUAGGUACAGAGGACCGCAAGAGUCCUCCUAAGAUUUUGGGGUUGAAAAAAGAUAUGUUUUUAUGAUGUAUAAUUCAAACAUAUAUUUGUCUGAUGGUGACGCUAAACUCUAGAUUAUCGGAAUCAAGCUAUUCUCGAGUUCUUAUAUUCUUCCCAUCUGUCUCAAACUCUUAAAUAUAACUUAUAAGUAGGUGAAUCAUACUUAAUCAUAUUAAGACAUUUCAACACCUUAAAGAUGAUUAGUUUGAGACAAUAAUAAUACACGAGUCACGUUUGUUGUUCUUUAACAAUAGACCAUGCUUGUCGUUAUGGACAUGCUUUUAUGCAAGGAGUAAAAUAUCCAAAAUAUCUUUAAUAUUUCCUCGAAAUUUCUAUUUUUUACAAUUACCGAUAUUAAUUUUUAUAUUUUUCUGAUAUUUUAUAUUUAAUAUAUUUUUGGUCAAAUAUAUAACUUUUAGAUAAAAUUUGGUAAAAUUUCUAUCGAUAUUCGAUAUCAUCUCUAUAUAUCCAUCGAGAUUUUAUUUUUUUAAAUUAUCAAAAUUUCCAUAAUCGUCGGUAUUUUACUCCAUCGAGAUUUUAUUUUUUUAAAUUAUCAAAAUUUCCAUAAUCGUCGGUAUUUUACUAUUUGCUUUUAUGUGUAUAGCUUUCUUUAAUGGGAGCAAUCAUAGGGGCUUUCCAUGCGAAGUAAGAUAACGACCCGUGUAGCCUUAAUGAAAGAGUUAACUACACCGUCAUACUUAGUAGCUUCACCUUUUUGUGUUCUUUGGGCAAGACUCAGUCAACCUGGAACCAGCUAAUAGCCUAGGACCCCAUCGUAUGAAUCUUAAACUUGCUACGAGUCUCUCAACACACGCUCACGCAUAAAAACAUAAACUUCCUUUAAAACUACUUGCAAACAAAAUCAGAAACUCCGACCAUUCACGGAAAAUAUAGAUGUUGACAACAAGGGCAACAAGAACUCCCUAGUCUUCACACACUCAUUAGUUGUAAUGUGCUCGCGCAGUGCUCCUUAUUCAUAAAAAAUUUCCCCUCCAGGGAACCUGCUUCUAUAUAAAACACAAACCUAGCAAGGAAAAGAGGAAGAAUCAGUUACCGUAACUGAAGCAACAGUUGCACAAUAUGAACAACAUCCCAACAUUCUGUGUAAUCCUUCGAGUAAACAGCUAAGCUUAAUGAGCUUUCCCUACUGUUUCAUGUCAGCAUGUCUGCUGUAACGUAUAGUUCAUAUCAGUUGUAAACUCGUGAAAUCUUUUGACAUAUAUAGACUUUAGGAUAUACAACACAUUAUAGAAUAGUGGAACAUUUGCAGGACCCUAAUACCAGAAAAGGCAAAGACGUAUAAAUUGAUGAUAAGCAACAUCUGCAAUAAUAGUACACCAAGUUUUACUCUCGAGAUCCUAGAUGAUAAGCUCUAAAUCUAAGCAGCAAUCUGAUUACCGGAAGAAAAGAAAGAUGUAUACAAUAUUGGGAAAGCCAGAUCAGUACCCUUGUACCAUCCAUGAGUUACUAGGUCUAAGUUUAUUAUGCUUGGAGAUGUCACAGUAGCUUCGCAUCACCAUUGCUGUCAAAGCCUAAAAGAUAGAUGAAAAUCCUCAAGGCGUUGAACCAGCGGUGGAUUUGGUUCGAGCUCAUUUAAAGAUUAGCAUCUCAGCUACAACUUCUAGCAGUCUACUAAAAACUGUCAUGAAUAAAUGAGAUGCUAUUCAAAACAUUACAAAAUGACCAGCAGUCUCCAUCGAUCAUUGAGCUAAAACUGGAAACCAUUACCUAAAAGAACGGCACAGAAUUGGGAAAUAACCACUUCAUUCAAGACAAAUAAUCAUUCACCUUUUAAAGAGGACAGAGUCGCUGCAACUCAGCACUCCAGUCAAGAAAAGUGUAACCAAGGGGAAGGUUUUUCAAAGGUUUACACAAUGAGGCUACAAAUCUGAUAGAAUCCCAAUUUAACUCCAUGUCUCUCCACCUCCCCUUCCCAUAAAAAUUGGGUCAUUGGUGUCCCAACAAACUACACCACAAAAGAGCCAGAACAGCCAAAACAAUCGUAUCUCCAAAGGGUAAUCAUUUUUCUGUUUGCCCCUCUCCUCAUGACAGCAUGCCAUAGCAGUUUGCAGAAGGCUUCAAUAGACUUGAUCCCGGGAGGAGAUACACAAGCAAAGGGCUUCCUCGCAAGCAUAUUACAGAUGUACUUAACUCUAUCUGAGUGACUGGCCUAGUGAAAAUUUCCACCUUCAUUGGAACACUCGUCUGUUAAACCAUCUUAAUAUGAUCAAAAUGAGGAUCCAACUGAUUGAUGAUCAAAUGCAAGAAAACAUAUGCAAGCUAAACAAGUGAUGGAGGAGUACGAUGCUAUAGUUUCAAUGGUAUCAUUUUUCUUCAAAAAAAGAAAAAAGAAAAAAAAAUAAGGAGAUUAAGAGUUGAAGAGAUCAACCCUCAUUACCAGCAAAGAGCUUUACUAAACAGAAGAAUCGGAAAAAUGGAUUAUAACAUUGGGAGAUUUAUUCUCAACAACUUUGGAAAGAACCGAUUUCAACAAUCCAAGAAUCCGACCUGUUUGCAACUUUGCAUAGACUCCAUAUAUAUUUCUAAUUCUAACGAGACAAAGGCUUGCAAGUAAUCUGUUCCCAGGGAAACAUGCAUAACCAAUUACAAAGCAAAGCCAGGUUGCUUUGCAAUAGCUAAUAUGGUUCACAGCUUCACAUAAGCUGUACACUUCUGCAAGCACAUGACAGGUACAGCACAGGAUAUAAUCUUGAAACCUAACAAGACCCUAUUAUGAAUUUAUUUCUGGAACCCCAACAUCUACAAAAAGUAAUCUUUUCAGUUUACUUAAAACUUCUACUGUCAAGAUCAGUAAGUUAUUGGUGAUAAGCUCCAAAUAUACGCAGAAAUGCAAUUACCAAGACCAGCAAGCUGUAUAAACAGGAAAACUAGAACAGUACGCUUCAGUUUAACAAACUUGGAUAUGUUACAGUUGAAUGCUCUUCAUAUUAUCAAUGCUACAAAUCAAUUGAAGAUUCAACUACCGGACUCGGUCCGCACUUGUUUGAACUUACAACAUUCUUCUAAACAGUAGAUGUCAAAAGAAAAAAAAAUCAUGAGAUUAUUAUUAUUAUUUUGGAUGAAAAAUAAAGAUAUUUUAAUUAAUAAGAUAUGAAACAUGACCAGCAUCCCCAUGAAAAUGUACAUCCAGCAAAACUUCAAAAAAAUUAAAAAAAACCACAAUCACACAGAAUUGGACAACAUAAACCACAUAAAUCCCAUUCAAGGCGAAGAAUCAUCCACUUUCCAAGAAAAGACAGUUACCGCAACAUGUACAGCAGGUCCAUUAAGAAGACGUGUCUACUGUUUGGAAAUAGAAGGCUAAGAAUCCGGUUCAAUCGCAAAUAACUCCAAUCAGUUCCAACUCCCAUUCUCUUCAGGAUCUAGUUAUCCUGUUACAACCAAAAGCAACAGAAAAUAGCCAAACCAACAAAGAUCCAAAGGAUAAUCAUUUCUUGUUGGCCCUGUCCCCGGGAUCCUUGACAACAGCCCCUAAAAGUUUCUAGGCCGCACCCACAAUACCCCAUACAUUGAUUUAUUUGUACUUGUAAGCCUAGAAUGCAAAAAACAGAGUUCCAUAUUUACACUCAUAACAGUAGAUGCUUCGGCGAGGCGAAAAGAAUACAAAGCGGCUUCUUCUCUGAGGCAUACACAAGUAAUUAACUGCUUAGUGAAAAUUUGCAUCUUGUCUUGUUAAAACCCAAAAUUUGCACACACCGGUGGUUCAAAUCAUCUUUAAUCAACAGUAGGAUCCAAUAAAUUGAUGAUCAAACGCAAGGGAGAAGACUAGAUGAGUUAACUGACCACAAUCUUUCAUGAAUCUGGCAUUUGUAAUUCAUAAACAACCUAGCUUAUUAAAUGAAAAAGAAAGAGACUAUAAGAAAGUGGAGAAGAAGUCCAAAAACGGGCAAAGCUACAAAACAAACAUUCAAAACAACCAACACCAACAACAGAUCUAGGAGAAGCACAGAAAUGUCAAACUUCAACAAGUUAUGAUGUCGGAUGGGUGGUAUCAUUGCUAUUUGAAGAAAUCCAAUAUAUGCUAAAAUACAAGUUUAGAAGUCAAUUCCACACCAGAAGAAAUUGUAACAUUGGGAGAUUUAUUUUCUAAAAAUUCAGAGAGAACCACUUUCGAAAAUCUAAUAAGACUCCCACCCAUUAGCAUAGACUCCAUGAAUGUGAAAGUACUAAUGUUUUUUACAUCCAUCCAAUUCUAGUUUGAAUGAUUCAUUAGCAAUUAUCUACCCUUCAAUAGCGUCAGCUGAAUGGUAGUUUAAUCGGAGUAUAAAUGGGAAAACUCAUAUCUGUUCGUAAGAGGCUACAACCAAUAUGGUUAAGAAUAAAUACCCAAACAAUCAAGCUUUCACUUCCACUUGUUGAGGUCCAUGCUCCAGCAAUCCAACCCCUUCCCUCCUCCCAGCUUCAGCAGAAGAUGCAUACUUCUUCUGGUACAACGGAUUCGACGUCAGGAUCCUCAAACUCGAAUUCCCAUUUAUCUCCAAAACUUCAGGCAAGCCAUUACCACAGCCCUUGGACAUCCCCACAUCAAUCCGAAUAGCUCUCUCAUUGCAAGCACCAUUGAUCCCAAACUCUUGAAUGGUAUGACCCAUGAUCAUCCUCUUAGCACCAGGAAUAGUUGCCAAAACAUGUUCCAGCGCCGAACAAUCACACUUGUCGGCGAUUUCAUCAGAAAACUUCCUCAACCAAACCACAGAGUUCCCCCCGCGGCAAUACUCCGGCGCCAGUCUCCCCUUCACCCCAUUAAUCCACUCCCUCACCUCCUCAUUCAUCUUCUCUAGUCCAUACUUAACAUGCUUUGCCAAAAGCCCGCCGUGGACGAAAACCGAGUCCCCUAUAACCAACACAGUGACAUUCUUGGACAAGAACCGACUAGUAACUGGACCAUCAGGCCUCAGCGCGGCAAUUCUGGCCCGAAAACCCUCUGCAGACUCGCCCUUCACAUUAUUGAAUACACUUGGCAGCCCCUCGAACGGGUCCCGCGGCUUCUCCAAGCCUUUACAAAGAGACUUCAUCCUGUUACCAGUUGUAUACCAAUGUGCCCAAUUCACAAACUCAUCCAAACCCUCCUUGGUGGCGUACCUGAAAUCUCCUUCCACAUUCAUGAUCUCGUGGUUGCCGUGCAUGGUAAUCACGGUGCCGCCGCAUCUGGCGGCUUCGCGUCGCAGCUUCUCGAGGAAAUAGAGGAUCUUGAGCUCGUCGCCGCCACGGUCGAGCACGUCGCCGACCUGGACCACGGUGGCGGAUCCUCCGGCCCAUUUGUCGGAGGCGUCAAUGAGAUUGGCGAGGCGGAGGGAUUGCUUGGUCUUGGCGAGGUCGCCGUGGAGGUCGCCGAUGGCGAUGAGACGGUCCUGCGGAGGGUAGUAGGUUUGCAAGGGUUGAGGGGGAGUGGGGGUUUCGGGUAAGAGGAAGUGUCCGGUGACGGAGAAGUCGACGAAGGUGUCGACGAAAGAGGUUAGGAGAGCUGGGAGGUCUUUGCAUGAUGCUGGGGUCUUCGCUUUCAGGUCUUCCAUUCUCUCCUCUCACUCUCUCAACCAGUUUUUUUCUAUUUCUUUGGGUUUUUGGGUCUGCUAUUUUUUUGGGCUUUAUAACAACACAAGUCAAGAGUAGUGAUUUUGAUUUUACAAUGGGAGAAAAUUGGCGAAACGUGUUUGUUUUUUGUUGAUAUGUAGGUCAAAGGUUAGGGUCUAUUCGUGCGUAUAAAUAACAUGACGGGUAAGAAUAACCGGAAACUUAUUUUAGCAAACACAUUACGUCAACCAACUUAUAAACAAAUAAACUGCAUGUCAUCUAGGCAUUAUUCAUCAUGAUACAAAGGUAGAUGGAGUUGGGUUUGUGAAUAGGGAUAACUCGGGGAUUGUUGUGGCGGGAGGUGGUAAGGUCAGAGAUUACUUAAUCUGAAACAUAGUGAGUUGCUGAGUUUUGGUUUGGUUUUGAAUUUUAUAUUGGAGCAAGGUUUUGUUUCUGUCAUUAUUGAGAUAGAUGCUCAGCUAGUGUACUCACAAUUAAGGUUAGAUUAUGGAUCAAACACUUCAGUUUUGGGACGGCUUUAUGAUGACUUGAAACUAAAAUUGCAUAAUCAGGAGGGUGUCAAGUGUUGAAAUAUUCAGACCUUAAUGACAAGAAAUGUGAAAAGGUUUCAUGAGUUUGUGACUUUUGAGUUGCAUAAAGAAGGUGGAUGGUUUUGGAGUUACGGUGAAGGCGUAUGAACAAACAUGAGUUAUGAAAGAUUCAUGAAGCACCAUUGUGGGAGGAGCGCUAAUGAGUGGUCUAGAUGGUUCCUCCUUAGUUUAUAUACAGAGAGGUCAUCAUCUCAUCUCAUCAUCUCAUCCAAUAGCAUCAUCUCAAUCAUCUUCAUCUAAGUAGAGAGUGAAGAGUGUCCACUCCAAGUUGAGUGUAGUACUUUGUAGCAAAACAAGUAUGAGAGAAAACAUUUCCUUGAAGUUGUGUAUCUCUUGUGUACCCAUUGUUUGAUAGUGGAGGUUCUUGUUGUUGCUACCCCAUGAACGUAGGCACAUUGUCGAACCACGUUAUAUCUGGUGUCUCUUUUCUUUGCUCUUUUAUCUCUUUGCAUUUUAUCCUUUAUGUAGUUUGAGUAAUUACUUGUAUUCUAUUUAAUUUUCCCAACAGUGGUAUCUGAGCCCUUUUCAUGGGGUAUGGCGUUAAAAUGAAAGGCUUAAGAAGUAUCAUGGUUCGACUCAACCACUUAAACUAGAUCACAUGGAAGCCAAGAAUGGAGAACAUUCUAUCUUGCAAAGAUUUGAAUGAGCCAAUAGAAAGAGUUGAGGCUAAGCCAUAAGGGACUUCAGAUCAUAUUAUACGGAGAUGAACUGUAAGGCAAUCAGCCAUAUCCGAGAGUGGAUGGAUGAUAGUGUACUCCACCACAUGGCCAAUGAGACCGAUGCAUAUGAGUUGUGGACAAAGUUAGAGUCAUUAUUUGAGAAGAAAACCGCCGCCAUGAAAGCUUUUUUAAUCAAAGAGCUUGUCAAUAUGAAGUACCAUGAAGACGUGAGGGUCACCGAGCACCUAAACAAUUUCCAAAGCACAAUCAAUCAACUAACCACAAUGGGCAUGACGAUUGAUGAUGAAUUGCAAGCAUUGUUGUUAUUGAGCUCGUUGCCGGAUAACUGGGAGACCUUUACUGUCACUAUAAUUAACUCUGCUCCUGAUGGUAAAUUGACUAUGGAUAAUGUUAAAAGUAACAAGUUGAAUGAAAAAGACUAGAAGAAAAUUUUCAAGCUCCAACAAUAGCCAAGUGUUUGUGGCGGAGAAUAGAGGAAAGAGCCAGAGCAGAUGACCCAAAAGUCAUGGAAAUAGUGUAAGCCAUUCGAGAACAACAUUCAACAGAAAGUGCCAUCAUUGUGGCAUCUUUGGCCACAUGAAGAAAAAUUACAACAAAUUGAAAAAUGAGAAGAAAGAAAAGAUGGCUACACCUAUCAAAGGAGGGAGGACAAAAGUAUCACUGCCGCUGUUGCCAUAUCACAUAAGGAAUGUGAGGUUUUUUGUCUUGAUGAUGAAUGCCUACAUGUUGACGAUUCUCCUGGUGUUGCAUGGGUCGUUGAUUCCGGAGCAUCUUUUCAUGCCACUCUAACAUGGAGUUCUUCACUACAUACAAAGGUAGUGACCUUGGGAUUGUGAAAAUGGGCAACGAUGGUUACGCUAAUAUUGCAGGAAUUGAAGACGGGAAGAACGUUCAAAUGUCUUCGUAGUGACAAUGGCGAACAAGUUCAAAGACUAUUGUUCGAAGCAUGGCAUCAGACACACAAGGACAGUUCCUUGCACUCCACAGCAUAAUGGUGUAGCAGAGAGGAUGAACCGCACCAUUUUGGAGAAAGUGAGAAGCCUGUUGAAAACAGCCAACCUGGCAAAGGAGUUUUGAGGCGAAGUAGUGGUAACAACCUGUUAUCUCAUCAACUGAACAUCAAGUCUAUCGUUGGGCUUGGAGACUCCAGAAAGCAUAUGGACCGGUAGAAGUGCAUCAUAUUCCCACUUGAGGGUAUUUGGGUGCAAGACAUUUGCACAUGUACCAAAGGUGAAAAGGUCAAAGCUAGAUGACACGACUAUAUCAUGCAUCUUUCUUGAGUAUGACAAUGAAGAGAUGGACUACCGACUAUGGAAUCCAAGGACAGAUAAGUUAUUCAUAAGCAAAGAUGUGGUGUUUCAUGAAGAUCAAGUCAUCUUAAUUUUUUACAAGAAGACAGUUGAAAAUGCAUACCACCUCACCUACUCAUCACCGCUCCAAUAAGAAUCUAGAAACCUCAAGAUAUGAUAAAUCGGGUCAACUUAUUGGAUUCAGAGAGAUAGACUAGCAUGAGACUCCUCUACUUUUGUUUUAGUACUUUGAUUUUUAUAUAAACAUUGUUUACCUAAUGUACCAUAAAUCUUAUCUAACUUAUCAAUAUGUAUGCAUGGUACGAAAUUUUUUACCAAACCUAGUCAAUCUUGGAAAGCUGUCUUAAACCCAAAAAAGUUAACAGUUAUCCAAAUUAUUGUAGGUCUUGCAAUCGUUUGCUUCUACUUAAUGAAUGAGGAAAAGGUUUUGGUUUAUUAUGGGUUUCCUUAGCAUAAAUCGCUUAGCAUAAAUAGAGAAUAUGCUAAGCAAUUCACACAAUUUGAUGAGUACCUUGAUUUCAAGCAGCAUUGUUAAAUCAUCUCAGGUAUUGAGGACUUGGUUUUCUGACAAGUAAUUCAAAAGAGUUGAAGGUCGAUGGGGAUCAGUCUUGAAGAUUUGACAAAGAGGGAGUACAGUAAGUCUUUUGAUGAACUUUUGGCAAAAUCCAAAGAAUUUGCAACAAACCCAGCGAAGAACUUGAAAUUUUGAGAGAUUGGAUUCUGCAUGAUUUGAGUUGUAGAAAAUUCACAAGAGAAGGAAAAAUUUCAACGAGUAUCUUCGAUCCCAAGGAGAAGACUGAAAAUCGACAUUGUAUAGUGAAGAACAAGAUGAAAGCUCUUUCUACCAAGCCAUGUAGUGAUAUAAUGAUUUGCAAGAUGAAGAAGCUUCUGAUCAUCGUUCUGCAAGAAAUGAUCAAUAGAUGAAACAGAAGCAAAGUCCUAAGGCAUGCAGAUAUUGUUUCAGCAAACACAAUAGAAUGAAGAAGAUGAAUGUUUCAGCAAACAAAAAGAAGCUUCUUCUCCUUAUACUUAUGUAUGUACAUGUCCAGAUAUUGCAAUUGGUGUUGUCAGUAGAUAUCUAUCUAACCCUGGCAGAAAGCAUAGGGAAGCUGUCAAGUGGAUACUCAGAUAUUUGAGGGACACCUCAAUGUUAUGUUUGUCUUUUGGUGGAUCAGACUCGUAUUGGAGGGUUUCACAGAUGCAGAUUUGGUAAGAGACCUUACUAAUAUAAAGUUCAUUACUUAUUUACAUUUUGUGGGGGAGCUGUGUCAUGGCAGUCCAAGUUACAGAAGUGUGUUGCCUAAUUCACAAUAGAAGCUAAGUACAUAGUAGAAAACGAAGAAGGGAAAGAAAUAAUAUGGCUGCAAAGGUUCAUUCAAGAGUUGGGUGUGAUGCAAGAAAGGUAUGUGGUGCAUUGUGAUAGUCAGAGUGCAAUUCACUUCAGUAAAAAUUCAGUUUAUCAUCCACACACUAAACACAUUGAUCUACGUUAUCAUUGGAUACGAGAUGUAGUGUUAAAGAAGAUUUUGAGCUUGAGGAAAAUUCACACCAACAAGAAUACUUCUGAUAUGUUGACUAAAGUUGUGCCGCAACUGAAAUCGGAGUAUUGUAGCAAGUCCGCUGAGAUGGACUUCAAAUAGAAGUCUCACCUUUGUAUUACCCCGGAUUGGUCUGGAGGGGAGAUCAUUGAAAUAUCCAGACCUUAAGUCAAGUGUUGGUUAGGAAGCCCCAAAAGGGCUUCAUAUCGGGUCAUUCACGACUCAUCUAUAGACAAAAUGACAUUGUCCCAAGAAGAAAGUGUGGAUAAAAUGAGAAGAAGCUAGGAGGAAUGAGGAAAAUGGUCCUAAAAAGGAGACAAGGAGCUCCCACAUCGAAAAUGAAGGGGACGACCCUCUCCCACAAAGUAUAUAAAAGCAAGCAUAAGCUUCCAAAACAGGUAAGUCCAAAUUCCUACUUUAUUCUCCUUUUGAUCUAGUCAACAAUUCUGACAUAAGCAUCAAAGUGGAUGCCCUAGGUAUACCCGAGGUCGCCCUCUAACGUUGUUUGUUUUGACAGGAAAAUAAGAUGACAAAAGGAUAUUCAUUUCUCAAAGACCCGCAAUCCAGUCUUGGUACCGUGAGCUUACCCGGAAACAGUUGGUACUCUCGUUGAGAGUCGAACUCAAGAUCUCUCGCUUCGUUGAGCCAUGGUUGAGAUUGCUCUAACAGGUGCCGAUGAUUCGGGUUCCGCCGAGGACCCGGGAAGGCUUAAUUUUUCCCCACCAAACUCUGAAUCCAUCCCAUCCGGAAACUGACCUUGAGACUGCUUACGAAUUGAUGAAAAAAAUGACUAUUUCGCCCUGAAAGAGCAAGCAUCCCGGGAGCAUGCCUCUCACGCUACUUUGCAAUCUCAGCUCAGCGAAAUGCAAAAAGAGCAACAACUUCUUUAUGCCACUCUUAAUCACAGGAACGCCUACAACGAGGCUCUUGAACGUGCCUCCCAUAUGUUUACACUCAAUUCAGCUCUUCCGGGACCUAGCCCGCACCCCCACCCCCACCCCCUAAUCCCGACACUAACGUCAUGAUGUCAUUUGGCCCCAACCCCAACAUUGUCUAUAUGAGUACUCCCCUUAUCCACCAAAGCCUAGAUGGGCCACCCCCACAACCCAGUGAACCCACCCCUACCGCUACCAGUAACACCCAGAUGAAUACACUUUCCGAUAUCCAGACACAGCUUUUGUUGCAAUUAAGCCAUUCCGUGACAAACCUAGAACAAUGGUUUAAUGACAGAAUCAAUACCUCUUCCCCUAGACCUUUUAUCACCCGGGUCAUGCGCCCCGGACCCUUUACUCCUCGAGUUCAAGCUGAGACGAAACCCCCAGAGGCAAAACCUUUCAAGAUCAAAAGAUAUAAUGGUACCGAAUGCCCAUAUCUACACCUUGAACUUUUUCAAUCCCAACUAGAUUCAACCCGUUACACAGACGCCCAAGCUGGUCACGCCUUUCAAGAAACACUAACAGAGGAAGCACCAAGUUGGUUCUUACAUCUCCCGGCGCACUCCGUUGACAAUUAUGAACACCUCACACAGAAGUUUGUCAACCGCUUUAUCCUUCUCAGGGAUAGCAACCGAACUACAGCCGUGUUACUGGCACAAAAAACUUCCACUUCUUCCAAUGAACCCCCUUUCCUCCUUUCUUCCCCUACCAAAACUUAGCCACAACUGCAUUCAGCUCAUCAUAGAGGCCAAUAGGAAGCUUGAACACGCUCACUGAAUAAGUGGGAAUAGCUAGAAGUACUGCUUUACCAAGACUUAAACGAAGUCAUUACUAAACCUUCUUGGAAGCAUUUUAUUUGACUGUGAAGCAUGGUCUGUUAUGAACUUAUGAUGCUGGUGAUUCCUAGAACCCUACUAUUGCAAUUCUAGUAGCUUCUAAUACAUAUGCACUUCAUUCCUUGUUUUCUUACAUCACUUUGCUACCCUCGCCGAACACAAAAGGUGGACGAUAUAGGUGAGCAGGCUACUCAACACAGACUGAAUUCAGGUUAGCAUUGCCCCUAGAUAAAUACCCUUUGUCUAUUACAGGGUACCAAAAAGUAAUGCAACAGACCUAGAUAACUAAAGUCAUUAAGAUUAAAGACAACUGCCUGUCCCUUUCUAAAUUGAUACCCAACCUCGCAUUUUUAGCAUAUUAUUUCCAAGAUUUGAAGGUAAUAAAAUAAAGUCCAACAACAGAAGGAUAUGACCAGUUUAGCCAAACUUUUCCUUCUUCCCAUGGUGAAGAAAAUUAUUGGUGCAUCAUGAAAUUGAAGAUAGGACACUACAAAUCUAUCAGAUUAAGCUACCUGGCUCUCCACCUGGGGCAUUCACACUAGAGAUUGAAAUACGAUAAUCAAUACAAGUCUAACAAGUACAUCUACUAACAGGGUGAAAAGAAUAGGAGAAGCAGGCUCCCCUUGUCUACCGGGUAAAAGUUCAAAGCUUCCUCUAUGCCUGCCCCUGGUUGUAAUAGUAAAAGAAACCAAAUUCAAGCCUCCCUCCAUACAUGAAAAACCAUGUUCAAUCAGCAACCAUGUCAGGGAUGUUUCAAUUCAAGGAAAGUUGGGCAAAAAGAAGUUGUUAUUUACUCUUCUAGUCCUCUCAAAAUGACCGAUUCAAGCUACAAAGGCUAAUGUCCCCCAGUAUGUGCUAAAAUAUAAUCAACCAAUUCAGAGUAAAUUGAGCUAUAUAGUGAAUUUAGGAGCUUACCUGGAGUUUGAUCACAUGUGAAUAUGAUCUCUUGUUUCUCAGCAACUUCUUGAGGAGAGUGACAGUUUACAAUUGUGUGCUUCCCAUGGGAUCACAGGUAGUCAAACGAGUAGUUGGAACAUUUUACUUCCUUACAUUAUUUAUGUUGAACACUACAGAUAUUCAACAGUAAAAGAACGAUAACCAGUUGAUUCUUGAUAAGAUCAGGAAGAGAGAACUAUUUAGUACAGAAGGAAAUCCUGGAGAUCUUGAGUUGUGAAAUGGUUCAUAUCCCAUACUUCUUGCUUCAGUCAUAACAUCUUACUUGGCAGUAAAUGCCAAUUUGUCAUUGAUACUAUACUUUCCUUCCUCGCUCUGAGCACAGUAACUAACUAAGCAAGAAAAAAAUACAACUAUCCACCUAAAGAACACCAAACCUCAUUCAAAAAAACAAUAAUAAUAAUAACACCAAACCUAAACAGAAUAUACAUUAAUGCCAAAGCCCAACAUGUAAAUAAGUAUGCCAGUCACAAUAUUGCAUCUAUACCAAAUUGUAAAUAUUUGUUCUGAAAAAAGGAACCAAAAGAUAACAUGUCAAGCGCAAAUACAACCAGUUACCUCUAGUCCAAAUGACAGUACAGAUCAGAAUAUCAAUUGCUACUGAUGGUUUAGAGCCUAUUGUAUAGUUUAUUUUAGCUCACCGCAGUGAAAUUACGUGAAGUCAAGUGGAAUGUUAAUUCUCAGGUCUGAAAAUGAACUUUCAAGGCCAUGACUGAUAAAAGAAUUUCUUAGUUUUCUAACAAAAUUGGGUUUAUCAUCAAGUCUGCAAAUUCACUUUGACCUAUGGAAGAAAAUUUUAUUUCGGCGAUUAAGGAUUGUAACAAUAAAACUUUGCCGAGGGAAAACAUACCGUAGAAUGGGACCUUAAGAUAGGUGCUAUAAUCAUUUUGUAGGUUUAACCAUGACAACAUUUUAUAGCCAAACAAAACAUCUAAAUAACUCUUGAGAGUAUGUAAAGGAAUUAGAGCAUCACCUCAUCAAUAAGGUAGUUUGUAUCACACAAGCUCUCCUCACACUUUGCCUCAUUGCUGCAACCGUGGUAGGCCCAUAGAUUGGAACAUAACAUCUGAACAGAAAUCAGACAACCAUUUGUUCUUCGCUGCAUAUGACUCUAUUCCAGUCCACAAGGUCCAUCUGGUGUGUGCCAUAUGAAGUUUGAAAUGCAUAAUAAUGUUGGAAAAGAAAAGAACUGAAACAGUAGAUGAUCUGAAUUAUAAGAUUAUAACAUAAUCUAGAAAAUUUCUGCUGAGCAAGUCAAAAGGUUAUCAAUCACUAUAUAACAAAAUGAUAAGAAACAACUUAACCGGCUGCAACUUUACAUUCCUCCAAAAUUUUCAGUUAACAUAAUUAAGAGUACAUAAUAAUCUAAUUCUAUUACACAGGGCAAAAGGAAUACAAGACAUUGUGUGGAUGCCUUUGUAUUACAAGACACACUUUUUUGAAACUCAAGGAUGAAAAAAGGAUAUGGGCAGGUUGCAGAGUUUUGCAGAUAGUAUGUUGAAUGCCCCAUCAAGUGGGAUACACACAUUUUGGGCCAAAAGAAAGUAAAGAGCACUGAGUGAAUAUCUUUGGGCCAGAUCAGAUAUGAAAUUUUUUACCAGCGCUCUCUUGGCCGACCAUCUGGCAAUACUGGAACUAGCACCCUCUCAUCAUUCUCUGUUGAAUAGCCUUCUUGAUUAAUUGGUUUGCUCUCUUCAUUGUUUAAUGUUUUCCCAUCUUCAUUGAAAUCUGGGGGUGUAUCUUCAUCUUCAUCACUCCAAUCAUCAUCGUCAUCAUCAUCAUCAUCAAACUCAUCAUCUUCAUCACUCAUAAAGUUAUCAGUCUCAGACCAUUCCUCUCCCUCAUCAACAGUUCCAUCUUGUGCCUCAUUGGUUUCUUCAGUACCAUCUGCCUCUCUAUUGGGAGCACCCCUUCUAGGAUACCGUGGAACUGCAAUAAUAGAUCGUAGCUUCUCCUUUAUAAUCAGCAGACGAUCCUUGUCUAUCAAUUGAGAAUCACGAUAUGCUUCCCUAAGGAAAACUGAAUCCCUUUCUCCUUUCAACGACACAUAAAACAUAUCAGGGUGCCUUAUCAGCAUUCCCCUGACCUGCUGAGAGAACCUAAACUCCUCGCGGAAAUGAGUAAGGUGAUCUACAAGAGUUUUCUUCUCCACAGUAAGGCUCAAGAUCUCAUGGACAACUGCACAAGCAUGUUUCUCUUUCUCAAUUGUACCUGACCUCAGCCCCGAGAAAUCAGAGUAAGGGGAAAUGUAAGGAAUGUCUCUAAACAGACAUAUUCUCCUCAUCUCACCCUUGGAAAGAUUAAGACCCCUUGGUAACUUUAGUCUAUUGAACUUGAGAGGCCUAUCUAUAAUUAAAUCCUUCUCUUCCAGUUCUCUAGCACGAUUUUCCUCUUCAGAUAACUCAGCAGCUGAUACAGCAAGCUCAGGAUCCCAAUGAGUUAAUUCUAAUGCUGGACCUCUCUCAGUUGCAACAACUUUAAAGUAUUGUGGGUAUCGAUGACAAAUUGUAUCACGAAAUUCUAAAGGAAGUCCUAAAUCAGUCUUCAAAUGAGCAAUCUUCUCCAACAAAAUCCGCUUAUCCAAUGACAUCAUCAAUAAUUUCCUCAACUUCACAACCAGCAAGUCUUCCAUCUCAUUUCGAACCUGCAACUCUUCAAGGUAAAGCCUUUCUGCUUCCGGCGUCAAUUUAAAUUUCAACGAAAAGACACCUUCCUCAACAAUCUCAAACACCGCCGGGAAUUUCUUCAGUAAUGCAAUAAAUCGCCUCUUUUUCUGCAAACCCAGUUCUCUUCUAUACCUACCUAGUUCUCUAAGUGACAUAAUCCUAUCAGGUUGGCUCACUAAAAUUUUUCUAAUCUUCAAAACUAACUUCAACUUCUUAUCCCUUUGGAUCACAUUGUCGAAAGGGAGUUCUUUCCUUCUCUUCACGGCAGCACGUAUUGGUCCAACUGGGACAUGUUUCAAAUCACCCAAAAUAACAUCUCUAUCAGGUAAAACCAAUCUAUUUCCCCAAAAAUUUGACUUUUCUGGCUCUAUCAUUGAGAUUGAGAGAUGGGUUUUCACAGACUGUCUGGGUCGUGAAAGAAAAGAGGACUUGUAAGACAGGAAAAAGGGUAAGGUAGCGGCGGGUAAAGCUGUGGUUGAAGAAAGCAACAGCCAUGGUUCCAUUGAGACCUGUAUCAGGAACAUGUAUCAAAACCCAUAAACCAUAUCAUCAUACUUUCCAUAAAAUUCAAAUCAACAAAAGCAGCCACUAGUCCUCACAGUUUCAACAGUGAAACCAGUACCCAGUGCUGAUUGAACAUAGCUAAAUAGCAAUAGCUAGUUACUCUAAACAAACAGUGGCACAAUAAAAAUUGUAUACGACUUAAUCAAGCCAGCGAAAUCCCACGAACCCAAUAACCCAAUUAAACCCUUGAUAAAUCUUGAAACUGAACUAAUCAACCAAAAGAAGCAAAAUUGAACACAGAUAUAUUACUUUGAAGAAGCAACAAGGAUUGCAUAGAGAGAGAGAGAGAGAGAGAGAGAAUGAGAUAGUAGAGAAGAUAGAAAGAGGCUUGAGUUGUCUGAAAUUGAAACUGAAAUAUAAACGAGAGAGCAGGUACGAGAGAACUAACCUUGUUGGGUGAAGGCACAACCGAAGACGAAGACAAGAGCAUAACAGAAAUUGAUUCUAUAUAUAUGAGCUUGGUAAGAAUUAAGGACUACUUUGUAUAAGAGAGAUAGAGGGCGGAAGAUAGAAGGAGAAGAAGAAAGGGAUGAGAGAGUGUUGAGUAAAGGUCGAAGCUGGAGGAGGGAAAAUGAGAACAGUCGAGUACAUAUGGGGUUGUGAUAAUGUGGAGAAAAUGUCACCUCCCAACCAAACAAAGACAGACAAGUAAUGAGUUGAAGGAAAAACAGAUGUGUGUCUCACAGUCAAAGUCAAUAAUCAACAUGAGGAUAUUGGGUGCAAGGAUUAAAGAUAAUCCUCGAUAUUUUUUCAAAAUUUUCGUUUUUUACAAUCAUUUAUAUUAAUUUUUCUAUUUUUUUGAUUUUUAUAUUUAGUCUAUUAUUUGUUGAAUAUACAAUUUAAUAUAAAAUUUUAGUAAAAUUUUCAUCGAUAUUCGAUAGUUUCUCGAUAUAUCUAUCGAGAUUUCAUUUUUUUCGAACCACUAAUAUUUCUGUGAUCGUCGAUAUUUUAGUCCUUAAUUAGGAGAUUAUGAUUAGGGUUGGGCACGGUCCCAGGUUGGCACCACUUUCACAGGGACCAAGACCGUCAAUCUUUGUCCGGACCGGGCUUGCACAUUCUGAACUCAGGGAUCGGCCUAAACCCGGACAAGCAGCAUACGGGCUGGUUUCGCCAGGCUUUCCGUUAUCGCAAGGCAACUGCAACUCCAGCUAGAAUAAUAUCUGCAAAUUUCCAAAAUACAAAACCCAACAAACUUCUAAAAUCCAAACACCCAAUAAAUUUCCAAACUAACCAAGGACAGGGCUACAAGGAUUCGAUGAAAUUCAUCUUCGUUUCAGGUGUGUCAUUUGCUUGGAGGAGGUAUUGGAUCUGGUAUGGGGACUGUUGAUUUCGAAAGUCAAGGAUGAUACUCACUUUCUUUGUGUUACGUAGAUGGCGAAGGUAAGACCAGAGAGGAGAUCAAGGCAUAGGGCGGCGAUGGCAUCUGGACGGCAGAGGCGACGAUGGACUCCAAUUGAACAACAAAGACUCCGAAUUGAGAGUGGCAGGAGAUUAUCGUUGGGGUUCUUCUUCGCCUUUAGAGUGGGAUAACUAUGAUCAACUCAUCAAAGUGGGAAGAAGAAGAUUGGAGAGAGGUCAAGAUGAAUUGAUCGGGCAAAAUGUAUUGAUCGGGCAACACGAGAAGAAUUGAGAGGUGAGAGAUGGAGAAAACCAAACUCAGAGAGUUUGAAGAUGAGAGAAUGAACAAAAAAAGGUAGGGUAUAAUUAGCAAUUUAACUUAUAGAAAAUUUCAUACAAGUCCCCUUUUGAACAUUUCCUUCCUCACAAAUCCACCCCAUCUUCUUUACCCGGAUAUGUCCAUUUUGUUUGCUCUAAUUAUUUUAUCCUGACCAUUUCACCCUUCACUACAAAAAAAAAGUAGAUUGGCCACGGCGCAAAACCGUCGCCAAUAGCAUUUUUGCCGUGGCAAAACAGUAUUCGCGACGGCAAAGCGUCCGUCGCAAAUAGUGGCGUCGCCAAUGCUAUUUGCGACGGCAAUUACGCAGUCGCAAAAAGAUACGACGGUGUAAUUGCCGUCGCCAAUACCAUUAGCGACGGUAUCAACGCCGUGGCAAAUGAGUUAUUUAUAAAGAAAAAAAAAUUGGCAUACAAAUAUACACUGCAAAUUUUUAUUAUUAUUUGCAUAAAAAACAUACAAGGAAUAAGCCUAAUGUUAGGAAUGGUACGUUUUAGGAAUCUUAAAACUAACAAGUUCACAAGAAAAUGAAGCAAGUUUACAAUAUUAUAGUUUCAUGGUAGUUAUAUGUCUCUCAAAAACAAAAAAAAUCUCUCUCCUCCAAGUUAGCAAGUGCCCAGCCAAGUGAUAACAUUCUUGCUGCAGCAACAUAUCCACAUAUCCUCUGUGCAAUUUGCUUGUCUCAGCAUCUUUCAAAUUAAUCUUUGGCACCAUCUGAUAAUUAAUGAAAGCCAUGGUUGAAUUUCAAAGUCAACUGCGCCUUCCUAUAUAUAUGACAUCAAAUAUACUCUCUCAGUCUAUGCACAAGUAUAUAUAAAGUUAGAGGUGAUGCAUAAGAUAACUAACAUGAGAGCACAGUCAGAAAGAAUACAAUGAAUGAAUUGAAUUUACUAGCCCAAAAUGGAGGUACACUCCAGUAAGUAUCUAUCUCUAAUCCUUCUUUACCCAAAGUGCUUUAUGCAUCCCUCAUAUACCUUAGAUGAUAACAUCACCUUUAUAAAUCGAAACAAACAUAUAAAUGAUCGGUAACAAAGAAACAAGCAUUUCACACAAGGAAAUAGAAACAACAUAUAAAGCAAACAUAGAGGCUCUCCAAUUUUUCCCCUACCUUUGCUGACUUUCACAUGAAGUAUGAAGCUCCUAAUAAAAAGAUAUAACCAUUAGUUUAAGCAAUAAUAUGCAAUCUCUAUUUCAUUUAGAACUCAAUUUAAGACUAUGCUCAAAUGCUAAACAGAAGAUACAAUAGUAAGCCAAAAUAUUUUCACACAAUAACACAACAACACAAUUUAGCUUUCUGAACCAGUCACCUUAACUUCAAAAACUGUACAAAUCCGUAAGGAAUUUGACUUCGAUUUCUUCUAAUGACUUGUAGCAUUAGAAAAUUUCCUGCUAUGUGCCUAAACUUAGAAUUUAAAAGCAAAUAAGAAACUCUAUAUAUUAAACUUUUAGCAACUGAACAUAACCACUCCAAUGUUUCAAAAAAGAAACACACAAAACUUGCAACUUAAGUAGCUAAAUUAGAUUACCACAACGACAACUAACAGAAGAUAACAAGUAAAUAUAGUUAUACACUUCUAAUGUUCAGCCAACUUUAAGCAUACCAAAACCUUGAUCUUUAACUUCAAUUUGAGAAAAAAAUUACACGUGUAAGAACUUUAUAGUCUAAUCUAUAUGUCUAUAUAAUAUAUACCAAAAAGAGUAAGAAUCAUAGGCAACACUGAGACUAAAAGCAAAGGUACAAAAAUCAGAAAAGUGCCUAACUGAAAUUCUGACCAGAAAAGUCUUUGGUUAAAAACGAUACGGUUCAACUGGGAAUUAAAGCUUGGUGUCUUCAUGACAUUUGAAAUAGACAUCCUAAAUAUCAAUCUGGAACUGGAAUCGGACAAAAAAGAUUUUCCUACAAUUACUCAUGAUUUUUCGAAGUUGAAGACCUGCAUCAGGAAAAUCACUGAUUUUGACUCGAAUCAAAUUCCCCCUUUUAAAGAUGAUUCCCAGUAGGUAACAACUAACAACAAAGAAAAACCCAAUCCUAAUGCUGUACUACAAGUUAUGAGAUUUGUAGCUCUCAAAACGUCGUCUCUCAUCCAAAACCACUCUCUCUCUCUCNNNNNNNNNNNNNNNNNNNNUACUCUCUCUCUCUCUCUCUCUCUCUCUCUCUCUCUCUCUCCCCCCUCCGAUGAUGACGCCGGCUCAACCUUGACUGUGCUCACCUUCGACAACGAUGUCAGAUCGACCUCAACUGCGUCUCCAAUUUCAUUGACGACGACCUCGCUAUAUAUCUGAUUCGUCAACGACAACCUUGACUAGAUCCAUCAACGACGACCUCGACUAAUCUCCAAUUCGGUCGACACCGACCUCAACCGAACCUCCUAUUUCGUUGACGACCUCAACUAGAUCUUCUAUUCCAACGACAGCCUCUUGCUUGACCUCGGCUACAUCUCUGAUAGAUAUGUUUACACCGGGAAUUAAUAUUUUACUUGAUAGUAAUUGUACAUGUCUAAAUGAAUAUUAGUUAAAUUCAUGGUCCACGUCAUAUCGACGAGCCCGAAAUAUUGGGUUUACAAGUGAUGACCCACCCGCAAAAUCGUGCGAGCUGAACGGUAGAGUUCGCAUGCAAGAUGGAGUUUGCAUGCAAAAGAGACUUGCAAAGUUAUCAUGCGAGCUGGAUAGCAGAGUUCGCAUGUGAAAAGGACUUCACAUGUAAUCAAGGAGUGGACUUCACACAGAAGAUAGAGUCCUAAACAUGGAAGCAAUAUAUGCAAGCGAAGUGUCGAGUUCGCGUUCUAAAAGCAACGUUUGCAUGAAGGGAUGUUGGACGUAGUGGUUAUCAAGUAGCUAGCUUAUCCAUAUUACUCAUUUGAUAAUUACUCAUUGUUGGACGUGGAACAGAAGGUUAAGAAGACUAGCAACAUCUUUAAUUGCAUUCAACCAGGAGUCUAUAUGUAGCAAUGAUAGAUCAUGCCAGGUUUCAUGCAUAUCCACGGAUUUGUUGGCAUCGUCUAGCAGAAUCAUAUCAAAGGUGAUGAUCCUUGUCGCCUACAAUAUUUCACCCGUUGAAGAAUUCUACAACUCUUUGACUUGCUUUGCGCCAAUCUAUGUGGCCCUAAAAUAAGUCUACAUACGUGAUUAGAACUGCGUCACCCAAUUACGUGAUUACCAAGUAAAACGAAAUCUUGUGCAACUUAACCGACUAUGUAGCAAGGACCGAAUCAUUAUCAACAACUAGUGAAUUCACCUCUAUAUAAGAGAGUUUGAGAAUCUGGUCUAAGGACACUCUACAAUCUAUAAACACAAUACAACCUUCAACAUAGUUGAAACCGAUGCUAAAACAUCUCGCCUUAGCACCCUUUUUACUUUUCAAGCUCUUCGGAGCUUUGCACCCUUUACUUUUCAAGUUCCUCGGACCGUUGCGUUCUCGUUUACUUUCCUUUGGUUGCUCUGCUCGCUACAAACCACGAGUAUCAAUAUUGGUGGCGGAGAUGCUACUGUAAUUAAAUCCUCGUCCGUGAGGUGGCACAGGAGCCUUACUUUCGUUUGAUUAGAAGUACAUGUCAGCGCAAUAAAACAACAACACUACUUUCUGCACCCACGCGGUGGCACGCCCGCAUUCAACCCUAGAAGCAUUUGGUACAAUUACCUCUCUCUCCGCUGAGAAGCGUGGCCAAACAAGAUGUAAAUUUCUAAUCCCGUCGGGCUUUGGUUUGCACCAAAUUGUGUUUGACUAGAGAGAAUUUUGCAUCGGAUUUGUUCAAAUGUACAUGUGGUUUAAGAGUUGUGGUUACAAGGAAGGGAAAGUUAUGUGAUCUGUAUAUGAGUAGUGAUCUCAAAUGAGGUGAUGGUUUUAAGUUAAUAAGGAUCGAUGAAAGGUGGAGCUAUGUGCUUAAUUUGUUUGUUCAAAGUUUAAAACAAGCAACUCCGUGUUUUGCCUCCCUUAAUAGAUGAUCUAGGCAGUUGUACUGUUUGUGUUUAAAGAUGAAUAACAAGCUAGUGUGUUCAUGAUAAAAAAAAACUUAGUGCUUUGCUGAUAGUCAUAGAAAUUCUUUUAUGUUUGUGUUAGUGAUAGUAAUUGUUUUAUAUCUUUAGUUGGUAUCUUUUGAAUAUUGUAAUAGUAUAUGUUCGUGUCUGUGUUAGUAUCUUUACAACACAGUUAUAGUACUUUUAAAUUGUUGGGAAGAAUUUAAAGAAAAGAAGUGCACAACCUGACAUGAGAGAAGUGCACCACCUGACAUGAGAGAUAUAUAACACAAUACUAGGGUUUGGUGAAGAGAAUAAGUUGGGAAAAGUGUAAAUUUAAAUUGUUGGAGUUAGAGGGAUGGUGGUGGAAAAAUGUUAAGAUGAAUAUUGAUGAUGAAAAAGCUUAGGGUGGUUUUAAGUUGGACUAUGACCAAAAAAAAAGAGAUUACCGAUUGCUAGGAUGUAUCCAUGUUUCUCUACUUAGAUUAUUGGAGUUGAGUUUAAAUGUUCUCUUUAUUGGUUAGGAUUCCGGUUGAGAAAGCUUUCGAGGACAAUCCCGAGUCAGGACACGUAUGCUUAGUCACCUUGAUUGUGAGUUGGACUUUUGUUUUAAAGAAAUACAUGCAAUUACUUUCUUUGAUAUUGAAUUUUUUUAUUUUUCGGUUUAAUAUCAUUAAGAUUUCUCGUAAGUGAAGUAUAUAGUCACUAUGUGAUUUCUUGUUUAUGAUUUGAAGUAAAUAUGUUUGAGUUUAAAGAAAGAAACUUUCCGAUGGCUUAUUUGAUUUUUAUGAGUAAAGUAUUGGUAUGUUGAAAAGAAAGGCAUUUUCUAAAUGCUUAUUGGUUUCAUGCUUCAAGUUUUGAUGUGUUUACGAAAGGAAAGAAUCUCUUUAAAUCUCUUUAUGAAAGACACAAAAUGAAUUUGAAUAUGUAAUUAUAUAUUUUUAAAGAAUGACGCUAAGUCAUUUUAUUGAUCAAAUAAUGUAGGAGAACAACAUAUACAUAACUCACCCUUGUGGCUACGCAAAAAUCGAAUUAUGCUAAAAUAACCUAUGAAACUCAAGCAAAACCUAAGCAACUCAGUCGUUCUAAUGCUGCCCUGAAAUUGGCAUCUUGAUCAAUAAUCAGUAACUGUCGGAUUCAUCCAACUUAUUCAUCCCCAGGAUCAAGGCUACUCAGCAAAGCGCUAAAACUCCGCGAAACUGGAUCAGCCCAAAUACCAACUGACCGAAGGCCCUUGUCGCCGGUGAAAUCGCCAUGGGUCACGAACUUCGAGCACCCAUACCUCCGGCCCAUACACUACUCGAUCAGAUGCAUCAAGCCUUGUGAGAUGAGGAACCCCAUCACAAAAACCAGACUUCUCUGAGAUUGAGAAACCGAUUCCAUGUCUUCCAAAUCGAACUCCAAAGAACCCAAUCCAGAAAGCAGUAAAAACAAUGAACCAAAGCCCCCUGCGUGCCAGAGCACGGCCUUGACCGACUGUCAAGAUUAAAUCGAAAUUGAUUGGACUACUGAAAAACAAGGCCAAGCCUAAAGCUAAACCCUAGGCGGCGGCUUGAAGGAGAAAAGAGAAGUGAGAGCAUUCUCAUCGCUUGAGCAGCUUGCCAACUAAUCUACUUUUUAUUAAAGUAUAACAAAAUAUUUUCUUUAUGCAAGCUAUAUAUAAUGAAGAAUAACAAUACCAUUGAAAACAUAAUCUGUUAAAACACUUAAACGUACUGCAUAGAUAUUCCUCACGAAUGAACAUCACUUUAGCUUGACUGAGCUUGUGCAUGCAGAAUCGACAGUUUGAGAUCCAACAGUGAUAGAGAUGUUACAAUCGGUAUGACUAAGGGCCUUUUUAUGGAAGAUCUUCAACAUGCUUCCCUUCCCAUGCACCACAGUGUGUGAAGUAAAAUUCACUACCCCAACUGUAGUCAAGUCUCUUUGAAAGUUCGCAUCAAAUGCCAGUUUGUCUGCUAAUAUAUCCAUGGAAGUCGUGAUGUUGUAAUUCUUGUGAGAUGGAAUCGUACCUUCUUCGAGUGGAGCUUCAGCUAUAACUUUGCCACGAUAACUGAUAUGAGCUGUGCUAUUGUCAUACUUGAAGCUUCCAUAGUUGCGAUUUUUCACUGUGAUCAAAAUUCCGAUUGAUACAUUAAAUUUUAUCACCGGAAAAACUAUUACAUGAAAGCUUUCUAGGUUGAUCGGACUUGCCACAAUGUCAGGAUCUUUGAGCUUGAAGACUGUGAGGAAUAGAACGACUAGAACCACUAAGAUGGUGAUUAAGAGAAUGCCUGUAACAGUAGCACAUAUUUUCCAGCCUCGAUGAGAAGCCAUGACAAAGAAUAAAGGAUUGUGUAAUUUAAUUUUGGAGUUAUGAAUGAUCGGUGUUGCAAAUAUUUUUGUUUCACAUUAUAGCAACUUUAUUAUAUACACAGUCAUUAUGAUAUAAACAAGAAAGGAAGAUGUAUAGUUUAUUAGUAAUAUUUGAGGUGCAUAUUUUAUUUACUAAAGGACAAAAUAUUAGAUCUUACUGUGUAACAAUGAACUUGGAAGACGAUAGAAUUAAGGUUUCAUUGUUUUAUCACAUGGGUUGUUUUUGUUGUAUCAAUGUUUCCAUCGCACAUUCAUAUGGCCUAUAUGAGAUGCGUUAGGUCAUGGCUUUUUAAUUUUGUUUUAUUAUUGAACUCCCAAAUCAUUUCCUCAUCACUUAGGUUCCUAAUAUGACCCGAUUCAUUUUUAAGAACAGUACAUGAAAUUUUCUCAAUUGAGAAUUAUGAUGUCUUAAGAUCCAAAACUAUCAUAUAAGUACAUGAAUUUACAAACCCGACAAACUUUUGAUACAGGCCGUCAAUAACGCUGUUAACCUUAUGUUAUUAUUCAAUUUUUUAAAAGGUAAUUACGUAUUUUCAGAAUUCCUCUCUGCUCCAUAUCUCAUACCCCAAGAUUUCUACUCCAUUUCGAUAAUCAAAUCAUCACCUCAACCUCUCCGAUGUGGAUCACCACCUCAACCAUCGUUGUAAAAGUGAAAAUCAACACAGAUGCCAAACCCACAACCACACUAAAAUGCCCAGGUCCAACAAAAAUCCCCACAGAAUUCAUCUCAUCAUUUUAAGUUAUUCAACAAUCACCAUCCUCGUCCUCGAAGUCUCCUCCACUCUUCAAAUGCUGAAAUCUGUAAAUCAAUAUGCACAAGAAAAACACAGAUGUGUUUUACAACUUGUAAUUCGAAAUCCAUGGCAAGGUGGUCGGAUAUAGCUGAUGGGUCUGAUGUAGAUGGCGAGAAGAAGGAAGAGCCAGACUACUUCUCGAAAGCUUCACAACGCAGUAUUUCAGGGAGAUAUCCUCGAAGAAAUUGAGUCGGUGGAAGGGUAUCGGCACCGGCAGAGAGACGAAUCGAAAAACCUAGACGAAGAGGACCGGUAAGAUAUGGGGUUGUGGCGGAGGAUGAUUAGGAUUUUGGGAUUUUUGUUUGAUUGAAUUAGGAUUUGGAAUUGAGAAGGUGAGCUUGUGAGGAGUUUGGGUUGGAGCAGAGAUGGAAGUCACCGAAUGAGAAGAGACAUGAGAAGGGUUUCUUUAUUUUAUUUUGGGGUUCCACUUGUGUGUCUUAAGGUAUGGAUACCCAACCAAUUUUAACUUGCUAUAGCAGGUUAAACCAAACUAACACCGUUAACUCUCUGUUAAGUCUCUCUAUAUGUACAGUUUUCAUUAGAAAUAUCUACCACUCAGAUGAGUAAAAUCACACAAAAGUAGACUUUUUAGAAAUCAAAAUGAUUCUUGAGACUGUCUAUAACUAUCAUAAGAAAUAUCUACUACUGUCAUGAAAAAUAUUAACAUAAGACACAUCUACUGUUUUCAUUAGAAAAAUAGACUUUCUAUAAAUCAAAAUUGUUCAUGAUCGAGAUUGAAUCAAGUAAAAUUUGCAACUCUACAUUUAACAUAAGAUACAUCUACUGUUUUUAUUACAAAUCUCUACCAUUAACAUAAGCGAAAUCAAAGAAAAGUAAACUUUCUAGAAAUCAAAAUUGUGAUUAAGAUUGAACCAACCAAAGUAAAAGAUACAAAAUCUACAUUUAACGUAAGACACAACUACUUUUUUCAUAAGAAAUGUCUACCAUUAACAUAAGAGAAAUCAAAGAAAAUUAGACUUUUUGGAAAUCUAAAUUGUUCUUAAGAUUGAAGAAAAACCAAGGUAAAAGAUGAAAAGUCUACAUUUAACAUAAAACACAACACUUUUUCUAUAAGAAAUGGCUACCAUUAACAUAAGAGAAAUCAAAGAAAAGAAGACUUUCUGGAAAUCUAAAUUGUUCUUGAGAUUGAAGAAAAACCAAGGUAAAAGAUGAAAAGUCUACAUUUAACAUAAGACACAACUACUUUUUUCAUAAGAAAUGGCUACCAUUAACAUAAGAGAAAUCAAAGAAAAGUAGACUUUCUGGAAAUCUAAAUUGUUCUUGAGAUUGAAGCAACCCAAGGUAAAAGAGGCAAAGUCUACAUUUAACAUAAGACACCUCUACUAUUUUCAUAAGAAAUGUCUACCAUUAACAUAAGAGAAAUCAAAGAAAAGUAGACUUUCUGAAAAUCUAAAUUGUUCUUGAGAUUGAAGCAACCCAAGGUAAAAAACGCAAAGUCUACAUUUAACAUAAGACACAACUACAUUUUUCAUAAGAAAUGGCUACCAUUAACAUAAGAGAAAUCAAGGAAAAGUAGACUUUCUGGAAAUCUAAAUUGUUCUUGAGAUUCAAUCAAUGAAUAUUCACAAAAUGAAAAUUGACCGUCUGAUGUGAUCAUUAUAGUGAAACAUGGCUAUGGUAUAAAAUUCAACUGGAUUCAACAAUGUUCGGUGCUCGAUCAAAGCGGUCAACCUUAAUUCAUCUUCACUUAUCACACGAAAACUAUCUUACCUACCUCUUUGUGAUCUAGUUUGGUGGAUUCUUCAACACAAUAAAGUGCCACAUAGAUGAGACAUAACUACCCAUGUAAAACUUUGGGGACGUUUACCACCGGAGGAUAGGGCUCUCCUUAUUGAAGCAUAAGCGUAAAUAGGGUUGACAGCUUCGAUCGGGGCCCAAACAUUGGCGAAUUAAAGUGAUUUUCCUACCGUAGCCGUAUUUUACUAUACCGAUCACAUCCUAUUUCAUGAGAUUUUUGAAAAUUUUGCUUCCUCUAUAUAGUUGGCUCACAAAGUUGUACACUAGCAUAUAACCUACCAAACAAGUUAUACCACAUUAGUAGGCACGUUNNN